Molecule: long non-coding RNA, 101944 nt
Filed under: Olea europaea (common olive)
Lineage: Eukaryota; Viridiplantae; Streptophyta; Magnoliopsida; Lamiales; Oleaceae
Description: long non-coding RNA (OEUR_LNC007992)
Source: RNAcentral
UUUUUUUUUUUUGGGGGGUUCAUGAGCAAAAAUAUUGCUUCUUUGUCUGCUCUUUUUCAUUAAUCUUCAAGUAAAUGGGUUCCAUGAUAGAUCUCCACGGCAAAUAACCAAACUGGUUUUCUAAGCCACCGUUUGGAUACAAUUUAUAAAUUGGUUUAAAAUUUAAGUCAAAAACAUUUAAUUUCAACUACACAUUCAUAACCACCGCUCGUUAUUAUCCACACAUUUUGUGGGACUCACGACUAUUUCUCUUUAUAAGCCAUUUAUAUAUGGAGGCUAAUAAAUUUGAUUACUUUAUGUUCAAUGAUCCUCCCUUAUAAUUUAACAAACAUGAGUUAUGUUCUAAAUAACUCUAUAUUAUAUACGAUCUUAUGCGUCUCCUUCAUUGCAAUAAAGAGGCAUUCUAAUGUUCUUCCUACUUAUACAAAUUAAAAAGAUGCAAAUAGAAAUCAACCUAAUAUGUUGUUUUUCAUUUAUCAGUAAGAUAGAAUUGACAAACAUUUGCGUCAUGGAAUUUUUUUUUGAACUGCAACAGCCACUCUCCAAUUCCUUUUAUUGAUGACAAAACGUGCUGUUUAACUCACUAACAGAAAUCAAAUAGUUUACUAGUAAUUCAAUAAGAACUACCUUGCUCUUUAAGAACUGCAUAUUUGCUCAUCAGACAAUCAAUUUCUGCCACAUUUUCUAAUUUAAAUCCACAAUAUAUAAUCGAAUUCAAAACCCGGAACAUUUUUGAAGUCAACAACCGACAGAGAAAAGUAAAACCAGAAAAGGGUAAAAGAAUUACCCGCAAUUGUAACAGGAGAGUUAUCAUCCUUAGAUUGUACAUGGUCAUUUGCUUUAGAAAGUAAAGUUUGUUGAAUUCUCUGGCAAAGCAAACACGCCAUCUGCACUGCCUUCACAGCAACUUCCAAUUCUUUAAAAUACUUAUCCGACACAAAGGAUUCAACAGCUGAAUUAUUAUGAUCUUCCAUAGUUGCGCAAACAAUGGUUUGGGUUUUGCUAAACCGGUAGUUAGUUAAAAUUGAGAGCAAUUUUCUAUCAAACAAUGAAGAGAAACUUGGUGUAUUUGGGGAAAUGUAGAUAUUUCUUCUCCUAGUUCGGAUUUGGAUAUGCAGAAGAGGAAUUUUAGCUGAAAAACUUGAGAGAGACAUUGGGCAUUUUAAAGAAAAUUCAGUCAUACAGCACGCGACAAAUACAGGGGAAUUUCUAUUCUUCGAUUUUCUUGAUGUUGUGCGCCGACUCAAGCUGCUUGUGAUGUGAAGAUUGGGUUUGAUAAAGUAAUGGAUUCGGGGUCCAAUUAUUGGAAAUCUUUCUGUAAUUAUGUUAAACGUCGAGUUAAUUUCAGCGAUUUUGUCAUAAAUUUCAAAAUGACCAUUGAAGAAAUUUUCUUUCUUCCAUUCGUAACAGCUCAAGUUUGUGAUGGUUGCUCAGAUUGAAAACAUCCUACAAGUCAUACGCAUUAAAUUUCAUUGUGGAUAGAUAACACGAUAAGAGGAGUCAAGAUUUGCUGUCACAUUUUGGUGUAUAUUCAAUUAAUUCUUGACAUGUUAUCAAUAAUUAAUUUGUUGUAUCAGGUCUAUCCUCGUUAUCUUCACCAUUAAGUUACGAAAUUAAUGAUGUAUCAAAAAUUAAUUGGAUGAACAACAAAAUUGGACAACGGAUCUUGGCUAUGUUAAGAGGACGGUAAGGGUUGUAGAUUAAGGAUGAAAUUAAGGAUCAGGUCUUUUCAGUCUUUUUAUUGCGAAAAGUCAAACGUUGGCCCACAAAUUUUCAAAUUUAACAUGAUUAGGUGUGAGGUAGCGUGUUAACUAACGUUGCAUUGUGUUUACGAUGCAACUUUGGUAACGUUUAAGAUUUUAGGUUGACGCUUCCAUUUUAGUGAUUGUUAGUGUCAUCAUUACAAGCUCGAGUGACUACUAAUAUAAUCAUUUUGAGUUAUAAAUAUUACUAAUUAUUGCUAUUAUAUAUUUUAGUAUUCUUCACUGAAAUUAACUUAUAAAUUUUCUUUACAUUUUCUCUAUUACAAGAGAUGCGAAUUUAAAAUAGUAACAUCGCGAAAACGAGAAACUAGUAUGAAGAAGAGAAAUUUAAACUACUAUUUAAAAUUAUUUUUGAAAUAAGUAAAUAAAAUUAAGGAACAUAAAUUUGAGUUAUGAUCUAGACGUCCAUUUCAUUUUUAAACUCGAAAUUUCAAACUUCUAAGAAAGUUGUUUCACCCUUUCAAGCAAUUUUCACGUUCAAGAAAGUCAUUAUAUAUUAUUCUUGAUGUUCUCAAUGCUAGCUACUAACAUAUCAACUAAAAAUAAUUGAAAUGUAACUUGAAAAUGUUGUAUAACAAAUAACGGAAGCACUAGAUUUUAAUACAGCCGUGCUACAGUAUUCGCAGGAAUGACCGUGGGGUUGACACACCACACACACAUGGAGGUCAGGAUUAUUUUAUUCAUGGGACCCACGCCAGGCAUGUGAGUGUGCGGUCAACCUCGCGGGUCGUUUGCCAUUUUCCAUUUUAAUAAAAGCUGAUGGAAUAUUAGGUUGGAAAAUUGUUGGUCCAAUAAAAUGUUUAAUUAUAAUUAAAAGUUGACUUUGAUUUUAAUUUUAAUUCAAACUUUUAAGUUGAACCAAACACGGCUUAAUAUAUGAAUAUUACAUUACAAAUUUAUCCAAUCGAAUAAGAAAAGUUUUUGUUCACUUCAAAAUACGAAUGAUUGUAAAUGGAUUGCCAGAGCAUAUUCCUUUCACUUAUUAGUCAAGUUAGCCAAACACAUCCCUGCAACUAUGCAAAUGCAACCCAACACAGCACACACUUGACUGGAGGCUAACUUGGAUAAGGAUUUAGUCCUUGUUUGGUAAAAAUUUAAAUUUAAUUUUAAUCAUAUAUUUUAUGGGAUUCAUAACUUUUUAUUACGCAUUUCAUCAAUUUUUAUUAAAGUCAAUUAAAUAUUUUAUUUUAAUCCCUAUCAAACGACGGCUUAACAUCAACCUCCCAUUGAUUAGGCUGACUGUAAUUUCUUUGUCUCAAAUCGAGUUCGUCCAUUCGAUUUUAAUUUAGCCCAUGUUUGGCCCCCAUUUACUGAAAAUGAAAAUCGGUGAAAUAGUUUUUUUUUUUUAAAUGAAUGGUUGAAAAAGAAGAAAAAAUUUUCGAUUUAAGUGUAACAUUAUUUUAUAAAAGAUUGUAUGAUUGAGAAUAGAAAAAAGAAAAAUGGAAUGAAAUUUAAUGGGGUUGAACGGGGGCUUAACGUAUCAAGUAAGUUUGAGUUAAUAUUUUGAAGAAGCACUUUUAGGCUAAAAUGUUAAGGUUAUGUUGAUUUUGAAUUAAUUUUCUGUAAGUUUGUAUGAUGUAGUCCUUAUGUCAGCAUUCGGUCACCAGCCACAACUGAAAAGAAGAGAUUAAUCUUCCUUUGAUUUUAGUCAUGUCUAAUCAAGAUAAUUUAAACAUAAUUAUAUGACAUAUCGUUAGGUCAACAAAGGCGGCUCUCGAUCCAAGUUUAAAAUUUGAAUCACGUUAUUUGCCCGUGAUUUGUGUUUUUGUUAUCGUUAGAAAAAAAAGUUAAUUCUAUUUAUAAAAAAAGAAGUCAAAAAUAAUGGUCGAAAUAAUGAAAUAAUGAUUAAAAUUUGAUUUUUUUUUUUUAAAAAAAAUCACAAUCAAACACUGAUAUUUUACAACAACAAUGCUACAUGGACAAGCUCAAAAAUAGGGUAAAAAUGUAUCGAAACACAAUUAGACACUUUGAAACAAUAAAAAAAGCAGCUAACCACUUUAUUGUUUUUAACUAUUCGCUUGUUUGGCCCAUUAUAAUGAAAUUUUGAAAAUAAUCUAUUUUGAAAUAAUAAUUUUUGAAAGAAUGUGUGAUUAAAAAAAAGAGAAAUUUUUUUUUUAUUUAUAAAUAAUAUUAUUUUAUUGAAAAAUGUGUGAUUGAAAAGAAGAAAAAAAUGUAUUAAAAUUUUAAUGGUGACCAAUAAGUGCUAUAUUUACUGAAAUAAUGGAUAAAAUUGAUUAAACAAAGAAAAGAAAAAUAUAAAUAAAGAAUAAAGAAAAAGAAAAGGAAACGUACAAUAAAAAAUGCAGUCAAUCGAUACACGCCCCAUGAGUGGCGCUAUAGGAUUGGUCAGCCUGGUAAAGUGGAGCGAUAAUUGGGUCCAUUAAGCAUGUUGGCCAAAAUCAACUAUUCAUUUAUGGGAACAUGGUACCCGUCACAUCAUGAGAAACCCUAACAGUCCAAGAAUUUUGGAAAAAUCAGGUUUCUGUGUCCAUUGUUGUGAAAAGAGAAAAAAAAGAUAAGAAUAUAAAGAAGUUAAUAGAUUUGUGUGUAUUUUAUUAAGAAUCAAAACUCUAUAUUUAUAAGUAAGAAUUAUGGAUACAGUGGUCAUAAUUUCUAGAGUUGUAGGGGUAAAAUUGUCAUUCACUAACAAACCUAGUAAACUUACAUUUACAACAAAAUAUUUGUCUCGUUAAAACAUUGAUUGACAAAAACUCAAUGGAACAAAAAAUCAAACGAAGAAAAAGGAGUACACUUAUUUUGGAGUGUUAAAAAUAAAUUGUCUCAUUAAACCUUACUGGGAAAAUUCAGUGGGAUAAAAUCUAAGCGAAGGAAAAAGAGUAAAGCUACUCCCGUGAUGUCGACACUGAAAAUAUUUAAGUCGAUGCAUUUCAAUUUUGUGAACCAAUUUUUUGAAUGUAGAUGUUGGUAUUGCUUUUAUGAAUAAAUUGGCCACAAUAUCACUUGAAGGAAUUUGUUGGACGCUAAUAUUGUCAUUCUUUUGAAGCUCGGGUGUAUGAAAGAAUUUUAGAGAAAUAUGUUUUAUCUUGUCACCUUUGAUAUAGCCUCUUUUGAUUGUGCAGUACAAGUCGCAUUGUCUUCAUAAAAAAUUGUUAGACUAUCUUUUGUUGAAAUUAGCUCGCAUGAUGCUUGAAUAUGAUGGGUCAUAUUUCUCAACCAUACACAUUCUCUGCCUGCUUCAUGGAUUGUAAUAAUUUCAGAAUAAUUUGAGGAUGUUGUUGUCAUUGAUUGCUUCGCAAAUCUCCAUGAUAUAGCUGUUCCUCCACGUGUAAACACAUAUUUUGUUUGUGAUUUAACUUUAUGUUGAUCGGAUAGAUAACCUGCAUCUGCAUAUCCCACUAAGGUAAAUCCCGACUUCUAAUAAUAAAAUAAUCACGAAUCAAUAGUACCUUGUAGGUAAUGAAAAAUAUGUUGAACAUCAUUCCAAUGUCUAUGAGUUGGUGUCGAGCUAUAUUAUGCAAGGAAUUUAUAGAAAAAGCUAUGUCUGGUCGAAUGCAGUUUGCAAGAUAAGUUAAUACUCCAAUUGCACUAAAAUAUGGUACUUCAGGGCCGAGAACAUUUUCUCCAUCUUCAAGUGGACGAAAUGGAUCAUUUUCACAUUGAAUAAUCGAAUGACCAUAGGUGAUGCCAGUGGAUGUGCAUUAUCCAUAUAAACGUGUUUUAAAACUUUUUCUAUAUAUGUAAAUUGAUAAAUAAAUAAUCUUUGUGGGAAAUGUUCAAUCUAUGAUCCGAGACAAAAUUUGGCUUUUCAAAUUUUUCAUCUCAAAUUCAUUUUUCAAAUAAUCAAUAGUUUUGUUAAACUCUAGGAAUUCCAAUUAAAUUUAAAAUAUUAACAUUAGCUGCUACAAUUGCAAAUCCAAUAUAUGUUUUCUUUAUGAAAACAUAUAGGCUGAUAUCGUCAUUUUUAUAACUCUCAUUCAACAAAUAUUCCUUAAGGCGAUUAUAUCACAUGCGUCCGGAUUGUUUUAAUUCAUAUAAUGAUCUUUGCAAUUUAAUUGAAAACAUGGUUCUCAGGCAUGUAUCAUUUGUUCCUGACACCUUAAGUCCUUUAGGGACUUCUAUAUAUAUGUCACUGUCAAGUGAAUCAUACAAAUAUGCAGUUAUUAUAUCUAUAAGGCAUAUAUUAAGCUUUUGGGACACUGUCAAAGUUAUUAAGAAUCUAAAAGUGAUGGUUUUAAUUACUGGAGAAUAUGUUUUCUAAUAAUCAAUUUUUGGUCUUUGUGAGAAAUCUAGAGCUACUAGUCAGGCUUUGUACCUUGUAAUUUCAUUAUUUUUGUUUCUCUUUUGUAUAAAAACCCAUUUGUAUCCCACAAGGAUUACUUUUUCAGGUGUUUGAACUACAUGUCCAAAUACUUUUCGUUUCUAUAAGAAAUUCAAUUUUGCCUGUAUGACUUUUUUUUUUUUGGUCAAUCAUUUCUAUUUUGACAGUCUUUAAUUAAUUAUAGUUUAUGAUCCUCAUUUUUUAGAAUAUCAAGAGUCACAUUAAAGAAGAAAAUAGUAUCUAUAACAACAUUAUUUCGUUCCCAUAAUUUAUGAGAUAACAUAUAAUUUAUUGAAAUUUCAUUAUUUUUUGGACAUUUGUGGUUCUUGAGGAACCAUAUCUUCAAUAUUUAAUUGAUCAAUCUUUUCUAAUGUUACAUCUUCUGAAGUUUUUGGUCGAUUUUUUCAGGUACUUUUCUUUUUCAAGGUACGGGUCUUUUGAACCAACUGAUCGACCACGGUUCUAGAAUAUUUGGAAUUCAUUUGUCACAGUAGAUUGUCGUUCAGUGACAUUAAUUUUUCCUGGAAUAUUUUCUGCUGGUACAUAUGACUUUGCCACUUUUCUCGUGUCAACAAAUACAUUAAAUAGUUGAUUUGAAACUUUUUGCAAAUAAAUGAUUUUUUCAACCUCUUGCUCACAUUGAUUGCUGCGGGAUCAGAGUGAGAUAUAGUUGUUUCAUUCUAAAAAAUUUUAACUUAUUUUUCAGGAUGUAAUUUUUUCCCUCCCAAAAUUAGAAAAAUCGUUGCAUCAAAAUGAAAAUCUACAAAACGUGCAGUAAAUAAAUCACUCGUUAAAGGUUCAAGAUACCUAAUAAUAGAUGGUGAAUCAAAACCUACAUAAAUCUCAAAUCUUUGUUAAGGGCCAAUUUUAGUAUGUUGUGGGGGGGGGGGGGUAAAACAAGGAUUUGGACAGCACAGCCAAAAAUUCGUAGGUGAGAAAUAUCAUGUUCAUGACCAAAUGCCAGUUCCAAAGGUAAAUAUUGAUAAUAGGUCUUAUACAAACCAAUGAUGAAAUAUGUAAUGUGGCAUGACCCCAAAUAGAAGCUGAGAGUUUUGUUUUAAUAAGUAAUUGUCUAGCAAUAAGUUAUAAACUUUUAAUAAACGACUCAGUUAAACUAUUUUAUGUAUGGAUAUGCACAAUUGAAUGUUCAAUUACAAUCUCAAUUGACAAAUAAUAAUCAUCGAAUACCUGUGAUCUAAAUUUACCAGCAUUGUCAAGACGAAUAGUGUUAAUUAAGUAAUUGAAAAAUUGCACUCGUAAUUUUAUGAUUUGUACAUGUAGUCUAGCAAAAGAUACAGCCCUAUUGAAAAGUAAGCAAAUAUGUGACCAUCUAGUAGAAAAAUCAAUUAAUACCAUAAAAUAACGAAAUGGUCCACAUGGUGGGUGUACUAAACUACAUAUAUUUUCAUGAAUUUUUUCCAAAAAAAGUUAAAAAUUCAACAUUGACAUUUUUAGUUGAAUGUCUAACGACUAACUUGCCUUGCGAACAAGCUACACACGGAUAAUAAUUAGAUAAACGAAUCUUCUGAUUAUUUAAAGGAUGUCCAUGUGAGUUGUUUAUUAUUCGACACAUCAUUAUAGCUCCUGCAUGUCCAAGUCGAUCAUGCCAAAGUAAAAAAAAAAAAAUUGGAUCAGCAUACUUUUGGUUCGUGACAGUAUUUGAUUCAACCAUUUUUAUAAAUAUAUAGUACAUAGCAAAUGAGAGUGCAUGAAAAUUUUCUUUUAUUUGCUUCUUUCCAGAUACAAGAGAAGUUAUUCAAAAAUAUUCAAUGUUAUUUUCUGGUAUCGUCUCAAUAUGAUAUCCAUUGUAGUAGAUAUCUUUAAAACUAAGCAAUUUUUUUUUUUUUUGGAUUUGCUAGAAUAUAGUGUAUUGUCAAUAUAUAAUUUUGUCUUAUUUGGUAAAAUAAUACAAUCUCUUCCGGAACCUUCAACGAUAUUCGAUACACCGAUAUCGUAUUAACAUUAUUUUAUGGUGUAUAUCGUAUUAACAUUAUUUUCUUCUAAUGUUAAAUCUAUAAAAUAUUUUUUUCUUGAAAAAUAGUAUGUGUAGUUACACUAUCAUUCAAGUAGAUGCCUUGACAAUCCAUCAUGAAUCUAUAACAAAAUAAAUAUAUUUUUAUAAAAAAAAAACUUGAAUUUAAAUUCAAAAUGGUAAACAUAAUUUAAUACUAUGAAAUUAACGAUGCAUAAUAAAGUUCAUAAUAUUUUUGCGAAUAGUAAAAACAUAUUUUAAACUAAAUUUCUAAAAUAAAGGGAACUAGAGACAUAGAAAAUAAACUAAUCUAUAUUUUUCAUCACAUCAUACCAAUCAAAUGGUCAAUAUUUCCAUUUGGAUCAGUAAAAAAAUCAAAGAUAUUCAAAUGAAUCACAUCAAUCGAACCAUUAUAAUCAGCAAAAUUUGUCUCACUUUUCCUUUUCCUUGAUUGAUUUUUGUUAAAGAUCCAUAAGGUAUUUUGUCAUACGACGAGUACAUGUCCAAUUCCCUUUUAUUCCACAUCUAAAGCAAUUUUCUUCGUAUACAUUUUUGGAUGUCCUACUUUAAAUUACUUUGUGCCUUUUGAAAUUGUUGCCUUAUUGUUGACUAUUUCGUCCAUGAUUUAUUCCAUGUGCACGUCCACGUCCGCGUCCACGUCCAAAUUCGUGUCCGAUCCACGUCCACCUUUUUGUCUUGAUAUUGUAUUUGCUUUAGGCAAUGUAAUGUCAAUUGCUUUUAGGCAAUGGUACAGAACCAAAUGGACAUAACCCAUGAUUUUUCACAAGCAGUUCAUCACUUUGUUCAGCAACAAACUGGCAAGAUAUAGUCUUCGUUUGGCCCGCAUUAAAUUUCAUUUCAUUUCAUUUUUCUCUCUUCUAUUUUCAAUCAUACAAUCUUUCAUAAAAUAAUAUUAUACGUAAAUCGAAAAUUUUUCCUUCCUUUUCAAUCACUCAUUUUUCAAAAAUAUCAUUCCACCCAUUUUCAUUUCAAAAAAAUGGAGGCCAAACAAGGGCAUAAGUUAUGAAUACUUUUUGAAACCACGCUUACAAUAUUGUUGCUGCAAGAGCUCAUUCAAGGCGUAAAAGGUGAAAAAGGUUUAUUCCAACAUAUUUUCAUCAGUGAUUUUUUCUUCACACAAGGUCAAUUUCGAACAUAUUUUGAAUAGUUUAGAAUUGUACUCACUAACAGUUUUGAAGUCUUGUAAACAAAAGUGCAUUCACUCAUAGCGGGUUUUGGGGAGGAUUAUAGACCUUUGAUGAUAAAAAUUUUCAAUUAGUUUUUUUCAAAGAAUUUGUGGAUUUGUCUUAGUAAAAUAUUCAAUUUUCAAUCCAUCGUGAAGAUGAUGAUGAAUGAAGAUAAGUGUUUUUGCACGAUCCUCCAGGGACUCCUUAUUUCCUUUUUUUAUUGACUCUUCCAAACCUUUUGAAAAAAGAUGGAUGUCAGCAUCGAGUAUCUAUGACAAAUGAUUUUUGCCAGCUAUGUCAAGUGCAGCAAACUCGAGUUUUGUGAUAUUUGCCAUUUGAUUAACUAGGCAAUAAAGUAAAAGAAAAUACAAUUAGUUUUGAAGAAAAAGAAAAAAAAAGUUAAUAUCAACAUGACAUAAGUUACGUAUUUUCUUUCAAAGAUAAACACUAAAAUAACAUGUUCUUCGAAACAUGUGUUACUUCGGAAGCACAUUGUAUUUUACUAUUACUUCUUCAAGAGCAAUAUGUCAUUAUUAUUUUAGAAUAUUGAAAAUUAUAAUUUAUACUUUUCAAGAACAACAACAAACUAUUUAUAAUUGAUAUAUCUAAGGUUAAUAUUUUUCUGGACUAUUAAUUAUAAAGUUGUGCUACUUCAGGAGCAACAACACGAUUUAUUAUCAAUUUAAAGUUUAUAGAAGAAUAUCUAAAAAUAUUUGAUUACCAUAUAGAUAUGAUAUGAAUUUAUAUAGAAAAAUUAAUUACCAAACAUAGGAAAAAGAAUCUCCAUACAUGGAAGUUAACAAAAUUGUCUAAUUUUUUUUAUUGGCUAAAUCAUUUACUAAUAUGCAAAAGUUACUAAACAUGCACAUGAAUUCCACAUAUACAAAAAUCAAAGGUAAAACUAAUAUGUGGCAGAUUCAAAGGACAAAAUUAAUACGUGAAUAAUAUGUGACAAAAUUGAUUGUGUAUGAACCAAAAGACGUGAAUUAAUGUGUACAAAUUACACAAACAAUCAUGAAUUAAAAUUAAUAUGUAUACCAACAAAAAAAACAGGAGAAUAAGCAACCCGGUUAUGAUAUAUAUGUACAUUGAAAGAAUUCACAUACCACCAAAUUAAUUUUGGUAAAUGUGAUAAAUAUUUAUACUUCUAAAAAAAAUUAAUACAUUUAUUAAAUUUUGAAAAAUUAAGUUAUCAUGCUGAUAAUGUGUUGUGAAAAGAAAACAAAAGAGCGGAAAAUAGAGAGAAGUCAAUAGACUUAUGUGUAUUUUAUUAAGAAUCAAAGUCCUAUAUUUAUAUAUAAGAAUCAAGGAUACAAUAGUAAUAAUUUCUAGAGUUGUAGGGGUAAAAUUGUGAUUCACGAACAAACCUAAUAAACUUACCAUUUACAACAUCCACAAGUAAUAUUUUCUGAAUAAAUUGUUUUUAAUUAUAUACACACCACAUUAAUGAGUAUCGGUGCUUAACUUAUGUUAAGUACUAGUGAUAUAUUACACCAAUUAAUUGGUGAAUUAUUAAAUUUAUAAGACCUAUCAUUAAUUUAUUUAUCAAUUAAUUGAUGUACCAUAUCACUGAUACUUAACAUAAGUAAAGUACCAGUGUUCAUUAAAUUAUAUAUAUGAAAAAUGCAAUUAACCUUAUUAAGGAUGAGUGAAUUACCCAAAUGAUCAUCGAAUUUUGCAAAAAGCUUUUACAGGGUCACUGAACUAUGUAAAAGGUUUCCACAGGCUCAUUGAACUUUGAAAAUCACUUCAUUCAUCACCAAACUUUGUAAAAAGUUUUCAUGAGAUCACCAAACUCAAUGUUCGAUGAUGAAUUAAGUGAUUUUUAAAGUUCAGUGAUCUCGUGGAAACCUUUUGCAAAAUUCAGUGAUAAAUUGGAUGAUUUCUAAAGUUCAGAGACCUCGUGGAAACUUUUUACAAAGUUCAGUAACUAUUUGGAUAAUUCACUCUACAAUUGAUAUCGAGUUUUCUCUCCAACCUAAAUUUCUUUUUACUUUUUGAUUAUCAUCAUUACGAUGGGGAUAGAGGAUAUGUAUUAAACUCUUUUUGAGAAAAUGACAUGGCACGGGGGUUGUUUUGCUUAAUGCCAAUGCCGUGAUUGGAGAUAUGCGUGAUAAAAGGGGUAAUACACAUAUUCGGCAGAAUGGAAGUAAGAUAAAGUGUUGACAUUGUGAUCCACAAGUAGCGGAGGCCUAUGUUCUAGGGAUGAAAAUAAGUUAGCAUCUAUUAAGGAUUGGUGUGGGCACAAGCAGAGGCUUGGGCUCAGUUUGAGUAAAAAUGGUUCGAGCUUUUUUUUUUAACUAGAGUCAAGCUGAGCUUUUGUUCCACCAAGACAUCUAGGCUCGACUCUUGCUUUCGAUACAACUCUCCAAAAUGGAUCUUGGCCUCGAGCUGCGAGCUGGGUUGGCUUGGGCAUUUUUUGGGCCAAGCCAAUGAGCCAAAUUGAUACCUCUAAAGUAGAGCUUGCUCUUUAGCUGAUUUUAAUCUUCAAUUCAAUAGUAAAAACAACCACAAGUAUGGCAUAGUUGAAGGCGAUUUUGCUAAGUGAUUGAAAUAUGGUAGUUUGGCCCAACCGGGUCUAAAUGUGUAAGAAAUUACCACUGCAGGUGGAAGUGUAAGACAAUAAAUAAAGUGUUAACCUUUUACAAAUCUUAUAUGGGUUUUUCUUGGUUUUAGAGAAAUAAAGUUGGGACAAUUUCUGUAAUCUUGUGCUUUGCCUGAUUUUUUCUCAAUACUUUUCUUCUAUAAUUAGGGUCCGUUUGAUUGUUAGAAUGAAAUUUGGGUGGAAAGAAAACGAAUUUCAGAUAAUUGAAUUGCCUCCAAAUUGUUUUAUUGGAAAUUGUCAUUUAAAUGUGUUUGAUUUGUUUAAUUUUUCACCUGAAAAUUUUUGGAUCUUUUGGUGUUAGUUUGACUUUGUUUUCCGUGAAAAUUAUUAGUUAAAGAGAUGAAAUUUAUUACAAUUGUGGAUAGAAUUUGUUUCCACUGCCAAAAAAAAAGUAGAAAUCAUUUUCUCUGGUUUUCCACCAAUUCAAGGAAAAGAAUGUCAUGUGGGAAGGAGGGGAAAAUGAAUUCCAUGGAAAAUUUAUGCCAUCAAACAUGCAAAAAGUAAGAAAAUGCAAAAAAAAUUCCAUUUUCCAAGGAAAUUUUUUCAUAUCAAAUAGGUCCUUAAUGCAAUUGCAUGGAAAAUUGACUGACAGGGACAAGAAACUUCAAAUUGCUUGCUUGAGGCAAGAAACUUCAAUGCUAUCAAAGUUGCGGAUAAAUUUUGAGGUAACCUUGUUGCGGAAGCUCUCUCAAAAGAUCUUUAAACGGUGGUUUUCCAGGCUCAGUCCAACGUACCUUUCUCUACCAACAACCAAUCCAAACGGCUCCAAACCACAACCAAUUGAUUCACCUUAGUUGCUAUACAAUCUUAUCCACGUAGGACAAGAAGGGAUGAUGAUUUAUCGCCACAAAGGCUAAGAGAAGACACCACAAAGGUAUACUAUGAAAGAACCACCAAUUGCACACGUUAUACAAGCGUUCUGGACACCUUUUUCUCACACAAAAGGGGGGCAGCCGGGAUUCACUAGUUUCUUCUCUCAAAAUCACACAAUCAUCAUAUCAAAGAGGCUAGGGUUAUAUUCAUAUAUAUACUCUAGGGUUAGGCUUUAAGUUGGGCCAUUAAAGGGGUAAACAGGCCAAGAUUCAAGCCAUCCAUAAGGAAUACAAUUGGGCCGGGUGUAGCUCAUGGACUUGGUUGUUGGACUUAUUUCAUUCAUCGGCCUAUGUCUAUGAAAUAAUAUUAACCCACGUUAACAUCAUAGCCCGGGAUUUAUUGGGUAUCAAAAACCCAACAAAUCUCCACCUUGAUGCCCAAUAAAUCUGCAAGCAAUCAAAACACACAGUUAACACUUGCAUAAUCAAGGUAGCCAAUAAAAUUGGAUCACAGAUCUUACCUCAUGUUUCCAACUUGAAACACAUACCAUACCUGCUUCAUGUACUCACUGGAGCUAAGGUCAAAAACACCCAAAUAGAAGCAAAUAUUUAACAGUAAACAAUUAAGAGCAAAUACACAUGCGAUGACGAUGUACUAUAGGAUAACACACACGGAUCUUUUCAGAAACAUGUUCAUAUAGAACUAUAGAUUAACACCAAGUCAAUCAAACCACGGUCAACCACAUAUGCAACACAUACAUAAAUGACCCUAAGAAAAGAUCUCACCACACUUAUCCUAUCCCAUUCCGUGUUGCUCACACCUCGAGAACACAUAUCUCCUCUCAUCGCCCACCAAGCUCACUAGACAGAUCACUCAACUCAUGUCUAACUAGUAAGUCACAAUAGAUCCUAAGUCCAUGGGAUAAUCCUUUAUCUCCACAUCACUUCUCCUAACCUACGUGGAUAAUGGGUCUCCACCUAACAGAAGUGAUAGAAGUGCCUCUCUCACACUCCACCUGAUCAGGGUCUCUUUCCAGAUAAAGGAUCCUAGACAUUUGAUUACAUCUCCACUCGUGAUCCAAAUGUCACACUCUACAUCCCUCGUGCAUAUCACCAAUGCACCUCUAGGCAUCUAUACUUCACCUUACCAAAAGACAUCCAACUUACUGCUAAUGCAUCUCAAACUCACUAUGGCAAAACAACAUCUUUCGGUGACCACAAAGGUAAAUCCACUCACCAAUGCUCCCAAAAAUUCACAAAGAAAAUAGUGAAGGUGGCACUCUCAAAGAGAAUCGAAGAAAGAGUCAGCUACUUCACAACACUCACAAAGGAGGCUCACAAAGAGGAAGAAUAUAACCCUAACAUGGCUGCCUCACAUAAUCUCACAAACCACACAGGCUCACAAAGAUAAAGGAGAAAAACAGCUGCCCAACUUUCUUCUCACUACCACACUCUCACACCACUCACAGAGCAAAUUGAGUAUGCCACAAAACUUAACCCACUAUGCAUGUAAACAUAUUACACAAAGUAAUAAAUCACUCUAAUUCAUGCAGUUACACAUAUCAAACAUAUUGAAAGUGUAAGAUCAACAUCGCAACAGAAUUAAGUGACCACAUACAUGCAGAAAGGAUUACACACAGAUGCAAUGCAAGAACCAGGUUUAUUCUCUCAAUAAACCUCACUAGGAUCACUACUCGACCCUAAAGUCAUAUUCGCCUUGUCUCUAUCCUCAUCUUUCAUCUUUUUCAACUAUGUCCAAAUUUCACCACAGUUAAAAUAUAUGUUAUUUUUUGCAUUUACCUUAGACCCACAUUUGCCAACAAUGCCAAAUAAUGACCACAAGUAAAUUAUGAACAUAAUUCACAUAGAAUAGUCCAGUAAACUUUCCUAAGGCCACAUGCAAUUCUAAUAAUGUAGAAAAAAUUGACAGCAAAUUCACAAAGAAUUUAAGGCAAAUAAUUAACAAAUAAUUCCUAAGUCUAGCAACAGGCAAUGGUUACCCCUUCAUGGUAACCCCAAACCUAAUGUCACCCCACACGAUGACCUCUAAUGCAAAAAAUUAAAUAUUCUACACAUUUAUUUUAACUGUAAUAAUAAAAACAAAGAACACGAUACCGAGCGAACUACGUCUGAAGGUCUGUAAAUAUCGAGAGACGCGAACUCAUCACUUUAGGACUAUCACUAUUUGUCCUAAAGUCUCAGAAAACUGCAGCAACCAAAAAAUCACGAUCGAAUCUGGAACGCUCGAAGAACAACGCUGUCCAGAUUCUACUGUGUACUCUGAAACAGAAAACUUUCAACACGAAAAAUGUUAAAAAUAAUAUGAGGAACAAACUACCUGAAGAGACCGUCUCCAAAUUCAGUCUCACGCGCCCUCACGUGUGGACUCUCUUCUCUGGGCGUGGGCCUCACGCGCCACCACACGCGCCUCCGUCUACCUACACGCGCCGCCCUGAAGGGUUCCCCUCCUCCUGCACGUCACGCCAGUAGUCUCCGUUUUCCCAAACUCCUUCUGGAUUGAUCAUAAAACGCGAAAAAUGGUGACUGAUUUUAACAGUUUUUGGACAGCUUCUCGAUCUGAUUUCUGCUGCGUUUCUGCCUAUUUUUUGGACGAUUUCUGGUAGAUUUCACGAGCCAAAACCUUCACCUUGAAGCUCUGAUACCAAUUGUUGUGGAAGCUCUCUNNNNNNNNNNNNNNNNNNNNNNNNNNNNNNNNNNNNNNNNNNNNNNNNNNNNNNNNNNNNNNNNNNNNNNNNNNNNNNNNNNNNNNNNNNNNNNNNNNNNNNNNNNNNNNNNNNNNNNNNNNNNNNNNNNNNNNNNNNNNNNNNNNNNNNNNNNNNNNNNNNNNNNNNNNNNNNNNNNNNNNNNNNNNNNNNNNNNNNNNNNNNNNNNNNNNNNNNNNNNNNNNNNNNNNNNNNNNNNNNNNNNNNNNNNNNNNNNNNNNNNNNNNNNNNNNNNNNNNNNNNNNNNNNNNNNNNNNNNNNNNNNNNNNNNNNNNNNNNNNNNNNNNNNNNNNNNNNNNNNNNNNNNNNNNNNNNNNNNNNNNNNNNNNNNNNNNNNNNNNNNNNNNNNNNNNNNNNNNNNNNNNNNNNNNNNNNNNNNNNNNNNNNNNNNNNNNNNNNNNNNNNNNNNNNNNNNNNNNNNNNNNNNNNNNNNNNNNNNNNNNNNNNNNNNNNNNNNNNNNNNNNNNNNNNNNNNNNNNNNNNNNNNNNNNNNNNNNNNNNNNNNNNNNNNNNNNNNNNNNNNNNNNNNNNNNNNNNNNNNNNNNNNNNNNNNNNNNNNNNNNNNNNNNNNNNNNNNNNNNNNNNNNNNNNNNNNNNNNNNNNNNNNNNNNNNNNNNNNNNNNNNNNNNNNNNNNNNNNNNNNNNNNNNNNNNNNNNNNNNNNNNNNNNNNNNNNNNNNNNNNNNNNNNNNNNNNNNNNNNNNNNNNNNNNNNNNNNNNNNNNNNNNNNNNNNNNNNNNNNNNNNNNNNNNNNNNNNNNNNNNNNNNNNNNNNNNNNNNNNNNNNNNNNNNNNNNNNNNNNNNNNNNNNNNNNNNNNNNNNNNNNNNNNNNNNNNNNNNNNNNNNNNNNNNNNNNNNNNNNNNNNNNNNNNNNNNNNNNNNNNNNNNNNNNNNNNNNNNNNNNNNNNNNNNNNNNNNNNNNNNNNNNNNNNNNNNNNNNNNNNNNNNNNNNNNNNNNNNNNNNNNNNNNNNNNNNNNNNNNNNNNNNNNNNNNNNNNNNNNNUACUUGGAGGUCUUGCCAAGUUCUUGAAAAUGGGGUGCUAAAUGUGUGAGAAAAUACAUUUGAAGCUGUGAGGUGUCAAAUACUUACAAGAAUUUUUUCACUUAUAAAUUUAGGUGUGUUGAGGUAACAAAGAGUGCAUUGACCCUUCAAAAUCAUGAACAAUUAAAGUUGGAACAAUUCCCUUUGUGUUUGUCAAAUUCUUCUUGUUUUCAUCAUGGAAGUGCAAUUACAUGGAGAAAUGGCGACUGAAGCUAGAAACUUUAGUAUUGUCAAAAGUUGUUUGUAAAAUCCAAGGUAACCUUGUGUCAGUGGAAAUGGUGGGAAUCGAUUGCACCUUCGAUAUUGUGGGAACUGCCUACUUGUACCAUCAGACCCAAGUGGUCUUGGCCCAACCUAAUUUUAAAAUAAGAAUAACUAAAUUUAUAGGUAAUUUAUUUUAUUAGUCACUAUUACAUUUAGAAAAAAACUAAGAUAUUGUUUAACGUAUGACUUCGUUGACAAUAAAAAUUUCAAAUCGACGACAAAAAAUGUUACAAAAUUAUAUUUCAUUAUGGGAGAAGUAAUGGUACCAUUCAAUCAAUUUCUAAGAUGGUGUAAACUUAGAAAUUUCUUCCAGAUGCGAAAUAUUACGAACAUUUUAAAUCUCAUGCUAUUUAUCAUUUAUCAUUCAAAAAACAAAAAAUACUUAAUCUAUAUCUUCUUUUGCAAUGUCUAUAAAUAUUUCAAAUGAAAAAGUUUUCUCUUAUUCAAUGGUUCUGUUGAUCUCAAAAGGGGUACCCUUGAUGUGUCAACAGAUCACAAGGUCUUUCCCAUUUAUGCGAGCUUUGUUCCUGCACACCAAGACAAUCGUUAGUCACACAUGGCCUUCUCCGAUGGGGUGGAGCUGCCUGCGUGUACUCCGACAAUCAAGUUAGUUUUGGAAAAACAAACAUAUGAGUGUGGGAAAGCAUUAAACGUGAGCCUCCAAAAUAAAAGCUUUGGGAGUAAUAUAGAAAAUAAAGAAAGCAUUGUUAUAACAUGGAAGUCUAAACUUGCAUCACCUUGGAAUGUUAUCAAUUGUGAGCUUAUAGUGUGGGAGAAAGAGUAAGGACUGUCGGAUGAAAAGACACGUGGUCUCAUCGUGCAAUUGGAGCUUCCCAUAAUGGGCAUCAAUCAAUCACGGGACAUAAAUCCUAAUACUGCUUUCUCAUCCAUAAAUCCUAGCUUGUGACAAUGGACUUGACUAAAUAGGUUGGCUGUGGCGGUGGUAGCAAAGAGUCGUCACAUCAAUCAUGUCAAUGAUUUAAUUACGAGAUUUCUUGCCAGGUCAUUUCCUCGGCUCCGCCUCUGCUCCCCGAGCUCUUGUAUGAGGGUUCAGCCAUAUGGGUUCGGCCACGUGGGUUCACAUACAUGGGUUCAGCUACGUGGGUCACAAAGGGAGGUAUAACAAUAGUCCCCAAAGUCUAGGUAUAAUUAUUCAUAUAAUAUGUGGACCUAAAAAUCAUGGGUGAAGAGAGAGAAAAAAGAAUGAGGUAUAACAAUAGUCCCCAAAAUCCAAGUACGAUUAUUCAUAUGAUGCGUGGACUUGAAAGUCAUGCGUGUAAUGAGGCUUCAAAGAAAAGAGGCAAGCCUAUGUGAAAUGAAGCGAAGUCGUUAUGAGGCUUCAAAGAGAAAAAGGCAAUGCCUCGAGGAGAGGCGAGCCUAUGCAAACUGAAGUAAAGCUGUGAUGAGGCUUCAAAAAGAAGAAGUGAUGCCUUGAAAAGAAGCGAGCCUAUGUAAAUUGAAGUGAAGCUGUGAUGAGGCUUUAAAGAGAAGAGGCGAUGCCAUCUAGAGAGGUGAGCCUAUGUGAACUGAAGUAAAGCUGUGAUGGAGCUUCAAAGAGAAAAGGUGAUGCCUCGAGGAGAGGCUAGCCUAUUUGAACUGAAGCGAAGUUGUGAUUAGGGCCUUUAAUUCAAAAUUUUGAUGGGCACCUCUUCGUUUCAAAGCUGUGGAUGUUUUUACACAUGUAAGGCUGGGAUUGACUUGGGAUUAAUCUAAGGUGGAGCCACCACAUGUCUCCAUAUAUAAAAGGGUUGGGCUUCCCAUUUGUUUCCCAUUUCAAUUUGCGAAAUUAUGGCUUAUAGACUUCAAUCCUUGUUCUUAUAAGUUCUCUACAACUUUUCGAUCACCUUCACUAAUUUUCAACGAGUAACUGCCUUUGUUAGGUUUCAGUGCACCUGAAAUUUGUGUAAGUAAGAAUCCCAUCUUUCGUUUUCAAGUUAAUUGCACCAAUGGCCUCGUCUUCGAAGAAAAAUGUCCCCGGGGGUUUCAAGAAAAUGGACAUGGAACAUAUAUAUGCUAAAGCUAGUUUGGCCCCGCCUAUUCCAACUGAAUAGAUUAUGGAGGUAAUGAGGGCCCCAAUAGUACGUAAAUGAUGCCAGAGUGUCCCAUCGAUUACAGUGUGAGGUAGGGGGCCGUAUUAUGGCCUUUCUAUGUGGAGGAGAGUGAGUUAGAUACUUUCAGGGAAAGGUAUAGGAUCCCUAAUACAAUAGAGAUGAUCGUGCUGACCCUAGAUAAGAGAGCAUGUUAUCCUAGGGAGGGUUGUGUUGCGGUGAGCGAGGCUAUCUUGAGUUGGGGAAUGAAGUUGUCUCUGCAUCCAUUCUUUAGAUACUUACUUAGGUAGCAUAACCUGGCCCCUACCCAAUUAAUAACAAAUGUAUGGAGCCAAUUGGCAGAGAGCCUUUCUUCUCUGGAAAGAGGUUAGUUUUGGCAAGGAUAUGCCUCCUCAUAUGUUUCAAACGCUUUUCCAGCCACUCAUUGGGUUUAUAUUCCUCCUUCAUAUAGGACACUCCUACUUCGAUAAAAGAAUUGAAAGUCCUCAUGGUUCUGGAUUAGGGGUCGUUGGCAGACGGUGGAAUAGAAUGCGGUCCUAGAGAUAACCGUACCGACCCAUAUCAUAAGUAUAGUGAGUCUAGUCCCUGUUGAAAAUUUCUUAUGUAUUACAGCAAUGUAUGUUUCUAAAUCACGUUUUGCACAGCUACAAUUGACCAAUUUGAGCUUGAUCCAUUUGAGUGGGCCAUCGUCAGAGCUAUAUAUGAGCUGCCUCCAGACAAGCAGUUCUUCAAAAUUGGUCUUGGAAAGAGGGCCUUAUUUGUGACUCAUUUACUAAUGGUGACCAAGGGUAAUUUAUGGCAUGGCCAUCUCUUUCAUUCGAAGCAGUUUGGUAUUUUGCUAACAUUAAUUGUUUGACCAUUCUGCUUGUAGAGCAACAUGAGAAGAAGAGAUAUGUCAAGCCUGAUAUGUUCUACAUGAGAAAAAGGAAGACUCUGAGUUCCGGAUCAACCGCUUACAAGCAUCAACGGGAUGAGCUCGCCCAUUUGUCAAAAUUGAACCCUCUGCUCUCUCCAAGGAAGAAAAGAGACAAAAAGGGUAAAGAAAAAAUUGACCCUUUUGCUAGUGGGGAAAAAAGAAGAAGUUGGUUCUUACAAAAAAUUUGGGCCCCCUCAUCUACAUAAAAGUCAAACUGCGGUUGACAAGUCCUUGAAGAAGUCUAAUCGAGUCAGAGCCAAUUUUCGAGAUAAAGAUAAUAAAGCCCGAAGAGAUGAACAAGGAGGAAGGUGGGCUUAUAAAGUAAGGAAGGAACAAGUACGUCAACCGAAGUGUCCCUUCCAAGGAUAAGGCUCAAAACUUUUUGGGUGGCAAAUUUAAUGAAAUUGCCUCGAAGGUGCUAGAGAUGCUCUUUGCCAAGGUCCAAUCGGCCACAAGAGUCUACUACAAGUAUUGCACUGAUAAAUAUUCAUCUUACACCGAGACUUGUGAGUCGAUUGAUAUGGUGGAAGUUGGCCUUGCCCUGCAAGUUUGCUUGCAAUGCUUCUUUCUGAAUGCACAAAUGGACAUGAGGAGGCUAUAAAGGGCAAAUCUAGAGUUCGAGCAAAAGGCAAUUCAACCCAAAGCAAUGAUCUACUUUCUUCGUUACCAAGUUCUACGGCAUGAGCAAGGCAUUUUUACUACGUUGAUUGACUUAUGGUGCAAAUCCAACCUUUUACAACGCUUCCGGUGACUUAUGAACAAGGAGCACUGAUCCUAAUACAAUAUUGAUCUUUUUAGGACCUCAACAUGGCCUUCAUUAUUGAGCUUUACGGCACCUCAAUAUGACCCACGCUUUAUCAAAGUGAUUUUACAAUCAAAUCAUCUCUUGAUAAAUAAUACAAGUAACGAAUGAUAGCUCAAAUAUUAGAUGAAAAAAAUUGAUGAAAAUGACAAUUAAAAAUAAGAUUCAAUUAAUCAAAGUGUUUCAAUGAGAAGACGAAGAAGAAUUAAAUACAAUGUAAAUUCAAAUAAUAUUCUUAAGAAAUAUCUCUCUUUCAAUAAAUGAUUUUAAGAAAUCAAGUAUUAAGAGAGAAAUAAGAAACUUUAAUGAAUAUAAUAUUUUACAAGUUUGAUUCAAUCAAUCAAAGUUUUUCAAUGAGCAGAUUAAGAUGAAGUAAAUAUUAUGUAAGUUCAACAAGAUCUUUUUAAGAAAUAUCUCUCUUUAAUGAAUGUGUAAUAAAUUAAGCACUAAGAGAGAAAAUAUAAAACUAUGAAUGAAUAUGAUAAUUUUAUAAAUUUGAUUCAAUCAAUUAAAUUUUCAAUAUGAAGAAGUUGAAAAGUUUAUGCAAUAUAAAUGCAAAGAUCUUCUUAAAAAAUAUCUCUCUCUUUUAAAAUUAAUAUGAAUAAGUUAAGAACAAAGAGAGAUGAAAAACUUUAAUAAAAGAAAUUGAUUCAAAAAAUUUGAUUUAACAAUCAAAUUUUUUAAUAUGAAGAAGUAGAAAGAUUUAUGCAAUGUAAGUGCAAAUACCUCCUUCAAGAAUAUAUCUUUCUUUCAAAAUUUAUAUAAAUAAGUGAAGCACCAAGAGGAAUGAAAAACUUUGAUGAAAGAAAUGAUUCAAGAAAUUUGAUUCAACAAUCAAAAUUUUUUAUUAUGAAUAAAAAAUGAAAUUAAAAAUAUAAAUUAAGCUCAAAGAAGAUUUUUUUUACAAAUAUAUCUCAUAAGAAAACUCUCUUCAUAGCUAUUGUGAUGAAUGGAAGUUCAGUGACAUUGAUAGAAUUCAAAACAGAAAGUUCCUGCCCAUCCGAAUAACCAAACUAGCCAUUGUACAAUGCUAAAAAAAAAAGUGAUAGCUGGCAAAUCAGACAUCUGCCUAGUUGACCGUUGAUAGUUGACUUUGACCAUUGACUCUUUUUUUGGGGGGAAAUUAUGAUCCAAGUUCAAGUAUGACUUUGAAAAAAAUAAUCUUACUUUUGAUUUAAAACAUUUUAUGCAAGUGAUAGUGAAAAAUAACUUUUUGUGAACAAAAUGAUUUUUGAGCUAUUGUCAUUCAUUACUAAAGAUCAAUUGUUAUACCUUUACAUAUGAUCUAGAAAAUCUAGCCUUUGAUCUUGUUUUGAAGUUUCUUCCAUGUUUGGCUCAUGAAAUUUUGAUCUUUAUCUUUCUUAUCAUUUAGCUUCAAUGCUUGAAUUCGAUCUUGACUUUUCUUGGCAUUUAUCUUUUAAACUCUCGUCUCAAAUAAUUUGACUUGAAUGCAUAAGCAACUUCCAUUUUGAUCUUCAUUUCUAGUUCGAUAUAAAUGCUGGAUUGAUUUUAACAUUGAACUAUCAUUACUCAAAAUAAAUUAUUAGAAAUAAUAUUAAUCUUGUUUGUUAAGAUUAAAGCAUUGAGGAUGAAGUCAAACAUAGGUCAACAGUUUUUCCAUCUCCACAGUUAAUGUGAUUCUUCCUAGGAACAAUUCUGUCUUCCAUAAAUCCAUACAAAGGGAGAGUCAUGGGGUGCAUCUUAUCAUAAGUUGCUCCAAAUAAAAUAUUAACAGAGCUUUCAUUGUCCAUGAGCAUGCGAUUUAAGCAAUUCCUUUCCACAACAACUCUUAGCACUAAAGCAUCACAGUGAGUAUAGUAGAUAUCAAUUGUGUCUUCCUACGUGAAUGUUAUUGGUGAAGUGGCAUUGACCCUACGGGGAGUGUUGUUGACCAAAUAGCUUGUCAUAGGGGGAAUCUUUAGCCUCCAUGGCAUAGUUCUUUUGAGUUUUUUUGGACUCCCCUUCAACAUAUGGGCCCCCAAUUAUCGUAUCAAUCUCCCUAAUAAGAUCAUUUUUCACAUGAGCGUGGGGGUUCCUUGUUUUGUCUUUGUACAUCCCUGGGCCUUCCCAUAUUCUUUUCAUUUCGUUGCCUAGGCAUUUAGUCUCUUUAUGUCCACUUCGUCUCCCCGUGCCAAAACUUUAAACCCCGCCUCCUUUGGGACACGUCCCUUUGGUUUCAAUGUGCAUUCCUUCUGUUAAUAUACUGGUCCAUUGGCUCCAAAUGAUAGGGCCUCGACAUGUAGUCAUUAGUCCUAUGGCUGUGAGUUUGGUGAUAGGUGUAAUACGACCUAUUUCUAGGCUCAUUGCCCCUUCUCUACCUUUGCUCCUUGGUUGGUUCGGUCGUGCUUGUAUGUCGGAGCCAACAUCUUCAUAAGAUAAAGAUGGCACUGUGUUCGAUGUUGCAUUAGCUAAAGCUUGGCCUGAAGUAGGGGCGAUUGUGUGUUCAGCUUGGGUCCAUUGCUGGCUUACCAAAUGUGAUAUGGGGCCUCGCUUCUGUUUUUGUAGAGGUGGAAGCCCCAAUGAAGUUCGAUUGCGAUGAUCGAUUAAUUUUUCCUUGACUAUUUCGCUUCUCAUCAUAUUCGCUAAGGCAUAAUAGGUGGUAGGAUUUUGAUUCCGUACAUCUCUCUAGAAAAAGAGUUUCCAUGUUGAAGACUCCCUUUAAUGCCGAUAGAGCCUCCCUUAUUAGUUACCUAUUCAUGGUGGGUCAUUUCGUCUGUAAACCUAGCCAAAUAGCCCUUCAAAGUUUCACCUGCUUGUUGUCUCAUGUCCUGUAACCUUUGGAUAGGCUUCUUUCUCCUUACUUGAAAGGUACUGAUUCAAGAAAGUCUUUUUUAGAUUAGGCCAGCUUCUGAUGCUGUUAGCUGGUAUGCGACUAUACCAGGUUUCAACAGCUCCUGAUAAAGUUAGGUGAAAAGCUUUGCAUUUCGACAUUGGCGAGGCUCUCUUGAGAGGCAUGUGAGUCUUGUAAUUGUUGAGGUGUUUUGCUGGGUCUCUCUUCCCUUCGUACUUAAGUAUUUUUUGGGAUACCAAGUGGCUCCGAACAUGUGCAUUCCUUCAUUCUUACGAAAAUGGAAGACUUUCAUUGUCAUCGUCUAGUUCAAAAUAUCUACAUGGACAAUCUGAUAUACCCUCUUCAGCUUGAUACCAAUGUGGUUGGGAUGUUCCAACUUGGUUUUGUAGGUUCACCAUACCCCUUAUUUCUCUCCUAUUUCUAGGUGGUCGAACUUCUCGAGGCUCCCACUCUAGGCCAUAUUCUUGCUGCCAUGGAGUGAUGUUGGGACCUAUUUCAAGGCCUUAAAGCUCCGAUUCGGUCAAAAACACUACGGACCUUUGCUGUUCCAAUCUUGUGCCUAUUCUGGGGGAAGUUUCCAGCUUCCGACGGUAGGUUAUCUCCAGAUCUAUUUGGGGCAUAACUUGAGGAUAUUCGUGCCUACUUUCCUUUUGAUAUUGCUCGGCUCCAUUGUUUGUCCCUGUAGAUAGGCCCCUGUGUUAUCAUCCUGAUGAAAAGUUUCCUAUUGAGGAGCUUGAUAUCAUGCUUUCCCAUGUAUCUGCAUAAGUAGUUGUUGCAUAAUAGCAUUUUGCUGGGUUAUGUUUCUCAUGUUUUCUGCCAUUUUCCCCACUUCCCUCAUCAGACGUGCGGUAGUGCCACCUCGUUGAUGUUGGUGGUGGGGUCUAUGGGUGGUUCGUUCGAAGGACUUCUUCUUUAGAAGCCUCCUGUUGACGACUUCUGCUUUGGGAACCAUAAUACUUGAGCUCAUAGUGUAUCGUUGAUCCUUGUGUUAUCAAUAAAUUUCAACAAAUACUUUUCUCGAUGUCUUUUUCCUGUUGUCCUUUCUUCAAGGCCCGGUUGUUGUACAAUUGUUCUCAAGAUGGCUUUCACCACUAGGAUAUUUUUGGUUGUAGUGUGUACUUUCUCACAGAUGGCGCCAUUCUGUUGACCUCAAAAAAUGCACCUUUGACGUGUAAACAGAUCCCAAGGCCUCUCACGUCCAUGUGGGCUUUGUUCCUGUGCACUAAGACAAACCAUUAGUCACACGUGGCCUUUUUCCGGUAAGGGUGGAUCCGACCCCGUGUACUCCGAUGGUCAAGUUAGUUUUGGGAAAACAAACAUAUGAGUGUGGAAGAGAUUUAAACAUGAGCCUCCAAGACAAAGAGGAUCGGCUUUGGAAUUAAGAUAGAGAAUAAAGAAAGCAAAGUUAUAGCCCUUGUUUGAGCUACAUUAUUGAAAUGAAAUUGUAUUUUUGAAUAGUGUAUUGAUAAGAAAUGCGUGGUUAAGAAAAUAAGGAAAAAUUUUGGAUUUACGUAUAAUAUUAUUUUAUUGAAGAAUAUGUGGUUGAGAUGAUGUCAAAUCACUGUUGAAGAAUGUAUUUUCUUGAAAAAAUGUAGCUCAAACAGGGCCAUAAUAUGGAAGUCUAAACUUCCAUUACCCUGGAAUGACACUAAGCUUUUAUAGUAUAGGAUAAUGAGUAAGGACCAUCGGAUGAAAAGAUACGUAGCCUCAUCUAUGCGAUUGGAACUUCCUAUAGUGGGCAUCAAUCAAUCACAGGACAUAAAUGCUAAUACCGCUUUGUCAUACAUAAAUCCUAGCUUGUGGCAGUAGAUUUGACUGAACAGGUUGGCUAUGGCGGUGAUGGCAGGGAGCCAUCACAUCAAUAAAAAAUAAUUACAAGAUUUCCUGCCAGGUCCUUUCCUCGACUUCGCUUCUACCUGUCGAGGCUCUUGCAUGAGAGUUCAGCCACAUAGGUUUGUAUACACAGCCACAUGGGUUCGCAUACAUGGGUUUGGCUGCGUAUGUUGGGUUUGGUAUAACAGGUUUCAUGGAUGCAUGUAUGUUCUUAUUAAUGUACUCUUCAAUGAGAAUGCACCUGCUCUUGAAUAUUGUAGACCAAAAAUUGAGAAUCCACUGCCUAAUUCCUUGAUUUUGAUCUCAAAUUGCUAAAGAAUUGAUGAGAAUUCAGUGUGUUGGAAUUUAACUCAUAAGGUUAUAAAUUCAGAUGUAUAUAAAAAAAAGUUACCUUAAAUUUAUUUAUUGACUAGCAAAAAUUGCAGCAUUACAUUUAUUGACUUUCUGUUUACAUGAAGAUAACAGAAACUUUUAAAUCUUUAUGAUAGUUACAGUUAAAUGCACCGUGACACUUGGGAUCCAUUUGGCAUGACAUCUGCUUUUGAUUUUGUUUUUUUGUAAAAGAAUUUUUAGGCAAAGCCACCUUCUUUUUUAUUUAAAAACUAAAUUUUAAAAGAGAUUUCUAUUCCUAAAAUGUUUUUAAAAAAAGUCAUAUUGAAUCAUCUUCCUUUAAAAGCUCUUUUAAUUAUCAGAGCACUUUUAUGAAUUUAGCCAAACAGGUUCAAAAGGUGCUUUUUGAUUUUUCAAAUGUCAUACCAAACGUGCCCUCAAUGGGUGUUUGAAUUCUAGAAUGCACUUAGAAUCUUGUUAAUGAUUCAAUGACCCUUUGAUCAUUUUGAAAGAAAUUGCAUUUAUGAAAAGGGCAAUUUGAGGAUUUUGUAAAAGAGAGAACAAUAUUUUAAGAUUUGAAAUAGAGAACGGCAUGUAGCUAGAGAUGAAGGAGAAAGCCUAAGUGUUUGUUUGAUAAAAUGUUUCUAAAAUUUCAUUAACUUUUUAAAAAGUUCAAAUUUACGCUAAAAGAAAAGAACAUAUCCAAUUCAUCUUCUCCAUUCAUAUGUGAUGGGCCAUUCACCAUUAAAAUUUGAUGGAUAAUUUACAACAUCACAUUUAUCAUUGUUCUUCUUAUUUUACCCUUAUUUACACCUCUAAUAAGCAUAAACUCGGGAUGAAGAUCUCCAGUUUAUCGACCACAUAUUCAAUCUCAUCAUCUUCUGUUCCAAAUUUUAUGAGUAAUCCAAUAUUAUAGCAGUCAUUGUUAUUCUUAAGGUGAAAUAUGGUAUUCUCUGUGUCAUUUCUUAUUUAUUUUAUUGGAAUGAUUGCAUGAAUUAUUUUCAUAGUACUUUUAAUUUUGAAUGGCUAACUUUGAAAGAGGGGAGAAGGCCGGUGAAAAAAUUGGGUAAGACUAUUAUCCUUGAUUUUUGAAAAAAGAAUUUGCAUUUUUGUUAAGCUAAUGGAGUAUUUGACUGUGGAUAGAUGGAAGGAUAUUUUCUGCAAUGAAAGGUAAAUGUGAGGGUGAAAUUGCCAAAAAUGAAAAAAUAGGAACGUUUUGCACAAAAAUAUUGAAAGGUGGGAACAUUUUGUGUUAAUUAACCUUUGUUGAGUUAAUGGAACAUUUGACAGUAAGUGGAUAGAAGUACCUUUUUCACAAUGAAAAGUGAAAAGUGAGGAUAAAAUUAUCAAAAAACGAAAGGUAAAGACGAUUUGUACAAAAUGAUAGAGAAUUCUUUCAAAUUUUUACCGCCACAAAUCGCUUAAAUCAAAACACAAAUUAAUAACUAGUGAAUAUCACCACACACUAAUUGACAUGUUUUUUAGAAUUUAGUUUGACAUUUAGGGUGUACUUAGUGUUUGCAAAACAAUCCGUCCCGCCAGAGUGGGGAAAAAAANNNNNNNNNNNNNNNNNNNNNNNNNNNNNNNNNNNNNNNNNNNNNNNNNNNNNNNNNNNNNNNNNNNNNNNNNNNNNNNNNNNNNNNNNNNNNNNNNNNNNNNNNNNNNNNNNNNNNNNNNNNNNNNNNNNNNNNNNNNNNNNNNNNNNNNNNNNNNNNNNNNNNNNNNNNNNNNNNNNNNNNNNNNNNNNNNNNNNNNNNNNNNNNNNNNNNNNNNNNNNNNNNNNNNNNNNNNNNNNNNNNNNNNNNNNNNNNNNNNNNNNNNNNNNNNNNNNNNNNNNNNNNNNNNNNNNNNNNNNNNNNNNNNNNNNNNNNNNNNNNNNNNNNNNNNNNNNNNNNNNNNNNNNNNNNNNNNNNNNNNNNNNNNNNNNNNNNNNNNNNNNNNNNNNNNNNNNNNNNNNNNNNNNNNNNNNNNNNNNNNNNNUUUUUUUUAAAUGACAGUGAUAUUCGGAAAAAUUUGUUAUUAAAAGUAAGGAAAAUUUUGUUAUUAAAAGUAAAGAAAAAUUUUGAAUUUACAUAGAAAAAUUAUUUUAUUGAGAGAAUGCAUGAUUAAAAACAAAAAAAAAAAAAUGAGAAGAAGAAAAUGAAUGUUUGAAGAACAAGAAUAAAAUAAGAGCUUAAUUUUACUUAGCCUAGUUUGCAUCUUUUUAAAAACAAAACUCUUUAAUUUUUAUACUCAUUCUUAAUUAAAUAUUUAUACAAUAAAAUAUUUUACAUUUAAAUCUAUUUUUUUAUUAUUUUUUAACUUCACAUUCUUAAAAACAAAAUCACUAUUUAAAACAUUAUUUUUUUCCACAUGCCAUUAAACAGGGGCUUAAAUCCGUUUCUAACCCCCCAAAAAGAAUUCCAUUCAAACUCAAUAGUUUAGGCUUUAGGGGGAAAAGAAAGAGCACGCAGAAUGACGUGAAAUUGCAGAAGGAAUAUCUGGGAAGAUCCCAUUCCCAGCUGGCCGGCACCAUUCGCAUAAAAAAUUCAGUCCAUUGUACGUUUUUGAUACUAGAAUGAAUCCCGCACCAUCACAAAUCUUACACCCACAAAAAUGAUUUUGUUUUAAAUUUACGAAGAGGAGAUUCGUUAACAUCUCAAAUUCUCACAAGACAAAUACACAGAAAGAAGAGAGGGAGAGGAAGCAUGGGGUUUGAAGGGAAACAGAGAAAAGAAGAAGAAGAAGAAGAAGAGGGAGUAAUGGCUACAGAUUUUUUCUGGUCAUAUACAGAUGAGCCUCAUGCCUCUCGUAGAAGGCAGAUACUCUCUCAGUAUCCUCAAAUCAAACAACUCUUUGGCCCUGACCCCUUUGCUUUCCUCAAGGUAUAUAUAGAGGAUUUUCAAAUGUGGGUUUUUCAGAUCUGUGCUAAAAUUCGUAAUGUCGUUUGAAAGAUUCACUUUUUUUUUAAUAAUGUGUUGGAUUUUUCUCUUUUGCACUAUGCAUUUACGUUCAAUUUCAAAAUCAGUAAUCACAUUCGUCUCAUUAAAUGUUGUGUUUACCAUUUAUUGAUGGCAUUAUCUGAUAUUAUACCGAAAGUGACGUAGUCAAUUCUGCAAUUAGUGUUCAUAGCUAUUGGGACAACAUACAUGGUGAAAUGGUUCGUCUUGCCCUGCUUUAAAAAUUAGAUAAAUAAAAGAAAAAAGCUACUUUACCUUUUAAAAUCGUAAAUAAGCUUCGUUAUUCCUCUUUUCCAUUUGUGAUUCAACUCUGCUGUUAGAUUAGCAAUUAAGCUUGCAUUCAUCUUAUUGAGGUGCCAUAGAAAUUCUAAUCUUUACCUUUUUAAUCUGUGUCAUGGUUCCUAUGGGCACCUGAAUCCCACAUCAUUGGAAGUGUGAGCUUCCUUUGUGUGGUUUCUAUUGGCUUGCAUUCUCCAACCUCAUUGACUAGUUUUUGUGGUCUAGCUCUCCAAAUUGAGCCUGACCAAUGGUAUCAGGCAUCAUGGUUUGUUAUGGUUCCCGUUGGUGUGUAUGGGAGAGCCAUACUCCAAAAGCUAGCCAAUGAAAUUGGAUAACCCAAACCAAUAUAAACCACACAAAGAAAACUACACUUCCGAUGUGGAAUUUAGGUGCCCAUACAGCCCAAUGGGAAGCAUGAAAAACCACCAUACUUCUGACUCGGUGUCCAUGUCGAGAAGGCCCACACAUCCUAGAAACCAAGACCAAAAGACAUGAUGUGUUAUGCUCAAUUGGGAGAGUCUGAUCCCAAAAGUUAGCCAGUGAGGUUGAAGAACUCAAGGCAAUAUAAACCACAUAAAGGAAGCUUACACUUCCAAUGUGGGAUUCAGGGGAACCAUGACAAUCUGAUUCACCUUUGUAAUGAUCCAGAUAACGAACCUCAGUACAGUAGCUAAGAAUCCAAUGAAAUUCAAUUGCAUUUUUAGACAUUGUACAAUGUGGUACCAAUGAUCAUCUAGACUCAUUAUUGACAGUCCAACAGAUGAAAUUAGGGAUUCUAUUUUUCUAUUUGAAUGAAAGAGAAAAAUCACUUUCAGUUUCAUAUGACCUUUUUCGUUAUUUUGUUUAAAUGGUUACUCGUUUUACAAUCUUUGAUAUAAUGGGACUAGGAGAUCAUUAUAUUCUGAUCUACAUUGUAAUGUUAGACUAACCUCUAAGUUAAUUCAGAAACAUAUCUUAACGAUGUCAAAUUGUGUUUGAAUUUCUAGCUGUUCAUAACUUCAUUUUACAUUCUUUUAUUUCAGAUUGCUAUGGUUGUUGUUCUUCAGCUAUGGACAGCAACCUAUCUCCAUAAUGCAGGUUGGCUGAAGAUAUUGAUAGUAGCUUAUUUUUUUGGAUCUUUCCUCAACCACAAUCUCUUCUUAGCCAUUCAUGAGCUAAGCCACAAUCUAGCCUUCUCAAAGCCAGUUUACAACCGUUGGCUCGGGAUUUUUGCUAAUCUUCCCAUCGGUGUACCCAUGUCUGUAACUUUCCAAAAGUAUCAUCUUGAGCACCAUCGUUUUCAAGGGGUGGACCGAGUUGAUAUGGAUAUCCCAACUCUCACUGAAGCCCAUCUGGUGAGGAAUAUCGUUUCUAAAUCGAUAUGGGUUAUUCUCCAACUCUUCUUUUAUGCUUUCCGACCAAUUUUUAUCAAACCAAAACCACCGGGCAUAUGGGAGUUUGUUAAUCUAAGUAUCCAGCUCGCCCUUGAUGCUGGUAUAGUACAUUUUUGGGGAUGGAAGUCAUUUGGCUAUUUGAUACUGUCCACCUUUGUUGGAGGAGGGAUGCACCCCAUGGCCGGUCACUUCAUCUCUGAACAUUACGUAUUCAAACCUGAUCAAGAAACAUAUUCUUAUUACGGUCCCUUGAAUCUUAUGACAUGGAGCGUAGGAUACCACAACGAGCACCAUGAUUUCCCUAGGAUCCCCGGCACCAAGCUUGCUAGGUCCCGUAUUAUUUAAAAGGUGGGUCCCACUGAAAUUUGGGCUCAAAGUUGACCCAUUAAACCAUUUUUUCCAACAGUACAUAAUGGACCGGACGGUUGGCUCAGAAGGUGAGGGAGAUUGCACCGGAGUUCUAUGAUAAUUUAGAUUCAUAUAAAUCUUGGAGUCAGGUCAUCUACAUGUACAUAAUGGACCGGACGGUUGGACCGUUCAGCCGGAUGAAAAGAAAUAUAUCUACCAAGAAAUCCGAAUAAUUUCGUCUUCUUUCCGGGCUGAAUAUGCGAGAUGCUCUUUAGUUUUCUUGAUUUUUCUUGAUUGUUUUGUUUUGAAACAUUAUUUACACGCUGUAGGUUAGGUUUUGUAAACGAGCCUUCGGUUUUUUGACCAUCUAAUAUAUUGUUAGCAUUUAUCUAUCUUGACCGGGUCGUUUAAACUUCUUAUCAAUGAUAAUAAGUUGGUAACAAGAUAAACAAAUCGAUGUAGGCUGAAGCAUAAAAUAAACUAAAGAAUACGAUCAAAAUUCGUUGAUUCACAUAGAAUGUCGGGUAUUGACUAUCUAGGCUCGUUGAUUCAUGUGUAAAUUAUGAAAAAUAAUUCGAACAAGAUACUUGAGUCAAACAAUACCAAAAUUGGACUGACAAAGAACAAAUUCGAAUUUUGUAAUUUUCAUUCAACGAACCAUGUCUGAGGCUUGGUGCAAUAUUUUUGAAGUUGAUUUGUCACGAUUCGCAUUGAGAUUAUCGUCCAUGUUUGAGGCUCUAUAGAGCCUCUAAUUGUAGCUGAGGCUUCUAAUUAUAUUUUUGGUCAAGUGUUAGUCCUUGACUCCUUUGCUCGAGUACAUCUCAACGACUAAAAUGUUUUUAUGAUCCUAUAGGACUUGGCGAUCGAGACAUAAAUAUUCAUCCUGGACAUGUGAAAGCACGAUGUGAUCCUUCUGGCAUCCAAGUGGACUAAAGGUACAUAACAUUAUUGGAAAAAAAAAUGUUGAACAAAAUCGUUGAAUUUGAAAAUUUUCUAUAUUAGACUGACAAGAAUUCAAACAAAUUCAAGUUUUGUAAUUUUCAUUCAAGAAACCAAAAAUUAAAUUCAUUUUUUAAACGUAUUAACGGAAGUCAAAAGACAAUGUCAACAAAAAUAAAUGACAACACAAUUUUCGAAACCAAUUAAAAUUGAAUCAUGGAUAUUAAGAGAAACGUGAAUAAAUGAAAAGAAAAAGCUGGAACCUGUGAGCCAGCUAAUAUUUUCCCAAGGUCUGAGGUUUCCAGCCAUCAGCAUUUUAGGACUGAAUUAAAGCAGCAAUACUUAAAUAAAAAUUCUAAAAGACAAAAUUGAAAAACGUAGUAUCAUUUUUAUUAAAUGAAAUGGCUAACAAAAUUUGAUUGAAUUAUCAUCCUUUUCCAUUGGGUUGUUCUUUAAUUUUUGGUCACAAAAUCAUUAAAAAUAAAAUCAAGUCGUACAAGGCAAGGAAAUCAUGCACAGUAGAACGGGUGGUAUUCUUUUAACCUACCAUUUAAUGUUGAAUAAUGCUAUUUGCAAUCGUUCACUAUUAUAGUCAUACUAGUAUCAAAUCACUAACCGCUACAUAUAUGUCAUGUAGAACGAUUACAGUAGAAGCGACUUCAAAUAAUGUUACUCUUUAAUAUUACAUUAGUGCAACAUAAACUAGAGUUAUAAUCCCAAUAGAAUAUGUGAAAAAAAAAAAAAAAAAAAACCUAGUUUUUUGUUGGAUAAAAGAUACUCCUUCCGUCCCAUCUAUAUAGACUAACUUUUCUUUUUCUUUUUUGUCCCAAUUAUAUAAUGAUGUUUCUUUAUUGAGAAUAUUUUAUUUUGUUCAUUUACUAAUGUAUCAUCAUUUAAUUUGCCUAAUUAUAACUAAUUUUUCCACUUAAUCUUAAAAUUAUACAAAUAUAAAUAAGGGUAAUCUAGGAUUUUUUUUUUUUUUGUAAAAAUUACAUUUUUAAUAAUAUUAAAUAAGAUUUCUUAAUUCGUAUGAAAAACAAAACAAACCUAUAUAAAUGGGAUGGAGGGAGUAGUAUAAGUUUUUUUUUUUGAAGAUUUUUUUAUUUUAUUUUUCAUAACAUUAAAACAAAUUGACUUGUACCAUUUGAGUUAAUUACUGUCUGUUUAUAUAAAAAAAGGUUGAAUCCCAACUUUGAGGGCCCUCACUGCCUUGUCUUAGAGUUUUGUGAGGGAAGUAAAUUGUGGGAUGUGUUCCAACAGGUCAGAGAACAAAAACUGUAUGUAUACUGCGCCUACAAGGAGUCAAAUUCCAUGUCUCAGGAAUCGAACUCCCACACUGCGGUUGCCAGUAAGGCGUGAGAUAACCUCACUUCUGUUUAUAGUCAAGAUGACAAGUUGGUAGCAGCGUCAUCAGCAUCCACUAAUUAUCAAUGUUUUUUUUUUUUUUUUUGGCUUAUUCUGAUCUUCUAUUAUAUUACAAGAGAUUAUGGCAACGGGACAAGUUUCCAUUCUCGCCCUCAUUCUGCUGUGUAUUUUUGUUAUCCUACCCCAACUUCAUACUUUAUUAAGACGGGGCAGGGCGGAUUCAAGUUGGGACAACUUUUAUUUAUUUAGUUUUGUUUUCAUUUUUUUAUAUCUUUAGUUGGUAAAAAUUGUUUACCUAAUUUUUUUUUUAAAUAUAUUAAGAACAAUUCAUAUUCCCUCCAAAUUGGAUGAUAAUUCUUUUCAUUUUAUUUGAUAAAAAACUUAAAUUUGAAAUAAACUUUAGACGGGAUAGAUGGUGGGGAGGGGACUAUAUUUUUCUUACUCGAUCCCGUACCCACCUCGAGGCAACGACCCUCACCUUACACUCGCUCCUUCCCCAUUUAUCAGAUUAAGCGGGUACUUCCCUCUCCAUAUGAUGAUGGGCUUCACGGAUAUUUAAUUUAACGAAUUUAUUUGUCAUUCCUUCUCCGGUCGGCUGUCACUUAUUUAGUGGAUUACUUUGUUUACUUUUCCAAUUAACAAAAUAUGCAAAUAAUUCUAGAAUUCGUUUUAAAAAUCAAGAAAUAUAAUAAAUAUAUCCAAAAUACAUACUAAAAAUCAGCUUAUUAAGGGCAAGUGGGAUUUUGUUUAUUUCAUAAUAUCCUCUAUAAUUUUAGCAAGAAGAUAGCUGUCACGACGUCGAUGAUGUUAUGGGCUCAAUCGCCACUGAUGAUUAACAGAUUCGUGCUCUAAUUGGAUAAUUGGUUCUAUAUUAUUGUUACAUAAAAUGAUUGCAGAAUAUAAUAUUUUAUUAAUCUAAAAGGAACAAAAAAAAGGGAAUUGAAAAUUGCUGAAAGGAGAGUAAAUGUGUAAAUUGAAACCUACGUAAAUAUAGUUUUCUUAAAACAGAUUCGCCAACUCACCAUAUGUACUAGAGGUUUCGUUUGAAUGUCUAUCUCUUAAGAUACAAUGGAGAAAUCAGUAGAAUAUGAGCAUUUGAGUUUCAAUUUAGACAAACAGAAUUUGUGUUAGGAAUUGUAAAUUAUGCAGUAUGCAAACAGAGUAUGACAAUUUUUUAUGUAGAAUAAUGAAAAAAAAUAGCUCAGUUAUAGAAUUGGCCCACCAUGAAUGGUGAGUUUAAUCCAUCAGUAAACAUGCCAUUAACUUCAUAUUAUAAUGACAAUAACAACUGGAGUUUCAGCAGUUUCAAAAGUUAGAAUGAUAGUUGGAGAAAGCAAAAAUUAGGAAAUAAAAGUAAAACGUAGACACUCGAAAGGGACUAAUUUUUGGCUCCUUCAGUCUAAUAUUUGUGUACGCAGGUCAUGCUUGUAUAUAAGUUCAAGGUUCAAUGUACAAUUCGAUUCGUGAUUUGCACCUCCGAUCGCGUUUGUGGAGAGAGUCUCUAAACUACACACGAUUAUACCCUUUUAAAAUAUAUCUAUAUAUAAAGUGAUCUUUACUUUUCUCAUUUUCAUAUGUGGGAUAAACUUAAAAUAGUUUUUUCUACAAUACUUUUUCAAUUCAUCAACUUUGAUCUUCAAUUUCCCAUUCACCCAACCAUCAAUUUUGAUAAGUAAAUACAUGAUUUCGAUGUUCUUAUGGAAGAGAACACAAAUCAACUUUGAUUUUUCAAAAUGAACAAACAAGUCCCAUUCAAAAUUAGCCCACUAGCAUUUUUUUUUCCUAACAUUCCCUCACAUGAAUGACAAUUGAGAAAGGCAAAGAAAUGGGAGACAAAAAGACUUGAUGAUAUACUUCAACGAUUGAAACCUGCAUAGAAUAAGUGGGUAUUACGUUUGAAUAUUUCUUUGUGAAAGUAUAUUUACUUUACUAGCUAAUCAGUUGAUAUGAUGUGUUUGAACUUUUCUACCUUUUUAUGUAAAUGAUGAUAUACUUCAUACAGGCUUCUUCCUAACACAAUUAUAUUUCAUUGUUAUGUUAGUUUAUGGCCAUAAACAUACUCCUGGUUCUAUGGGAUUUUGUGAGAAUUGAGCCCCAUACAAUUUCAUUAAAAGAGGUCCUACUUCUCUCUCUCUUACAUAAAUGAUUUCUUAUUACAAGCAACCUACAUUACUUAGCUUGAUUUCCUACGUAUAACAAUCAUUAAAAACCUAUUGUUUUUCCUUCAUCCUUAUAGGCAUUACUGUUACAUCAUAAGAAUGGAUAAGAGAUAACAUUUCACAUGGUGAUACAAUUAACUCUUUAAAAUCAGGUUGUCAUUUUAAAACUACAUUUUGGGAUCUCCAAUCAACUAUGUUAGCUAUUCUUCAUAUUAACUCAUUUGUUCAAGGGCUUAAGUCUCAUUUCUUUCAACAACUUUCCAAUUAACUCUCUACUUAAUCAUUUGGUUAGCGGAUCAUCAAUGUUAUCUUUGACUUUACAUAGUCAACAGAGAUAACUUCAGUUGAGAGUAAUUGUCUUAUGGUAUUAUUCUACAACGUAUAUGUCUGGACUUACCAUUGUACAUUUUUCCCUGUGCCCUUCAAUUAGUGUUUGACUAUCAUAAUGUAUGCAAAUUGUUGGCACGAGAUUUGACCAUCUCAAAAUAUCUUCUAAAAAGUUUUGUAGCCACUUAGCCUCUUCACCACAUUUAUCUAAAGCUCUAAACUCAAAUUUUAUGGUAGAUCCGACUAUAACUAUUUGUUCUAGAGGAUUUCCACGAUAUUGAUAUACUUCCCAAUAUGAACAGAAACCACUAGUGGAUUUUGAAUCUUUUAUAUUAGAUAUCUAGUUUACAUCACUAUAUCUUUCAAUGACUGUUGGAUAUCUGGUAUAAUAUAGUUUAUAGUUAGUAUCUUAGUACUAUUUGUAUUCCUUUCUAGUGGUUAGUUCUCGGAUUAGUCGUGUAUUUACAUAGUUUACUAACUGCAUAUACUAUGUCUGGUCUUGUACAACUCAUCUAGUACAUCAAACUUUGAAUAAUUCUAGAGUAUUCUACUUGAGAGACACUAUCGCCUUUACUUUUAGAUAUAUGCUAACUUGUAUCUAUCGGUAUUCUAGUCAUACUAGUAUCAUCCUUGUGAAAAAUUUUCAAAAUUUUAUUUGCAUAAUGUGAUUGGCUUAGAACGAGUUCAUCUGAUGUUCUUGUAGUUUUAACUCCAAGUAUCACAUAAGCUAAACAUAUAUCUUUCAUGUCAAAUCUUGAAUUUAACAUAUUUUUAGUAAAUUUAAUCAUCUUAUCUUUCCUACAAACAAUAAACAUGUUAUCCAUGUAAAGACAUAAAAUGACAUAACUAUUUUCGGUGUCUUUGACGUAAAUGUAUGUCACCCUUAUUUAUCUUAAAUCCAUAUUUCAUCAUGACAUCAUCAGACUUUCAUGCCAUUAUUUGGGUGCUUCUUUCAAGUUGUACAAUAACUUCACAAAUUUACGGACUUUCUUUUCGUGCCCUGGUGAGGAAAAACCCUUAGGUUAUUCCACGUAGAUUUCUCCCUUUAAAUCUCCAUUUGAAAAGAUAGUUUUAACAUCCAUGUGAUGUAUUUCAAGAUUUUGUAGAGCUGCAAUCGUAGGUAUUAUUUUAAUAGAUAUUAUUCUCGUCACUAGAGAAUAUGUAUCAAAGUAAUCAAGGCCUGUACGUUAUCUGUAACCCUUUAUCACCAGUUUAGCGUUAUACUUUUCGAUAUUUCUAUCUAUUUUCAUUUUCUUUUUGAAAAUCUAUUUGUAGCUUAACGGUUUACAUCUUGAAGAAAAAGCCACUAGCUUAUAUGUAUGAUUUACAAUAUGGAAUCUGUUUUUACUUUUAAUGACCUCUUUCCAUUGAGGUUCAUAUGAAAAGUUCACAACUUUUUGACAACUUUGAAGUUCACUUUCUAGUAAAUAAAUUAGAAAAUUAGGACCAUGAGAUUUUUCUAUCCGUUCUCUUUUGCUACGUCUUGGUUCAACUUCAACCACCUCUUCUUGUUCUUGGUUUUGACUAUUUCUAACCAUAGUCUCAUGUAUCCAUUUAGAAGAGCUUGCUUCCUCUUUGGAUCUAUACGAAAAUACAUGUUCAAAGAAUUAUUAAUUUCUCGAUUCCAUUAUUUUAUUUUUGUAUAUGCCUGGGAUUUUAGACUCGUGCACAAGAAAUCAAUAUGCGCUACUAUUAUGUGCAUAACCAAUGAAGAUAUAAUCCACAAUUUUCAGGCAUAUCUUUACUUUCUUUGGUGUUGAGACAACAAUUUUAACAAGAUACCCCAAUUCCCACAAGUAUUUAUAUGAAGACAUUUUUUCCCUAACUCAUAACAGAACUUCCCUCUAGAUGUUCUGAGGUGAUUUAAAACUUACUAACAUUACAUUCAUCAUUUCUUAUAAAGUAUGAUUUUAACAUUCAACAAGACCAUUUUGUUUCAAUGAAUAAGGUGUAGUGGUUUUAUGUAUGAUUCAGUGUUAUGCACAGAAUUCAACAACUAGUGCUGUAUAUUCAUCACCUCGAUCACUUCUCAAUACCUCAAUUUUCUUAUUUAAUUGAUUUUCAAACUUAUCUAAUAGAAAACAAAUUUCUCUAUUGCUUCGUCCUUACUUUUAAGCAGGUACUCAUAACACUAUUUUGUGCUAUCAUCGACAAAAAAUAAUAAAGUACUUUUUGCUACUUCUUGUUUGUACAAAUUUUAAAUCAUAGAUGUCACUAUGAAUUAAAUCAAGUGGUUCUAUAUUUCAUUCAAUUAAUUUUGGAUUUCAAUUAGUAUUAGAGCUUGUACUCUCCUUCAAAAAAUUUUACAAUCUUGAGUAAUGGCUAACCAAGUUUUUCAAAAUUUUGAGGGGCACUCCACAAACCGACCUCCUUUCUUUAAUGACACAUACUAUAAUUAUUGGAAAGUUAGGAUGAUGCUAUAUAUUCAAUCAAUUGAUUAUAACAUUUGGGAAGUUAUUGAAUACAGUCCCAAUGUGCCUACCAAGACUAACAAAAUAGAUGGGAGACCAUAUGAAACUAUCCCUAAGCCUAAAGAGGAAUAUGAUGAAGAAGAUAAGAAAAAAUUAUCGUUAAAUGUCAAAGCUAAGAAUCUACUUUAUUGUGCACUAGAUAGAAAUGAAUUUAAUCGAAUUAGCACAUGUGAAUCGGCAUGAUGUUUGGCAUGCACUAGAAGUCACUUAUGUUGGCAUGAGCAAGGUUAAGGAAACAAAAAUAAAUUUGUUAGUUAAAGAAUUCGAAAAUUUCUUCAUGAAACAAGAUAAGCUUAUUGUUGAUAUGAUUACACGUUUUACCAAUAUUGUGAAAAGACUUAAAGGUUUUGAUCGUAAAUUUACUAACGAUGAACUUGUUAGCAAAAUGCUUAGGUUCUUAAUGGAGGAAUGUAGCCCGUUGAGGAUGUUGAUUGAGAAUACCAAGGAUAUAAAUACAUAUCCUUUGAAGGAGCUCUACGAUACAUUAAUAACCUAUAAACUCAAUAAUGCCGAGGUCAAGGAGAAAACAAGAAAAAGCAAGGAAGAAUCAAAGGAGCCCCUCAAAUGACAAAUUUCCUCAAAAUCAAAAAUUGAAGAAGGAACAUCAAAGGAAAAAUGAGCAAUGAAGGGCCUAACGAUUUAGUUCUUCUAGUCAAAAAAUGAAGAGGUCUUCGUAAUAAUCCAAGAUUUCAAAGGAGGAAAAAUGGUGAAGAAAGAAGCAAGAAGAUUAUUUGCUAUGAUUGUGAUAAUUCCGAUCACAAAAGAAUCAAGUGCCUGAACAAAAAGAAAAAUUUCAAGAAAAAAGCACUUCAAGCUACUUGUGCUUCAUGGCGAUCGAAGACUAGGUAAGCGUAAAUGAAAAAUGUUCUUAUGAUGAGUUAUCAAAUUCAUAUGAUGAAAUGUUUGAAAAUUUUGAAAAACUUGCCUUGAGUCACUCCAUUCUUAAAAAAAAGAAUUCUUUGUUAAAAGAUGAAAUAAAGAAAAUUUUGGAAAAACAAAAAGAAAAAGUUGAUCAUGAUUAUUAGUGAAGGAGAACAUUUCACUAAAAGAAAAAGUGGAAGAUUUAACGAAAAUUAUUCAUAAAUUCAUCGAGGGAAAGAAAAUUUUGAUUUAAUACUCAGUAGUCAGAAUGCGUUUUUGAUAAAGGGAAAAUUGGAUAUAAAAACUCUUUAAAACAAAAAUAUCUCAAAAAUAUGUUCAUUAAAACUUCAAACACUACAUGUAGUUUUUGUAAUAAAAGUGGACAUGUAGCAUUUAAUUGUCUAGCUAAAAGAAGCUAUCUUUUGAAAACAAGUAUAAGUGGAUUCGAGAGUUUACAAAAACUAACUACCAAGGACCCAAGUUUUCAUGGGUACCAAAAAUCAAAAAUUGAAUUGUUCUUUUAGGAACUAAAGAAAAUAAGAAACAAAUGGUUCUUAGAUAGCUGUUGUUCGAAACACAUGACUGGAGAUUGAUCCUUGCUAUCGAACUUCAAAAAUAAGGAUGGAAGCCACGUAACCUUCGGAGACAACACCAAAGGCAAAAUUAUUGGCAUUGGAAACAUCGGUAAUUGCUCAUCCUACCAAUUGAAAAUGUCUUACUAGUUGAUAACCUUAAACAUAAUUUACUAAGUAUUAGUUAAUUAUGUGAUAAAGGUUAUAAUAUAAAAUUUGAUUCUUCCAAAUGUCUUAUUGAGGAUGCUACACCAAAAGAUGUGAUUUUCGUAGAAAACUGAAGUAAAGAUGUUUAUAUUAUGAACAUUGAAUUUGAAAAUAAAUGAAAAUUGUUUACUUAGUGUGAAAGAAGAAUCAUGGCUAGGGCAUAGAUUAGAGCAUGUUAGCAUGAUCUUCUUUAGAAAAUUUCCAAAAAAUUAUUUUGUAAAAGGUUUACCAAAUUUAAAAUUUGAAAAAGAUAAAAUUUGUGAUGCUUGUCAAUUUGAAAAACAAGUAAAAAAUUCUUUCAAGCCUGAACUUCAUGUUUCAACUACUAAACCAUUACAACUUCUCCACAUAAAUCUUUUUGGACCUUUUGGGACAGCUAGCUUAAGUGGUAAACAUUACGCCUUUGUUAUAGUUAGCGACUUUUCAAGAUUUACUUGUGUUGUAUUUUUGAGUUUGAAAGAAUAAGCCUUAAAGCUUUUAAAUAUUUUUGUAAGAAAGUUGAAAAUGAAAGAAAAAAAAAAGGUUACUCUAUUACAAUUAUUAGAAGUGAUCAUGGUGGAGAAUUUGAUAAUGUUGGCUUUGAUGACUUUUGUAAUGAUCAUGAAUAUGAACAUAAUUUUUUGGCUCCUAGAACUCAAAAAAAUGGUGCAGUAAAAAGGAAGAAUCGUAUAUUGCAAAAAAUUGCUAGGACCAUGCUAAAUAAAAAUAAUUUGCCAAAAUAUUUUUGGGCCAAAGCCGUGAACACUGCUUGCUACAUCGUCAAUGGAGUUUUAGUAAGUAAAAACAAAACUAAAACUCCUUUCGAACUUUGGAAAAAUAGAAUUCCAAAUCUUAGUUAUUUUAAAGUUUUUGGAUGUAAAAUGCUUUAUUUUGAAUACAAAAGAUAAUUUGGGAAAAUUUGAUUCAAAAUCCGAUGUAAUAAUUUUGCCAGGAUAUUCAUCGACUAGCAAUGCAUAAAGAGUUUUUAACAAACGAACUCUAGUCGUUGAAGAAUUCAUGCAUGUUACUUUUGAUGAGACUAACUCUUUUGAUUGAGAGAAAGAUAGUGAUGACGAUAUAGGUUUGGAAGCUCCAUUUGAACAAAUGAAGAUUCAAAACCAAAGCAAUGAGGCACCAAAUGAAGAACAAAAGGAGGAAUCAAAUGAAGAAAAACAAACCGUGGCACAAAGUGAUUGCUCAUUACCAAAAGAAUGGAGAUUUGUUCCAUCUCAUCCUAAGGAGGUAUUAUCAUAGGUGAUCCAUCAAAAUGUAUCACUACUAAAACUUCUUACAAAAAUCAUCUCGGUAGUUGUGUAUUUAUUUCUCAAAUCAAAUCUAAAAAUUUCAAAGAAACCGAGUUUGAUGAGUUUUGGAUUCUAGUGAUGCAAGAAGAAUUAAAUCAAUUUGAAAAAAAAAACAUAUUUGGUACUUAGUCGCUAGACCAAACCAUCAAAUCACUAUUGGUACUAAAUGGAUUUUUAGAAACAAAAGAGAUAAAAAUGGAAUAAUUGUGCGUAACAAAGCUAGAUUGGUGACCCAAGGUUACAAUAAAAAAGACUGUAUUGAUUUUGAAGAAACAUUUGCACCCGUAACUAGACUAGAAUCCAUUCACUUGCUUAUUGCAUUUGCAUAUUAUAAAGAUUUUACACUUUAUCAAAUGAAUGUUAAAAGUACAUUUCUAAUUGAAUUUAUUCAAAAAGAAUUUUUUGUUGAGCAGCCUCUCAAUUUAAAGAUCAUAAGUAUUCGGAUCAUGUGUUUAAACUUAGAAAAGCUCUUUACAAUUUGAAACAAGCUCCAAGAGUUUGGUAUGAACGUUUGAGCAAAUUUUUUCUUUUAAAUGAUUUUUCAAUUGAAAAGCAGAUACUACAUUUUUUGUAAAAACUCAUAAGAAAGAUAUGCUUAUUGUUCAAAUUUAUGUUGAUGACAUUAUUUUUGGUACCACAAACAUCCAUCUUUGCAAAGCGUUUUCAAGUUGUAGUAACUAGACUAGAAUCCAUUCACUUGCUUAUUGCAUUUGCAUAUUAUAAAGAUUUUACACUUUAUCAAAUCAAUGUUAAAAGUACAUUUCUAAUUGAAUUUAUUCAAAAAGAAUUUUUUGUUGAGCAGCCUCUCAAUUUAAAGAUCAUAAGUAUUCGGAUCAUGUGUUUAAACUUAGAAAAGCUCUUUACAAUUUGAAACAAGCUCCAAGAGUUUGGUAUGAACGUUUGAGCAAAUUUUUUCUUUUAAAUGAUUUUUCAAUUGAAAAGCAGAUACUACAUUUUUUCUAAAAACUCAUAAGAAAGAUAUGCUUAUUGUUCAAAUUUAUGUUGAUGACAUUAUUUUUGGUACCACAAACAUCCAUCUUUGCAAAGCGUUUUCAAAUUGUAUGAGUAAAGAAUUUGAAAUGAGCAUGAUAGAACUAAAAUUCUUCAUUGGACUUCAAGUUAAACAAACAAAAGAUGAUAUUUUCAUAAAUCAAAAUAAGUACAUAUUAGACAUGCUUAAAAGAUUUGAUAUACAUGAUCUUAAGCUUAUGAACACACCCAUGAACACGUCUCUAAAGCUUGACAAAGAUGAGCAUUACACUCUGGUUGAGGUCACAAAAUAUUGAGGUAUGAUCAGAUCCUUUCUUUAUUUGACUACUAGUAGGCCUGAUAUUACGUUUAGUGUAUGCAUAUGUGUUAGAUUUCAAUCUAAUCCUAAGGAAACACAUUUACGUGUCGUAAAAAGAAUUUUUCGAUUUCUUAGUGGAACUAGAACCUUAGGACUUUGGUAUCCAAAAGAGACUCACAUUGAUCUAAUUAGUUAUUCGGAUGAUGAUUGGACCAGAUGUAAUGUUGAUCGUAAAAACACUAGCGAAAAUUGUCAAUUUCUAGGCUUUUGCACUUGUGUCUUCGUCUAGUAAGCAACAAAAUUCCAUUACACUAUCCACCACCGAGGCGGAAUACAUUUCGGUUGCUAGUUGUUGUGCACAAACACUUUGGAUGAAACCAACUCUUUGCGAUUAUUACUUAUCUUAUGCUCAUAGGCCUAUUUUGUGUGAUAACAUUAGUGCCAUCAAUCCCGUUUUGCAUUCACGAACUAAGCAUAUUGAAAUAUGACACCACUUUCUUAGAGAUCAUGCACAAAAGGGAGAUAUCAUGUUAGAAUUUGUAAAAACCAAGGACCAAUUAGCCGACAUCUUCACUAAACCUCUAGCACACAAUUGAUUUUCCCAUAUUCGAAGAGGUUUAGGAAUUACUGAUGAAAAUAAAGUGGAAUAAAUUCAAUCUUUCCAAUCACGUAUGUUUUACAAUUUUUUAAAAUAAUUUUUGAAUUACCCUACUUUAAAAAAAAUCCUUCAGACGAUAAAGUCUAGACAGUUCAACAUUGUCCGGAUUGACAGAGAGUUCAAACCAUUGAAUCUUUGUUGAUCCGGACAUCCAGAUCAUAUUCCAGACAUCCAGAUGAGAGGAAAAUCAGGUGUUCAUAAACACGAACAGCCUCUUCGUCUCUCAUUUUUUCUUCUCACCUUCCUUGAAUUUUUCUCAAUCUCCUCUCACCAUGUCAUUGACAUUGCUUAUCGGUCUACCUUCAAUUCCAAAUUGCCACAAGAUUAUAGGUUUCAAAAUCACAUUUUUUUCUCAAAAAUCAUUCAAUUUUGUGUAUAUAUCCCCAAAUAUCACUCCACUCGAACCUGUCAUUUAGUUUGGGUAUUCUUGCACAAUUCAUUCACUAAUUCAUAGGAUUUCAAAGGCCCCAUCACCACUCAUCAAGAUAUUUGAAACUCUUCUAAAAAAUUUGAAUUUUACUGGUGAAGAUUGAACCCCUCGAAUUCAAAAUUUGGGGCUUUUGAGUUUCUCCUUAAUUCUUCACAAUGUCGGGAUCUCAACAAGGAAGAAGGGCAAAAAGAAUUACGAGACAACCUCCUUCACCACCUUCGGAAGAAUAAAUGGACUUGGAGCCGGAGGGGCCACUGAAUCCUUUCGAAAAAUCACCCAUUUUAAUUGGUGAGAUUGUUGAUUUUGCUGAUUUUUCUAUAGAUAUUCCAGCAUUUCAAAUUAAAGAAUGUUUUGAACGUAUGGGAUGGGUAUCCAUGGCAACAAUGGAAGAGCAUGCAUACCUACACCUUAUGAAAGAAUUUUAUCAAAAGAUGCACGUUGCACCUCAUUUCGAUGAGAUUACAUGUUUAGUAAAAAAAUGUGUGCAUUACGAUUUCUAAGGCUUCAAUUCGUGAUAUUAUCGUGAAGUCACCGGGAAGGAUUUUGAGAAUAUUACAAAAUUGAGUGCGCAUCAAUUAAUUCUUCCAUGUAAAGUUUUAAAAAACAUUAUCGCCCAUAUUAUUUUUCCUCGUAAUGGUCACCGAGACUAAGUUAAUCACUUCGGUCUCUUUAUUAUGGAUUUACUUUUAGUUGGCCAUCGAAUUGAUUUUCCUACAAUUGCAUUAGGACUUAUGAAGCUUGUGCAUGCAUCACAACACGUUAAAACUUGACCUUAUGGGAUGCUUCUAACAAAAUUUUUUGAACACUUUAAUGUUUUUUCGAUGGAGAAGAUUUUGUUAAGUUACACCCUACCGAUACUAUCAACAUCCAAACACUAAAAAGAAUGAAGAUAGUAAAAGAACGAGGGCAAUGAGUAGCUCACACGAAAGGAUUCGAUCCUACCUUUGGUCCAUCUACUUUGCUUUUCGAAGAAGAAGUCAAAGACGAGCCUGAAGCACCUACUCCCGCUUCUGACAUUUUUAGCUCUAAUGCACCCCGUUCUUUUGGAAGGCACUUCAUAUUUACUGAGGAGCAGUAUAAUCUCCUUCAUAGGCGUAUUGGUUCCCCCACCUCGUCCAUCGACUUCUUUGUAGCCUACUUUUUCAGAUACAGGCAAAGCAAACCAUUAUCCAGGACCGACAGGCCGAAAUGCAAGAGUAACAAAAUGCAUUCUUCGCGAAUUUUUAUGCUCGCUUCCCAACUCCGACGCCCUAGUUUAUUGCUAUACUUUCAUUUGCUAGAUGUUACUUUAUUGUCCAACUAUAAAAUUCAAUUAUUGCGCUUUUGUGUUAUUCGGCUGCAUGGCAUAUUAUGUAUUGAAUGUCCUAUGGUUGACUUCUUUAUGACUUUCAUUUGUGCUAUUAUCUCUUUUUGCUUAUGCCAAAAGGGGAAGGAUAAAGUAGAUGAUUAUGCAAAGCAGGAGGAACAUUGUAAAGGGAAACUUGUAAAAUCUUAUGAACAUUGUAAAGGGGAAACUUAAAAUUUUUAUAUACAUGUAGAUAGGGGGCACUUAAGUGAAAUCAAUAGGGGGAAUAUAAUUGCUAUAUUCAAAUUUCAUGUUCCUUGCCCAAUUCAAUUUGUUUACUAUUUAUAUUGCAAAUUCUUUUGUUUGUCAUAAUCAAAAAGGGGAAAAUUGUUCACCUAAUGGUUGACUUCUCAUUUUGAUUAUAACAAAGAAAUUGCAUUUAAUUCUAACAAAUUGAAUUUGAGUGUUGAUAGUGAUUACUAUGAAAUCAACAAAGAAUGAAGAAAUGAGAAUCAAGAUCAAGAUUCAUGCAUAUAGUUAUGUAGGCAAAUUUCUGUAUCCAGUAUCUUUUCCGAUUUUCUUGAAAUUUGUUUUAUGUUUCUCUGAAAUUUUUAAAUAAGCUAUAAUGUCAUUUCUUGUAGGCAAAUUUUUCAGUCUGUUUUUUCUUCUGAUUUUCUUGAAAUGUCGUAUCAAUUCUUUCUGCACUGUGAAUGAUCUCACAAUUUGUGUUCUCUCUGGAGUUCUCCAUUAUGAUCUAACGAUAUAAGAAUCGUCCUAAUUCUAUCUGCUCUUCUUGUUAUGUUUUCAGGGCAUAUCAGGGUUGAUGUGUACAUGAUUUAUUUCAAUCUGGAGAUUAUUUUAGCUAAAUUUAAAAAGUUCAACAGAGGAAUUUCAUGGGCUGUAGCUAGUUUGAAAUUGAAUCAUCCAAUUUUUUCUGAUGAUAAUGCUAGCAUUCAUCUGCACACAGUUUUUAAGCAAAAUAAGCUAUAUUUCCAUCGUUAAACCUUUGAAAUGAAGAUAAGUUGCAUCCAAAAACAAAACCUGUAGAAGCAGAAGCUGAUGUUUUAUUAAUUAAUACCAUAAGCAUUAACUUUUCUUUACAAAGUAACCAUUUUUAGGUAAACAGUGCAUGAAAUCUGGUUAGUGUGAUUCUGCAGGAGCCAUGGCAUCGCCAGUACUCUCUUCUGGCAUAUUGGAUGCAGGUGAAUUCAUGUGUGCAUGGUGACUGAAGUACAUGGUGAAUCCAGGACAACCAUAGGGAUUGCCACAGUUCAUUGGUCGGCAGUGGUAAUUCGGCGGAGGAACCCAUGGUCCUUCUCCAUAUCCUGGUGGACUGCCUCCAUCAUUGCCCCCUGAACCGGAACCAAAUCCACCACCGAACCCAAAUCCACCACCAUUUCCUCCGACCGGGAUGCCAUAACCCGGAGCACCAACUCCUGGGAUACCAAAAUUUGGGACACCAAAACUUGGUACGCCUCCAACCCAGCCACCACCACCUCCUCCUCCGCCUCCAUUGCUAAUGCCCCCAUUAUUGCCAUUUCCACUUCCACUGCCACUCCCACUUCCAUAACCACCAGCAGAUCCAACUACCGGGGCACCACCAAAAGUCGGGGUGCUCACAAAACCGCCCCCGCCUCCCCCUCCACCUCCAUUACUUAAAACGUGGCCGUUCCAUGCAUGCUCAGUAUCAGUAAUGUCCUCCAUGCUGCGAACGAUGCGGUCUUGGUUGGUUCCAGCCUCAUUAGGAAGAAUUCUGUGUGCAGAACACAGGACCAAGCUUAGAAAUGCAAGGAGUGCAACAUGGGAGCAUUUUAAUGUAGCCAUUUCUUGAUAUUAUAAUUAAGUGAUUCGAAUGAUAUUUUCACUGUGAAUACAAAGCUUUAUAUAGUGAAAGGUCUGCUACAAAUUGCAUGGUUUUAUCAUUUAUGUUGGACAAAUUCAUAGAACAAGGAAGUGGUUGAGGAGAAGUGCAAAUGUGCAAGGAAUUGGGAUUACUUCACACAAUCUGAAUUGAAUAAUUAUUCAUCAAAUUGAGGAAAAUGAAAUUUGUGUGAAAACCAUAGCAUUUUGCUCCGUUUUCUGGCACUAUAUGCUUUUGUUAACUCCUAAACUGGAGAACAUACAUAAGACUGAGAAGACAUAUCGCCUGUUUAAAUUAAUUUUUGAUUUAGAACAUACAUGAGACUGAGAAUCUUCACUCCUAGAUAUAUGAUUUGUGGAGUCCUGAAUUAAUUUUUGAUUCUUGUACCUCAUUAACCUAUUCAAAUUUUGUGAUUGUGAUAUGCAUUUUGAGGAAGCAUUGAAUUGCUUAUAUUGAGUUAAGAAAAUUGUUCAAAGUCUAGCGAAGUAUCUAUUAUGCUUUAUUCGAGGACGAACAAAUGUUCAAGUUUGGGGGAGUUUGAUAAGGUUAAAAUUUACACUUAUUAAAGCCACCAAAAGUGACUUUUGUUAAUUUUAUUAUGAAAUUGAUACUUAAUUAUAUGUGUUUUUAUUAUAUUAGGGGAAAACUCAAGAUCGGAGAAAAUAUUGAUCAAGAUGGAUGUAAUUGAAUAAAAUCUGCAAUUUUGGGAUCAAAUUCCACGCUUUAGAAAUUGAAGGACUUGAAGUGAAGUAAAGUAAAGAAAGAUAUGAAUUAGCACAACUAAUUGGACUUAAGGACUAAAGUGCAUUACAUAGAAAAUUGAGACCUUGGGAAGCAAGCACAAAUUAGUUGGGCCUAGAAAAAGGGAAUGGGGGUUUCAUUUAAAAAGCCUAGUCAAACAAAACAUUAGUUUAAAAAAUCCACAAACUAAGUUCUUUGGGUAAAAGGCCUAAAGAUAUGGAAAAUGAAAAUAUAAUUUGUAAAUUACUAAAAUGACCUUACAAACAAAAAAGACAUUGCUGCCCUAAUUCCCAUUUCAAUUUCCAUUUAACCCUAAUUAAAUUCUACCUUCCUUCCAUUUGCUCUUCAAAAUCGGCUGUAGAGGUAUGUAAUUUGUUUUUUUGUCAUCAUCAUUUUUCUCUACUUAAUGAAACCUUAAACUCUACAUUCCAUUUUCCUUGAACACUCAUUUGGUUGAAGUAAGUAAUAAAAUCUUGCAAUAUCAUUGUUGGGCAUUUGGAGAAGAAGGGGGUGUUGUAAUUUUCAAUUUUUUUGUUAGUUUCUUUGUCCAUUUUUUGAAUAAUUUCUUCAUGUCGUUGUAUAUAUAUUUAUGAUUUUUAUUUGAGAACAAUGAUUUUGAAUUAAUUUUAUCAUUAGAUUAGAGUUUUGAUAUGGGUUGCUCUCAAACCCUUUUUCUCAUUUCUCAUCAUCUUUAUCAGUUAGAAUAAAAUGUAAGUUUGCAAAGGCAUGUUUGGCUAUUCUUUUUAUUAACUUACAUUUAAUUUUCGUCAGUACAUAACAACUUACAUGUUGUUUUUUGCAAUCCAUAACGACUUACAUAUCGUUAUCAGUACUGUACACUGUUUGAAAUGUGAUGAAAUUUUUAUAUUGAAUUAUAGUUAUGGACACCGUGAAUAUGGUAUGGAUAUCAGUUUGUUUUCCAGUUGAAUAUGAGUAGUCGAUUGAAUGUGUUUUAAAAUGAAAAUAUGCAGGGAAUGACAAAUAAAAACAACUCAUAUUCUUGUUGCGAAAAUUAUUUCUUAUAUGGAAUUAUAUGAUAAAGUCAAAGAGGUGUUGAACAUCAAUUCACAACUUUUUCGGAAUUUAAUUGGAAAAAUCGAAUGAUUAAAUAAUCUAUUCACAACUUCAAAUGGUUACGAGUACAGUCAUAAGAUAUCGGUGGAUUAUAUGUUUUUAUUCCCAAAUAAGAUGGAAUAAACCAAUACCUUGAAAUAGAAACCAAUACCUUGGCUUUGUUGGAGCAUACUUUUUUAUUAUUUCAUUUAUAUUUAUAAUGGAUAAUUGAUUUGGAAUUAUUUCCUGCAAAUUACAUAAUCAUCGUGUGUGUUAUCUUGCUCAUUUACUUGCUUUCAAUAUAAAGAUUCAGAAACUUGGAUGUUUACUUUGUGAUUUCGUACUGCAGCUCUCUUGAGAGACAUGCUUAAUCAACUUUACUCUAAGAGGAAUUGAACAUAGCAGGUCAAAUAUUAUGUCAGCGCUUCCAAUCCUCAACCCAAAGAAAAAUGGGAAACGUCGUUUUUUUUCCUUUUUCUUUAGGUGCUACUGCUGGUGACUUUUUUACAUAGAAAUAAUUGGUCCAGCAUUUUAAGCAAUUUAUUCCUUUAAUUUCAUCAAGAUGUAGGUCGAAAGUGUGUGUGUAUAUGUGUGUAGGAUAAAAACUAUAAUGUAAUGGCUGGCUUAUAUGCUAGGUGAACUUCUUGGUUUAUCAUCAUAAUUCAUAAUCCAAGUUCAUAAGUUUGUGACAGUGCUGAGAUUAUAAAUUAUCAAAAUUAUUCAAUGGAUCCAUAAAGACUAUAUUAAUCGACCGUUCAUUUUUCUUUUUAUAAUUUUUUUCCAAAACAUUCUUGCUUCUUGAAGUUCUCGAGUAAUAAUCGUCUGAGAUUAAGGUUGUAAUAUUUUCCUGACUUGUAACUUUAUAAUUUUGUGCUUAUUCAAAGCACAAGAUGAUUUAUUAAAUUUUGUAAUCAUUGUGCUAUUGAAAUGCUUUUGCACUAUUGAAAUGCAAACGACGUUCAUAUAGUUACAAUUGAUGUAAAUGCAAUCAAUCUAAUGACGAUAUAUAUUUUCUUCCUUCUGAAACAAAGUGUUUAAGAUUGUUGUGGUACAAAAAUGUAUUAAUUUUAAUUAUGAAAUUGAAGUCGUUCUUGAAGCACAAAACGAUAUAGAUGUCGUUCAAAUAAAAAAAAAUAUAGUGAAUAACAUAACGAUAUUGAAACCGUUCCUGUAAUAAAAAACGAUUUCUAUAUCGUUUCAGUAUGAAAUACACACUGCUUAACUUAUUUUGGUAAUGACAUCAAAGUCGUUAUGACUAUACAUAAACGAUAUGUAAGUCGUUCUAGCACAAAAAUGCAUUCAUUCUAAGAAUGAAAAGGAAGUCGUUCCUGAAAGUCAAAACGAUAUAGAUGUCUUUCCAAUAAAAAAGUGCACUGAACAACGUAACGAUAUUGAAGGCAUGACGGAUAGUUGUGGAUGGUCAAAUCUACUUUUAGCUAGAACGAUAUAAUUAUCGUUUUAUAUGAAAAGAAACGGUAUCUAUAUCGUUAUACUUGUAAUUUAAAUUGAAACGAUUUCAAACUAUUCAAAUUUGUACUAAAACGAUAUAAAUGUCGUUACUUUAUUUGUGAUUUUAUGCAUAACGAUAUCAAUAUCGUUUUAAUACAAGUUUGACGCCGUUGAUAUCAUUUUAGUUUAAAUCAUAACUAAAACUACACGCAUAUCGUUUCAGUUAAAAUAAAACGAUACUUAUAUCGUUUUUGCUAAAAAUAAUGAUUCGACCGUCCACGACCACCGAACAUACAUCUGACAUAUGUAGGAUGAUCAAAAUAGGUAAUCAAGUGGGUUCGAUCUCCCUUAAAAGAAACUAUGAGAACAUUUUUGUUCUCAUGAUUGUAUACNNNNNNNNNNNNNNNNNNNNNNNNNNNNNNNNNNNNNNNNNNNNNNNNNNNNNNNNNNNNNNNNNNNNNNNNNNNNNNNNNNNNNNNNNNNNNNNNNNNNNNNNNNNNNNNNNNNNNNNNNNNNNNNNNNNNNNNNNNNNNNNNNNNNNNNNNNNNNNNNNNNNNNNNNNNNNNNNNNNNNNNNNNNNNNNNNNNNNNNNNNNNNNNNNNNNNNNNNNNNNNNNNNNNNNNNNNNNNNNNNNNNNNNNNNNNNNNNNNNNNNNNNNNNNNNNNNNNNNNNNNNNNNNNNNNNNNNNNNNNNNNNNNNNNNNNNNNNNNNNNNNNNNNNNNNNNNNNNNNNNNNNNNNNNNNNNNNNNNNNNNNNNNNNNNNNNNNNNNNNNNNNNNNNNNNNNNNNNNNNNNNNNNNNNNNNNNNNNNNNNNNNNNNNNNNNNNNNNNNNNNNNNNNNNNNNNNNNNNNNNNNNNNNNNNNNNNNNNNNNNNNNNNNNNNNNNNNNNNNNNNNNNNNNNNNNNNNNNNNNNNNNNNNNNNNNNNNNNNNNNNNNNNNNNNNNNNNNNNNNNNNNNNNNNNNNNNNNNNNNNNNNNNNNNNNNNNNNNNNNNNNNNNNNNNNNNNNNNNNNNNNNNNNNNNNNNNNNNNNNNNNNNNNNNNNNNNNNNNNNNNNNNNNNNNNNNNNNNNNNNNNNNNNNNNNNNNNNNNNNNNNNNNNNNNNNNNNNNNNNNNNNNNNNNNNNNNNNNNNNNNNNNNNNNNNNNNNNNNNNNNNNNNNNNNNNNNNNNNNNNNNNNNNNNNNNNNNNNNNNNNNNNNNNNNNNNNNNNNNNNNNNNNNNNNNNNNNNNNNNNNNNNNNNNNNNNNNNNNNNNNNNNNNNNNNNNNNNNNNNNNNNNNNNNNNNNNNNNNNNNNNNNNNNNNNNNNNNNNNNNNNNNNNNNNNNNNNNNNNNNNNNNNNNNNNNNNNNNNNNNNNNNNNNNNNNNNNNNNNNNNNNNNNNNNNNNNNNNNNNNNNNNNNNNNNNNNNNNNNNNNNNNNNNNNNNNNNNNNNNNNNNNNNNNNNNNNNNNNNNNNNNNNNNNNNNNNNNNNNNNNNNNNNNNNNNNNNNNNNNNNNNNNNNNNNNNNNNNNNNNNNNNNNNNNNNNNNNNNNNNNNNNNNNNNNNNNNNNNNNNNNNNNNNNNNNNNNNNNNNNNNNNNNNNNNNNNNNNNNNNNNNNNNNNNNNNNNNNNNNNNNNNNNNNNNNNNNNNNNNNNNNNNNNNNNNNNNNNNNNNNNNNNNNNNNNNNNNNNNNNNNNNNNNNNNNNNNNNNNNNNNNNNNGAAUAGUUCUUAUUAAUUACAAGCUUUAAAAUGAGUACAAAUCGAUAUACUGCAUCGCUUUUUAUUAAAAUCUAAUUAUUGGACUUUAAAUAAGAUAUAAAUUUAAAAAAUAUUUUUUUCUCCAUUUUUUUUCCAAAAUAUAACGAUAAAUUUAUUUUAAAAAAUUUCGUGUGUUAUAAUAUGUGUCUAAUAAAUAAAUGACUCAAUAAUUAUUUUCGACUAGUUGUUAAGUUGUGGACAAUGUUAAAACUUUGGUUGCACUGGAGAUCAAUUACGAAAAAGAGAUGACCUGAAACUUAAAAAGAAGAGUUCGAAUUCUAAGGAGAAGAUGAUUUUGAAGAGGAAGAUUUUUUGAAUAUAAAGGAAGGGAAUGUUGUGUGUGUUAGAACAUGAAUGCAUAGUUAUUAGAGCCAACCCGAUGAUCAACUAAAAAAAAUUACCGGGUUAAUGGUUCAAUCGGUGGGUUAUUGUUAAAUUUUAAUUUUAAUUAAAUUUUAUUUUUGAAGUGAGAAUAAAACAAUUUUUUGAAAUGUAAUAUAUAUAUUUUGCUCAUAGGAAACAAAGAACCAUCAUUUGCCAUAAUGGUUGUGGAGUUAAAAUAUUUUCUUGCAUUCCAAGGUUCAAGUCAUGGCUCCAACAAAUUUAGAAAAAAACUCCAAUUUCUUCUUCAUUUUUGUUUUACAAGUUAAGGGUAAAGAAGUCUUUUGACACUUUUAAAUAAUUAAAACUCCUUUUAUUUUUAUAAGUUUGGUCAAAGGCCAAUUGAACAAAAUGCACAUUAAAGGGGCCUUCCCAACUCAUUGCCCCAAAGGGAAUGUGAAUUGAAGUCAAAUCCUAAUAGUAAUAGACUUCUACAGAGAGCUGGUGGCAGAUUAGUGGAAGAACGCCACCUAAACUGAUAUUAUAGCACCAGAGUAUUAGAUAGCAUUAUUCUUAAUCAAUUGGGGAAGAGUGAGAAAUCUUCUUUUUUGGACUAAAAAAAGUUGACGGCAAUUAAAAAAAAAUUUAAAAAGAAAAAAGCAAUAAACGAGAGGUACAGAUGGCAGACGCGAAAAAUUGGAAGAAAUAAUUCCAUAUUUUUGUAGAUAAAUUCAUCAAUUAUUGUGCAAGAAUUUUAAGAAUUAAUCACGUUUCAUCAAUUUGUCGGGAGAUUCAUAAUACUCAAGAAAGGAAAUGAAGAAAUAUUGGUGGGAUUCGAGAGGCAUGGAUAGCAGGCGCCGAAAGUUGGAAGAAAAAUUAGGAAAAAUAAUUCCAAAAUUUGUACACCAAUUUAUUGAUAAUUGUGCAAGAAUUUUGAGAAUUAAUCACGUUCCAUCAAUUUGCCGAGAGAUUCAUAAUAUGAAAGGAAGGAAACGAAGAAAUAUUAUUAGGAUUUGUUUGGUGAAGAUCAACAAUAGUUUGGAAUGAAUUUUAUUUUGUUUAUUGGAAUUAAACCCAAUGAUGUCGUUUAACUUUUAUUUGUUUUAUUUCAACGUUAUGAAUGAUUAAAAAUUUUUAUGUUAGGAUAAUGAUGUAGCUUAGGGUUUUUGACAUUUAUUCAUUUCCAAGAUUUCAUAUCACUUUAAUACGUGUUUAUUAUUUAAUAUUUAUUUAAUAAUUCAAUUGCAUGGACCAAUUUGAUUGAUUUAAAGGUAGUAUUGAGAACGAGAGGUGAUGUAUGAUUCUAGCUCGGGUAAUUGAUAAGUGUAUUUUCUACAUUUAUUUGAAUAUAAAAAUAUAGAUAUUUAAUAGUUCUUUUGAACAAUUAUAGCCUACUUUAUUGUAUAUUUUGUUUAUUAGAUGAAACUCGAUGAAUGGAAGUAAAAUGGAAAAAACGAAGUGAAAAUUGGUGAAAAAGAAUAAGAUCCAAAGUUUGAGGACUGAACAGCAAAAACACUCAUGAGUUGUAUCUGACCUCACAAUAAAGAUUUUAGAAUGCUAAAGGUCAAUUCAAUGCAAUUAGAAGUCAAAAUGACUAAAAUAUGAUCAAAAUAUUUUCAUAAAUAGAUUUUAUACAGCACAAGAACGUUCCAAAUUUUUAGCCGAACAUUCAGACCUAUUUUGGCCCAGUAAACGUUCAAAUUGGAAAAGAGCUACAUAUAGUAACACUGUAGCACUUUCAGUUAUCUUUACAACCCAAUUUGAAUCGACUUAAUUGGAUAUCGACAAAAAAGGUUAUAAAAAAAAAUACUUAAGGAUGCAUAAUGCUGAUUUUUUUACCCCAUGAUGGUGCCAAAGCGCCACCAAAUUGCAUAAUAUUAAAAGUGUAAAUACUCAAAAGUUAUGUCAGGCCUCACAAUGAAAAUUUUAGAAUGUUAGGGGUCAAUUCAAUGCAAUUAAAAGUCAAAAGGAGAAAAAUACGAUCAAAACAUUUUCACAAAUUGAUUUUCUACAGUACAAGGAUGUUCCAAAUUUUUAGCCAAAAAUUCAGACCCAUUUUUGACCUAGCAAACCUUCGAAUCAGAAAAGAGCUACUUAUAAUAAAACUGUAGCCCUUUGAGUUAUCUUUAUAAUUCAAUUUGAAUAAAAUUAAUCGGAUAUCAACAAAAAAGGUUAUAAUAAAAAUACUCAAGGAUGCGCAGUGCUGAUUUUUUUUAUCUAAAAGUUGGCUACAUCAUGGCGCCAAAGCGCUACCAAAUUGCGCAAUAUAAAGUUGUGGCGCUUAUCUGGGAUGCGGAUUUUGGCCUUUUUAAAGCACAUAAAACUCCAAAUUCGAUGAAAACAUGGAAGCGCUUAUAAAUACAAUAGAGGCAAUUGAAAGUAGUUUCACACAUUGAAAUACAUAAGAACGUAAUUUGCGAUUGAGAGAGCAAAAUCAAAUAAGAAAAACAAGAAAUCAAGAGCUAGGGCUUGGAAUCAAUAUUUGAGACGAGAUGAAUUUGAUGCAUGAUUCAUUCACUUCUCCACAUAUCCAUUCAAAAUUCGAUGAUGUACUUCAUUAUUGUUAAUUAUUUUUCUUCAUCUAUCAUAAAUAUCUACGCUUUUCAUAAGGGUAAACAAUGUAAUUUAUUGAGACCCUUUAUUCUUUUAUUCAAGAUUCAAGUUCUUUUAUUGUAUAUGUGUGGAUUUUUAUUAUGUAUUUAAUGCUUUGAAUUAUGAAUACUAAUUCAAUGAUUUUGUGAAUUUACAUAUCGAGAGGUGAGUUUUAGAUUUAAACCACAUAUUAAAAUAUAAAUAUUUAAUGUAACAUAUGGAGAUACCUAUACUAACUAUUGCGAUUGUUAUAUGAAUUUUUAGAACAAAUAGUGCAUUUAAUUAAGAUUGAUUACAUAGAGAUAUGUGAUCGAAUUAGUUAAAUAAACUCAAUGAGAACUCGAUAUGGAUAAAUUGAAUACAAUUGAAGAAUUCGAUUGAACACUAAACUAUAUUUAUGGAUCUUGAAUUAAGAUUUAAAGGUAAGCAAUAGAUGAAAUUGUUAUGCCAUAAUAUCAAUUCCAUAUUUGAAUUUUCGACGUACCUUUGUGUGCAUAUUACUAUUUCAAUUAAUUAGAAGUAGUUAGAAAAAUAAUCAACACAAUCACAAUUCAUGUUUGGUUUUGUCAAAAGAAAUAGUAAACUAAAUAUUGAAUUAUAGUUCUCGUGUGAACAAUAAUCUAGACUCAAAGGUCCGCUAUAUUACUUGUUAUGAUAUCAUACGCUUACGAUGGAAAAAUGCAAAGCAAUCAAUACAUAGGUGUUUCAGGAGAUCGAGAGAUAAUUAUAUAUUAUGCAUUCUGUAUAGAAUUCUUGUAGAUUAAAAUGUUCAUAUGUGUGUGAAUUUACAUAGAGAUAUAGUAAACCGGGCAUAUGAAUAAGAUUAGUGUUAGUUGAAAGAGAUCACGAGUUACAUUAGGUUAAUUUAAUUGUUAGCACAUAUAAAACGGGGUUGAGUGAAUUAAAAUUCGAUGAACAUUAAAACAACUUAAGUGAAAUAAAAAUUCCUAACUACCUAAUCUCAUAAGCUUCUUAGCUAUAUUUAAGGAGGUCAUCUUAGUUAUUUUAGUUAAGUUUAUUUACAAAACACAUCUUAAAUUGAUAAUUGUUUACUCGUUUGAUUUAGAUUGAAGCUACGUUUGUUCAAAACACAUCUCAUAUCUUGCUUGCAAUCACAAAAUCCAUGUGGUAUCAAAGCCCCAAUCCAUGAAUACUUUGUUUUAUGGCAUAAAGGAAAAAGUAUUGGAACUUUUUUUGAACUCUAGACUACAUAGAAAGCAUCUUCACUAUCACGGAUUAAUAUUCGGUAUUCUUCUGGCAACUUUAUGCAGUGUUGGAUCAAUAUCAAAUUUGAGUUAUCGUAUUUGUUUGAGUUAUUAACGUGUUGUUUGUCAGUUGUUGGUUGUUCAUUGGACUCUUUUAUGAUGGUGGGUACAAGGUAUGAUUCGCUUCAAUCACUUAUAAGUAUGAAUAUUCAUAUAACACAUGUAUUUUCAAUAGACGAGAACGAGGUGGCAGUGAGGACUUGACUCCAAGCAAGGCAAUAGAAGCCGACUCACUGAAGUUGAAGUGACAAAGAUAUAGACUUUUUAGGCUCUAACAGUGAGGCUCUGCUCAAGGUGGCGGUAGAGAUAUUUGAUAAGUGCGUUUUACACAUUUAUUUUGACUAAAAAAAUGGACAAUUGUUGAUGAAUAUGUUGAAAUAUGGCUUGAUUUUAUAUAAAUUAUGUUUUGUAUGACAACAUUGAUGAAUAUGGCGAAAACUAGGAAAAAUAAGCGAAAAAGAACCAAAAUUGAAGAAAACCAAAGUUCAGGGACCAAAGUGUAAAUAGUUGAAAGAUGAUCCGAAAGCAUAAAUGAGAAUGUGAAAGAGCAAAGACCAAAUUGGUGAAGACAUGAAGUGUCGGAAGAAGAAAAAAUGAUAAAAGAGGUUAAGAAACAAGAAAACGGAGUUCGAGGACUAAAAUGCAACUUUUGGAAGUUUGCCAAUACUAUGUAGUCGCAUAGAAGGAUUCUCCAUGUAGUUGCCUGCCUAUUUUCAGAGACUUGAAGGCUUGAUUUUUAAUGAACUAUGCUAUAGCAUUGAAUUGUACUUCGUUAUAAAUCUGGUUUCCUUAUAUGAUUUAAAUUCGUAUGGAAACAAAUCUUUGGACAUCUUUUAAAACCCAAAAGCUGUCCAAAAGUGUUGAUUACACAUUCUAACAUAUUCAUAGGGUUUUAGAGCAUAGAAGGAGGCAAGGAACGCAAAAAUUGAUUUGAAGACCCAAUGAUUCAAUUGAAGAUUUAAAUUUGUGAUGUUGUUUCUUUAAUACUCUUUUGUUUUCUUCUUUCUAACAUGUCAGGCUAGAUUUAUUCGUACUAGAAGAACAAUAAAAGAAUAGCAUGACUUUUUAAUCUUUAAUUUUACAUAGUUGAUCUCAAAAACAUGUUUUGAAUAUUGAAUGGUUUAUAUGAAUUUCUUUUUUUCACGAUUAUUAUGCACGGUAAUUGUGUGAAUAUGUUGGCUUAUUUUAUGCAUUAGAAAAAAGGAAAAUACACUCGACAUGGUAUAAAUCAUCAUACAGUCCGAUAAAGGAUAUAGAUCUAUCGCUAUGUCUUAGAUGAAUCGUUAAGUGUUCAUAAAAAUUCAUGCAUUCUUGUAUGUUAGCAUCCAUCAUAGAGAUAUAAUUGGAUCAUAUAUGAGAAUAUAUUUAAUAUUACUCGAGAGAAAUUGUUGAAUAUAAUAGGAACAUUGAUUCUUUUUUUUUUUUUUUUUUGGAUAUCCAAGUAUCCCAGCAUACACUAGACUAAAUCCUGGACCCUCAAGAUCCUUGCCCCUAGAACCUUGAAGGGGGUAAAUCACGUGUUAUGCCUCAACUGGAUCACAGGUUCCCCCCAUCGCCUGUACACUUCUGCGCACAAGAGAUCCUCCUCCAAAGUGAUUGUUCCAUACCAAAUAAAUCUGGCUGCAGGUUCCCACCAAAAUUCGAACCUCCACCCUGCCGCUGGAAGCAAGACAAAUGUUGAUUGAUCCACAGAACAUUGAUUCUUCAAUAUACAAUAUGUUGUCAAAGUGUAAAACUAAGACUAAAAAGAGUUAUUACAUGGGAAUUCAUGAUCCUGGUACCUGUGUCAUUCAUCAAAUACAACAAUUUGCAUUAAACAUAAUUUGUAUUUAGUUUAGUUAAUUCUUAUUACUCUUGUUUCGGUUAAAAUCGCGGUAAUAAAAGUCAAACUAAAUCAAUCUCUGUGGGAUCAUAUUUGGACUCAAAAUUUACUUUAUUAUUUGUUAACGAAUCGUAUACUUACGAUGAUUUAAAUCAAAAUAUAUUUUCGCAGAACAAUGCUGCCUUCCGAAAUAGCCAAAGCUGCCACUGACUUCAACAAGCCGGACUACGUCACUCAGCGUGAUGCCGUUAACCUACUCGAGACACAGGUGGGCAAGGCAAUUUGUGUAACGUAGAGACUAUUCCUCUGGGAGUUGUUUUUGACAAUUGUUUUGUUUUAACAAGGAUAGGACAUCACAACACUUUCCACAAGAUAAAAGAAAUUGCGAGUUUGGGACAGAAUACGAGUAAAUAAGUGAUAAAGAAAUUUUGAAACUCUUGCUGGUUCCUAACAGACGUUAUUCUCACGGAACCUCUGUAUGAAUCAGUUGUGCAAUGUGUACAACUGGGGUUGACAAUGGGAGGGAGGCCCAUACUGAAUAAAAAAAUCGUGGACCCCCCUCUUGCGAGUAUAUUGUCAGCAGUAGUUGUCAACCGCGGUUGUACAAGAAAAUAAUUCCUGUAUGAAUAGUACGCUUCCACUCGUGAAAGAUACAAUAUUGACCAUCUGAUCCAACUGACUGAAUGGUCUUUAACAGUAAAUACUUUCCCCUUUCGUUUCUUACAGAGAAUGUGGUAAAUUGUGUGCUACCGAUGAAUUUGUUUAACAUUGGAUCUAGAUCAGAGCAUAAAAAUGAAGAACAAUGGAUAAGAAAUUACUGCAGAGAAGUAGAUAAGAUCAUAUAUACACUAUUGCAUCAAUAUAUAACUAGUUAUACACAUGGGAUCAAGAAAGGUUAGCGAAAACUCCUAAUAUAAAACUAAAAUAGAACAAGGCACAAAAGGAACCAACACAAGAGAAAAAUCGAAACUCUGCCGAGAGAUUUGUUAGCCUGUAAUUGCUGCCUUCUUAAUCCAGGAGAACUACUUCCCACCAGGUGGUACGAGUUAGGAUACCAGUAUAAACUCUCUGAAUUGCCAAAAACUCUGGCAUAAACCAUCUCUCCAAACAUCCCUAUCGUGGGAUGUGAAAGAUCAAUUGGAGACGAAGUAUCUCCUUCUACGUUACUGGAAUAAGGAUCAGAUAAAUUACGUCGAUUUUGAUGAUCGGGAUCUUGUAUGGCACGAGCUGUUGGCCUAGGCGGUAUAUUCUUGAUCUUGUGUUCGGUUUCCGAGAGGCAAUUGCCCCGGCCAUAGAGAGGGACCAUCGUUUUUUCCGAUAUUUCGGUUUUGCAAACUGGGCAUCUGGGUAGGUUCUUGUCUGAAUCAAGGGAAGCAAUCUGAAACCAGUUGUAGAUGCAGGGCCAACAGUAGAGAUGGCCACAAAGGGUAACUACAGGAUCAGACACAAAUUCCAAACAGAUGCUGCAAUCAAAGUUAGGAGAAGUCCUUUCAGAGUCGGGAAUGGAUUUCCAUUCCUGCAUAAAAUAUUGCUCAAAUGCCAUGUUUCUUUUGAUCUCUGAGAAGAAAAGAUAUUAAGCAAAAUAUGAUGGUACUUGCUUAUCAAGACGGCUAGAUUCUUGAUUGUUUCCUGUCGAUCAACAGAGUUACUGGCACAAACAACAGAUUGAUUCUAUGGAAGUACUAUUUGUGAUUAUUCAACAAAUACUUGGAACAUGAUAGAUUUAGAAUCUGUGUGCGCGAUGGAGAGAUAUUUGUGCAAGAGUAGAUUAGGUCAGGUGGGAAAAUAAACGUUGAGAUGGUUUUAUUUUAUAGAUGGGGCGCAUAAAAAUUCGAACCAUGUUACGUGUACUCGAUUUUUUAUUAGUUGAUGAAGAAAAACACAAAAAAUAGAUUGAAUUAAAUGCCGUGUUGAAAUAGAUAUGUCUGUGAAGAUGCGGACUACAUGCGACCCUAUAAAGCUUCACUGUUCCUGGUGGGCACUUGGCAGCAGGAUAUUUUUUCCCUCUACAUAUGGUUUUGGCCUAAAAGUUGGGUAAAUUGGCAGGCCUGUCGAGUGGGUGAUGCAGUAUGUGCUUGUGGGCCAACCUUGCUAUAUAAAGGGCUCGUUUGAGACACAUUAUUUCAAAAAAUAUAUAUUUUUAAACAGUGAUUUGACAUCAUUUCAACUACACAUUUUUCAAUAAAAUAAUAUUACACACAAAUCAAAAACUUUUCCUUAUUUUUUAACCAUACAUUUCUCAUCAAUACACUAUUCAAAAAUGUAUUAUUACCAAAAUAAUGUGGCCUAAACACCCCCAAAUAUUAUAAACAUUCGGGUCCUUGACUCAUCUAAAUUUUAUAUAUUUGGUCCCACGUCAUCAAAGACGUGGAUAGCAAUUUUGGUUGCACAUCUUUAAAAGAGUUAAAGACUCGGAACCUCACUUUUAAAGACAUGGAAACUCAUAACAAAACUAUAUAAAAGUUAGAGUUCAAUUCUAAUUUUUCUUACUAUUUUCAUAUAUAAUUUUACCAGUAUUCUAAACAAUAUAAAACGUUGGUCGAUAGUAAGACCAAGAUUCAAACUUUUAGGAGCUUUAACAAGCUUUGACGUAAAAUUAAGUAUAGAUAGAUGACAGCCCCCCAGGGCACAUUCGAGUUGGUGGAUCAAUCACAUUUGGCGCGCUCGCAACCUCAGCGUGGAACCUUUGAUCCAAUAAAGGGGCAAUUUAUUGGUGGAUUAAUCACUAUGGAGGAAAGCUCUCUUGAGGCCAGGAGUUUAGAUCGGGUGGGAACCUGUGAUCCAACAAGAGCACAACCUACGGUUUAUCUCCGCUAGUCACUGAGGGGCCGGUGGCUAGGGGUCCAGGAUUUAGUCUGGCGAAGCUGGGACACCUGGGUAUAAAAAUAAAAAAAUAUAAAAAAAAAAAAGUAUAGAUAGAUGACAAGACCAAAUGAGCUCCUUAGAAUACUAUUUUACCAUUAACAUAUAAUAAAAAAAUAGAACCUAGAUUACGAAUUUAUUCAAUUAUUUAAAAAUCACUUAAUUUUAGGUUACUAUCAUCUGUAAUUCAAAAUUUUCAUAUGAUUAGUGGUGAACAGGGAUGUCAAUUAGUCGAAUCAAGCCGGCUCGUGAGUCAAAAUUCGAGGCUCGAGUUGAAUUCAAAUAAAAUUAAGUCAAGUUUUUUUUGCUCGAGCUGAACUGAGCUAAAGUUUAGCCAAAAAUUCGAGGCUCGACUCGAGUUUUGAACUCGGGUCUUAUCGAGCUUAGUUGGGUUGGCUUGAUUUUUAUUAUUAUUAUUGUAAUACAUAGGCUGCCGUGUGCUGCCUAUUUAAAGAUAGUUUGCCCUUUCUUUCUCGAGCCAGUCCAACGAGUUAAAUUACCAUUCCUAGUGAUGAAUACAAGAUAUUAAAACUUUAAUUUGUCAUUGUAUAAAGUGUAAAUUGAUCGCACUGGUCAAAUUUUACAUUUGAAUGUUAUGAAUUUAUCAUUACUAAAUCUCGAUAAAGAAACUUCAUCUUCUAGUGUAAAAGUAGAAGACAGAAAAGUGAAAUGGAUUUGCACAAAUCAAUAGUAGCUUUCAUUUAAAUAAAAGCAAUCAACAGUGUCGGCCUUUGGACACAUUUUGUCAAUUUUUCAAAUGAUGUUAACAUAUUCCACGCUGAAUGACUUUUUAUUGCCUUCUAGAUUCACAUUACCGACAAUUCAUCAAGCUGCUCUUCUAGAUUAAUUAAUUAUUACAUCUUAUUUCAUAUCCACCUAGAAAGAGAAAUGACUCCUGCACAGAUCAUGUGCUGUGCUCUAUUGCACAGGGUUUGUACAGAGCAUCUCACAUGGAGGAUGGACACCACAUGUGUGUGUCUGUACAGGCUCCGUGCAGCAUUUCUCACCCAGAAAUAGUAAAAGAAAAGAAUAUUUUAGUAAGAUAAUGUUUGGUAUGGAUUUUAAUCCAAUUAACAUUAAUUUUUUAUCGUUAUUUCACUAUUCUAGCCAUUAUUUUUGAAUUUUUUUCUUACAGGUACAACCCACUUUAUCUCUAACGGUCAAAAAAUCAAUUAACAAAAUCCCCACCAAACAAGCACUAAAUAUUGUGAUUCCCAUUCUAAAAUUGAAAAUCGUGAAUUAUUAACUAACUGAAAAUUUUAUUUAUACUUGAAAUAUGAAUUUGUCACUUGAUGGGUGAAUAACUUCAUAGCGUAUCUUUAAAAAACUCUAUAAGAUAUAAUCUAUUUUAAAGAGUUAAUAGUUAAAAUAAGCUGCAGGAACUCAAAAUUUUAACUUUCAAAAUAGAACGUGUUCGUCUCUCCAUUCUUACUUUAUGAUUAUUUCGUUUAACAAGAUAAAAAUUAUAAUACUCCAUAUAAAUAGUAUAUUAAUUAAAGGAUAAGAAGAAAUUAUUAAAUAUUUCUUGAAAAAAUAAAAUGAAGAUUCCAAUAAAGAGAAUUGUUACAAAUAUUUAAAAAAAAAAAUACUUACUAAAUUGUUCUCUAAUUAUUCGUGAUAACAACUCCAAUGUCACAAUGUGCAAUGUUUUACGUGUGACAAACAAAAUGGGAAGCAAGAAAAGAGCACUUUCAAUGGGCUGUGAAUUGCACUAAUUUUAAGUUAUUUAUCGUAGAAAAAGAAUAAAGAUAAAUAAUAAAAAAUUAAAUGAGCAUAUAAUUAUAAAAAUGAAUUAAUCGAAAAAUGUCUAACGUGCUCUCCACAAGGUGGAAGGUGUGCUGACGAUGUUCACAUUUUUAUUUAUAUAUUUAUGUUUUUGCCAUGUAUUUAUUUUGGUAUGAAAUGACAUGCUUAUUGUAGCAAUCCAUAUAUUGAAGAUAUUAAUGCGGUAGUUAUAGCCUUUAUGACAUUUCUAUGUAUAAUUAAUAAUUUUAGGCGAAGAGGGCAACACUAUUAUAUCAUAUAAACUAAUUUCUUCUAGAAGCCAAGAAAUAAUAAAUAACUUUAAUUGACACAUGGACCAUAGCUAAUUUCAUAAUUCAAUCUAGAAAAAAUCCAUACAUGUGCAAGUAGUACGGUGCAUUUACCGUCAUUUUUGGGCUCAAAACCAAUGAAAAAUUGUCAAGUGUCAAUAUAUAAAAAUUCCGUCAAAUAUUUUCUGUACUUGUAGUAUAACUCUUCAAUCUAUUGCCUAGGCAUGAUAAAUCUAUCUGUUGAAAUUAAUUUAAUUUUUUUUUUUAAAUUUUUGCGGAGCUUUCACCGACACGAUUGUUGCCAAUUAUAAUUUCUAGUUGAUAUCAGAAGUUGAGUAAGAAAAGUUUGUACAUCUACUCUUACGAAUUAUAUAACUAUUUAUUCGGUGAAGCCUCCUAAGUUCAAUAAUGCAUAGCAUAGCAAGGAAGGAUGGACAUUUUUUGUAGGAUGGGGAUAUGUAAUAUCCAAUUUAGUCCUUGUGUGGAAUAGAUUAAAUUUUGAUUUUAAUUCNNNNNNNNNNNNNNNNNNNNNNNNNNNNNNNNNNNNNNNNNNNNNNNNNNNNNNNNNNNNNNNNNNNNNNNNNNNNNNNNNNNNNNNNNNNNNNNNNNNNNNNNNNNNNNNNNNNNNNNNNNNNNNNNNNNNNNNNNNNNNNNNNNNNNNNNNNNNNNNNNNNNNNNNNNNNNNNNNNNNNNNNNNNNNNNNNNNNNNNNNNNNNNNNNNNNNNNNNNNNNNNNNNNNNNNNNNNNNNNNNNNNNNNNNNNNNNNNNNNNNNNNNNNNNNNNNNCAACGUAAAGUCGGAAUCAAAGAUAUCACGAAGCUUUGAACCAAUUAUUCCAUGUGACAAUAUCGGUAAGAACACACACAUGAGUACCACGUGUUCUCAAGUUCCUCAUGACUCACUUAGCGCUAUUAUGGUCUUGCGAUAAUCCUUUUCAACAAUCUUUUAAGAAAGAUGAGGUGGCACCACCUAAAAUUUCUUUUAGGUGAAAUUCUUUCAAUAUUUUUGUUACUUUUAGAGGUAUUUAUGUUUUAGCACUGAAUUUCAUUAAAAGUUUAAAGCUCAACCCUCAUUUUAGUAACAUCCAACUUUAUUUUAACUAGGAUAGGGUCAUCAUGGAUUUAAAUAAUGCUGCAACUAUUUACAUAUCGAAUAACUUGUUGUUAUCCUUUGAACCCAUUGAUUACUUUUUGAGUAAUGACAGGUAGGGUUUCCAUCAUUGGUAGACCUUUUUAAUUAAGGAGUUCUAACACCAUCUUACUCAAAGUAGACACCACUAAAUCUCUAUCUAGAGGUUUAGUAAAAGGAUCUACUAAAUUUUAAUUGACUUACAUAAUUUAGGGAAAUUAUUUCAUCCUUGAUUAAUUUCCUUAUGUGACUAUGUGUAAGACUCAUAUGUCUAGACUUUCCAAUGUCUACCUCAUUUUACGCUUUUACUAAUGUGACUUGACUAUCACACAUGAUAGGUAUUGAAGACAUAUUCUUCAAUCCCAAAUGGAGCUUAUAGAAGAGAUCUUUAAGUCACUCGGCCUCUUUCCAGGUUUCCAAUAGUGCAAAUUUAGAUUCCAUGGUCGAGUGUGCAUGCUUGUUUUUUUUUUUUUUUACUUCAAAGAAACAACACCUUCUCUUAAAGUGAACAAGCAACCCGAGGUGAGUUUACUUUCACACAUACUAGAUAUCCAACUAGUAUUGGUAAAUCUUUCCAAUACCGUCAGGAAUUUAGUAUAUUGCAGCUUAAGUUCUUGGUUUUCUUUAAGUAUCCAUGAACUCUCUCAAUGGCCUUCCAAUGAUCAUUACUUGGAUUUCUAAUAAACCUACUAUACUAGUCUUUGUGACUUUUAUAUCUAAAAUAGUAUCCACCUGUCCAAGAUCCUUCAUCUUGAAUUUAGAAGAUAGAAAAAUGUUCAUUUCUUCUAUAACGUUCAUGUGAUUACUUAUAAUCAACAUGUCAUCAACAUAUAAGCAUAUAAAUAUUACAUAAUCAUCACACACUUUAGUGUAUAAACAUCUAUCUACGCUAUUAUGUUUAAAUAUGAAUGAUAUUAUUAUUAAGUCAAACUUUUCAUGCCAUUUCUUAGGUGUCUACUUCAAACUGUAUAAUGAUUUUACUAACUUAUGUUCAUUUCCAGGUAGAGCAAACCCUCAGGUUGUUCCAUAUAGACCUUCUCAUUGAGAUCCCCAUUUAAGAAUGCCUUCUUGACAUCCAUUUGAGGAACACGCAAGUUAUGUAUCGAAGCUAAAGCAAAUAAUAUGCUAAUCGAUUAUAUUCUAUCACCAGUGCAUAACUGUCAAAAUAGUCUAUUCAUUCCUUCUGUCGACAACCUUUGGCUACCAAUUUAGCCUUGAAAGUAUUUAGAGUGCCGACAACAUUAUAUUUUCUUCUAAAUACCUAUCUACAUUGAAUAGGUUUGGAUCUCGGUGAUAAAUCAACAAGUUUCCAAAUAUUAUUAAACAUUAUCGAAUCCAUUUCAUCCUUAAUUGCAUCUUUUCUGAAAAUGUUAUCACGAGAAACCAUAACUUCUUUAUAAGUUUCACAUACAGUAUAUGAUUUGGCAAUAAAUACGAUGGACAUUAUGAUCCUCUGUUGCCUCUUCCUAGGUUAAAGCAAAGACUUUGGCUUUCACUUUUUUACCUUGCUCAUUGCAAAAUGACCUUCUUGGCCACAUUGAUAGCACACAUUUUCCCAAAUAAGCGCUUUCCUCCAUGUGCCUUGUUUCAUUUAGGACAUCGUGGAGUAACUUUAUAUGGUUUGCUUGAUCCUGAUCUUGAUCUUGUAUUGGCCUUCUUAAAUUGUCUAAAUCCUUUCCCCUUAUUCGAUCCAUUCUACUUUCGUUUCACAUAUGAUUCAUUAUUUUUCUCUUUUAUCUUAUCCCUUUUUUAGACGAUUAGAAAUUAAUUGAGCUUGCUUAAGCACUUCGCUAUAGGUAGUCGUAUGGUGAGAUGCCAUGAUUCCUCCAAUCUCUGGACGCAAACCUAGUUCAAACCUCCUAGCCUUUUUUGGUUUGGUAUCCACAAGGUGUGUAACAUACCUAAAAAGUUGUUCAAACUUUCUUUCAUAUUCAUCAAGUGACAUAUUUGCUUAUUUCAACUGUAGGAACUUUGCCUCUUUCCGAUCCCUCAGUGAUUGGGGAAAGUAUUUUGUCAUUAAUUCUUUUAACUGCGUUGAAGUCAUAGCGCGUUGUUGUGCUUUAGUUCUGGUGCAUGAUGUAGACUCCCACCAGUGGCAUGCUGCUCCAACCAGCAUAAAUUCAGCACAUGAUACCUUCCGUGCGUCAGUACAUGCCAUGUGUUUAUAGAUUUGUUCAAGCCCUCUCAACCACUUCUUGAAUGCCAAAGGGUUUGUUUUGCCAUCAAAAGAAUGAGAUUUGAAACGGAAAAAUUACUCUGUAAUUGAACUUGUAUUGUUGGCAUUUGUCGGUCCAUUUUGAGGAGGUGCUGUUGCGAAGGCUUGAUUCCUACCAAGGUCAUGUACCGCCCUCAUCAAAUCCAUAAAUAUAGCUGCUUGGUCUUGUUGUCUUACCAUUUCUUUUAAAUCAACAAAAUAAAUUUGUCUUAAAAAUGUUAUACAACAAAAUAGCUCAAUAUAUUCAAAGGAAAUUAAAAUUUUUAUUAAGAUACUCCCUUAAAUUAGGAUAUACAAUAGUUCGACAAAUUUUUAAUAACAUAAAGGAAAAAUAUCACAAUACUACUAAGGAAAUGGAAUCUAAGUUUCUAAUCCCUAUAAAUCCUAUGAAUCUUCUUUAAUGGAGCUUCAUAUUCGGAGAAAUCUUUUGCCUCCGGCCGAACUCUAUGUGCAUCUCGAUUAUUGGCUUAGGUUCAUGCUCGUGAUCAUUCUCUAAUUCCAACCCAAAGUCAUCCCCAUGCUCCUAUUCAAAAUCUUCCUCUGGAUUUGAUUCAGCCUGAGCUUUUAGUUUGGGCUCAAGCUCAGCCUCAUCUUCGAGCUCAUUUACUAUCUCUGGUUGCGAUUUUAAGCUUUCACUCCACCUAUCUAGAAAGGUUUGACAAUAUAUGUCGAACUCAAUUGUGUUUGGGUGCUCUAGAAGGUUAUAUCUUAAAGGAAUAGGUCUACCUUUAUAACUUUUCGUCAACCUCUAACUUAAUAGCCUCAAUUUUUUGAUUUGUACAAAAAGUUCUUCCUGGAGAGGUGCUAACCUGUAACACAUUAUCCAUUUUCAUACAUGAGAGCUAGACAUAGCCACAAAAGAUACAAAGAUAGAAGAAUGUGUAGCCCCAGAGUAAAAAAAAACAUAAACAGUACAUCAAAAAAUAAUAAAAUAUCUACCAUCACAUUUGGAUCCUAUUCAGCCUCCUGUUGAUUCAAUGCAAAAAUUUGGGCCUUCCCUUUUUUAUUUUUGUCUUGGUCAUCAUCCUUCUUCUAUAGAGGCUCCCUAUAAUUCAAAGCAAUGCGUCCCGACUUACCACACCGAAAACAUAUAUUUUUUUCCUAUAUAAGCGUUCUCAUGUGAUGAGUUUAUUAUACUUAAAAAUGGUGUAAUACUCCCAUUCGCCCAACAAAAGAACUUCUUUGAUUGGGCUCUAAUUCUGCUAGUAAUGUCUUUCCUUGUUAUAAUCAUUCCACUUUAUUUUUUCAAAUAACUUUUUGAUCCAUUGGACAUCUCUCUCAAAUACAGUCUAAAAUAGCAUCAGCCCUUUCCAACAUUUCAUGGUGUGAUGUGAAACAAUGAGACAUGAUAAUUAUACUAAUUUUUUAGCGUGGUCCAUGUUCGAACCUCCUGACGUUCUUAACUUCUGUAUCCACUAAUUACAAGGCAUACCUGGAAAGCUGCUCAAACUUUCUCUCGUAAUCAAUAAGUGACAUGUUUUCCUAUCUGAGCUGUAGAAACUCUAAUUCCUUGAAGUCUCUUGAAUCCUGUGGAAAGUACUUUGCCAUCACCUCAUCUUUAAACUGUACACAAGUUAGAUUAAGCCGCUAUUCUUCGAUCCUAGUAUGUGAGGUAGAUUUCCACUAGUGACUAGCCGAUACAAGCGCAUUUGUACAAGUAAUGCAUCGAAAGAAGUACGCAAGAUCUCUAAUCCAUUCCUCAACAGCCAAUGGGUUAAAACCACCCUCAAAAGUGGGAAGCCUGUAUCUACGGAACUACACAAUACCUGAGAUAACUCCAUUGACAAAAGGAGAUGUAUUCUGAAGUGUCAGUGCAUUUUGUGGUGGCGAUGCUUAACUUUGAUUGUUCAAUUCUUAUACUUCUUGUAGUAAGUCGUGCAUCAAUUUUGUGUUGGUAGGUAGUGCUAUUUCCUUUAGAUAAAAAAAAAUGUCAUCCACGUCAAUCUUCUUAUCAUGGUAACAUAACGUAUUUUAUAUUCGAGUAUGCAUUAAUAUGGGCAAGGAAAUCAUACUUUACUUGAGAUAUAAAAAUAAGCAUAACAAGAAAAAAUGUACAUCAUGAAAUCUAUAAGUAGGCAAUAGAAAAUGUAACGUUACACAAAAGAUUUGAAUGGUCAUUUCUUUCUUCAUCCAUAACAUAUCUUAUAAUUGUCGGAGUGUGGUUGUUGAGUGCCAAGGAUCUUUCAUCUCAUCACACGUUUAUGAACUUUAUAAAAAUUUAUAUCGUACUUCAGACUCAUAAAUCUAAAAAGAAAAUAAUUAAUUAUUACUCCAUUCAUCCCAUAAAAAUAGUCCUAUUUCAUUUUUUAAACAAAUUAAGAAAAUUUAACUUACUGAAAUAAUAAAUUUUACUAUCAUUUUACCUAAUAUACUUUUGGAUUAAUGCAAUCAAUAAUCAAGAACAUUAAAUAGGAGUAUUAGAAAACUAAUAUAUUAACUACACUCCCAAAUAAAAAAAUGGGACUACAAUUUAGGACGGACAAAAAGGAAAAACGGGACUAUCUUUAUGAGACAGAAGGAGCAACAUACAAUACGAAUAGUGAGGACUAAACACAGAGACAUUUAUGGCACGUCAUAUAUAUAUAUAUAUAUAUAUGACUGUUCAACUUGAACAAUGUAGGGAACUAUUCACUUUGACAAGGCAGAUGACAUAAAUCACCCACAAAGUUAUCCAUGUGCUCAUUCAUCCUUAAACAGAAAAGUUAGAUGAGAUGACCAUGUUUGAUGAGGUUAUUACAUAUACCAACUGAAUCUGCUAUAAAUCAUACUGUCAACGAAAAUCAUAUGACUGGAGUGCAAAAGCUUGCAACCAAUCCCAUCUGUAAAUAAUGUCAACUAAUCUUAGCCACCACAUAUAAAAAUUAAUACUAUUGUAAUUGUUAUGUUCUAGACCCAAUCAAUUUAGGUUGUAAAUAUUUUUAAUAUGUUUAAUGCAUUUAUUUUUGGCAAGAUCUAUUAUUUAUUUAAAUUAAUAUUCUGAUAAAUAAUAUUAAAUAAUAGAGUUGAAGAUUCAAAUUUAAGUGAUUUGUUAAUCACAAGGAGUUGUGAUUGUGAGAUGCAAACUACAUAUCAUUAGAUCUUGAACAAUUCAUGGUCGUAAGUAAUAACGAGAUACAGAUAUCGUUAUUACGGAUAGACAAUCACGUGUGGCAUUUCUUACUUGUGAAGUAAGUAACUGAUCUCACAAGCUAAAAUGUGGUGACAUUUAAAUGAACGUGUGGAUGUUUUAUUAUAAAACGAAAUAUUGGAGACCCGUUAAGAGAUUUCACAUGGUUAACUAUCUGAGUGUCAGUGGCUGAUCUCUAACGUUGGGUAGUGAAAUUGAUCAUUCGACUUAAAGUCGUUAUCGUACUUUAUAUGAGGACAGUCAUGCUUUGACGGUGUUGAAUGUUGCUCUACCAAGGGUCGUUAAUACGACAUCGGUCGGGUAUGUCAAGAAUCAUAUGAAGGCUGUGAAUAAGCAAUAGAGGAUUCGUCACUCUUAGAUAGUAAAAGAUUGUGAUCUGCAUUUCAUUCAAUUAAGUCGAUAACGAAAUUCUUCGUCAAGGUAUACUCAUAAGUCGAAAAGGAGUUUUCGACUCAUAUUGACUUCAAUGGUAAAAUGAAAGAUAUGAUCGUUAAUCGAGAUUGACACACUUCCAUAUCUCGUAAUUGAUCGGAUCAUAUUGACGAAGGGAUUAUAAUUUCAUGGUAAACGAACAUGUUUGGUUUUGUCAUAUCAUGUGAUAUUUUCCGUCACAUGUGUUGCCCUGAUACAUUGCUAGACAUCAAUCUGGGACGACGAGUGUGAAUUGGUAAUAAAUUAAAAGGGUGUUUUAAUUUAUCAAUUUUUGAUUAGAUCAACAUAAUAUUUCACGUCGCUAGGCAUCGUGAUCGAGAACCUAAUGGGUCGCACACAAAAGAUAAUUGAAAGAUUGCAAUUUGUUAAUUAAUUAAUUUAACAAUCGUUAGAUAAAUUAAUUAAUUUGAUUGGUUAUUUAUAACUCCGAAUUAAUUAAUUGGAUUAAUUAAUUCACGAACCGAAUUUAAUUAAAUGGAUUAAUUAAAUAUUAGAUCGGACCAGGCCGAGCCCGUUUGGGCUUAUAUAAAUACUUGGCUAGAGUUUUAAAUCUAUACAGUUUUUUAUAAUUCUUGCUAGCACAAGAGGAUAAACCCUAACAGUUGCAAUCUAUUCUCUUUGUAGAAUUCAUUGGAGGCUGGAUAAUUGGACAACUGUGGAAGGCAGAUCCAAAUUGCUGGAACAAAGAUAACGCAAAGGAGUUUGCAAAUUCAAGAAAAUGUAUAACUUUCAUCACANNNNNNNNNNNNNNNNNNNNNNNNNNNNNNNNNNNNNNNNNNNNNNNNNNNNNNNNNNCUUUUUUUACCCAUGCAUGUCAAGAGGCUCUGACCCCUUAAAAACACUUGUUAUUGUGGACUGAAGAAAGGGAAUUUUCUCAAUUCUUAAGAACUUAAACAUGAUCAUCAACCAGAUUCCAUCAUUUGGAAAUUGUUUUUCUUUUAGGGGAAUAAUUAAGGUACAACUGCACGAUAAUAAAUCAAAAGUUCACGUAAAACCGACCCUUAUACUGUCAGUUAAGCAUUCUAUUUACUCGUACUGAGUUGCAUGAACAGAACUAUACCUGAUUCAAGAUGGGUUUUGAUACCAAUUGUCUUCGAUUUUCCAUAGGAAUGUACUAGAUCUCCCUCCAAGAGACUGCAUUUAAAUUCAAUCAAUUUGCGUACUAAACCAGCCUGGGAUUUUUCUCGGUUAAAGACAGAUCUGUCCAACUGGGGCCAAACUACACAAGAAUGAAAAAAGAACAAUCUCUUUCCAGCUUUAUAAUUAUAGAAAGGCCCACAAGUUAAUGCACCAAUGAGUUAAUAACUUAAUACGAUAGAAGCUCCAUAUUCUUUUACAAUAUGUAUUUAUCUGUCAUGUUAGCUGCUUCAUACUUAUCUCUCAAAGUUACGAAGUUGAAUCAUUAGUUGUCUCACAAAAUGAAAAGAUAGAAACUCUUUUCAGCCUCAUGCAUUGCAAAGAGCUAUGGGAAACUGGUGUCUCCAUACCAGAUAGACUUUGGUACUUACUACUAAUCAUGCUAUAUCGUCCAUGAAAUUACUUGUGGACCUUUACACAUCAAAAACUAUUUUACCAAUUGCAGCUGGCAGAUAGGUACUCUUGCUUAUUCAAGUCAUAACGACUGUAACUCCAAAUUAUCGUAUUCAAUUUUAUAAAUGCAUAGUUCAUGAAUGUUAACAAAUUUUAUCUAAUAUUUAUUUAUUUUUUUUUAUCUAAUUUUAUGAUCACGUUCGUGUGGUUCCCAAGGUUCUUGCUACAGGUUUUUUGGUUCCUUCUUCAAUACCCUGAGAGAAAAAGAGAGAGGAAUCAAAAAAUUCAGAGAAAAUCUUCAUACCUAAAAUCCCUACAAUUAGAAUUUAUCAAAAUAUCAAGUAAAAACUUACAAUUAGAAUUUAUCAAAAUAUCAAGUAAAAACUUUCCUAAUUUAAAAAUCUACAAACUACCAAGAGAAAGUAAAUUUAUACCUACUUUAGAAUUUCACACUUUAUAAAAGUUCAUAUUUUGUCAAGUCUCCAAUGCAAUCUGCACCUCCUUGAGUAUUACAUCAAACUAUCUGCCAACUGCACAUUUAGUCUGUUCAAUUCUGUACCUAUUGUUUCGUUUUUCCAUUAUUUAUUUUAUUUUUUAUUUUUUUGGGUUGGCACAGUUGGGGAGUUGCUAACGGAAAACAUGGAUUAUCACAGUAGAAAAGACACAAGUAUCUAGCACGUGAUGGAAAAAAAAAAGAGUGAAAACAUCUAUCGAUUCCCAAAGUUUAUUUACUUUCAUUGCUUUAGGAAUUAACCUUCAAAAUGUGAAGAUGAAUUACCUAUCUUCUUUCUUUGAUUGCACAGGAGCAUUUGUCUGUGUUUCCAUACAUAGACCAUCGUAGAGGGUACUGCAUAGACUCUUCUGAUCUUUCAAAAGCAGAUAAGACAGGAUUACCACAUAUAAUGUGCCUAAAGAAGAGCAGUAAUAUUCAGAAGGUUCAUUUUGAUGCCUCUAUAUAUACAAGAUUCUCAAAUGUUUCUGGAAUGAUAACAAAGCCAUAAUUGUGAAUGGGGGUAGGCGGGGUCCUAAACUGAUUAAGGGAGAAAAGUCAAAAGGGGAGCAACAGAAUCUUUAAUUCCCAUGUGCAUUAAGAUAGUCACUGCCAUCUUAAAAGGCACAUCCAGGAGAUUUGAUUAAAAGCGACAAAAUCAAGCAGAAGGCAAUUGCAGCUUUUACUUGUAUGAAAUGGUUAUUCGUGCAAACCAUGGGCAAAAAAAGUGAACUGUGCACCCUACCAGAUUUCUCAACAUAUCAAUAAAAAUCUCUAAUAAACAGAGAACAAUUAUCUUAAAUAUAAAGGAGUAAACAAGAGUCAAAACUAUGAAACGACAGCAAAUUAUAUCUUAUUCCUGAUAAAUUGGUCAAAAAAUGAGCUUUUAUACCUACCCUUCUACAAUUUGUAUUUAUUUUGAAAUUUUGAAAAAUAGGCCUUCAUAUUUUAUUUAGUUUAAUUGGUUAAUUUUGUUUUGUCUGUUUUGGAGGAUCAAUUCAAGUUGUGAUUGAUCAAUUAUGGCUUCUUCUUUUUUCUUCUAAGGAAAACACUAACACAACCUCAGUGGGUUUUAAAGCUCCAUCAGGGAACACUGAUGGGGAUUUGGAUUCUCCAACCGUAUAUAUAAAAUCAAACUCACAAGAACAAGAGGAAGGGGAACAUAAACCUAACCUCCCAAAAGCGAAGAAAAGCAACAUAUGAAGGAAAGGAAUAAGAGCUGAUACAAGGGAUGCGAAGGAGUUUCUAAAGCAGUCAAGUAUCAAUUAUUUUAAUUCUCGUAAAGGCAAUUUUCUUCUUCUAUGAGUUAUACUCGUCUUUCUAGGUUUAUGGAAAAACAUGGAGCAAAAGAUAGUGCUUAGAUAAACAAAUGUAGACAUACUUUUAGACACUCGUAAAAGCAUAGAGAACAAUUAUUUUGAUCUUCAGUAGAAUCUUAAUAGGUAGAAUUUUAACUUAAAUAAAUAUGGUAUCUUGUCCAAACAAGCCAGAGAUAUGUUGGCAAUACAAGUGUCUAUUUUUGCUUCAGAAUUUUGUGAUCCUUGAUAUUUUCAUAAUUCUUUAAGCAUUAAAGUAGUGGAGGUCUUGGUGUGCUCCCAAAAUUGACUUUUGCAGUGAGGAAUGGUACUACCAUCAGUUUUUGGGAUGAUUAUUGGUCUGGAGAACAACCGCUGAAGGUGAAAUUUCCCUCUUUAUCUCGUAUUGUGUUUACACCGUCUGCUACGGUGAGUGAUUCUUAGAUAUACAUAAUGGGAGGAUCAGUUGGAAUAUUGUUUUUGUCAGAGAUUACAGGAUUGGGAAUUGGAUGAUUAUGCGCUAUUUUUGACUUCUUUGUACAAGUUUCGCAUCAAGACAGGAGAGGCAGACUGUAGUAGGUGGAGAUUGACACGGGAUGGGAUUUUCUCAGUUGGCACUUAUUUUAGAUCUUUAUUGGGUCUUGUGCAGAGUUCAUUCCCCUGGAAAUCAGUGUGGAAAUGUAAAUUGCCUCCACGGGUUGCAUUCUUACUUUGGACGGUGGUCAGGGGACACGUGUUAACGAUGGAUAAUCUACGAACAAGAUGUUUAUGUUACAAAGUGGUGUUAUAAGUGUCGGAGGGAUGGGGAGACGAUUGAUCACUUGUUUCUCCAUUGUGAUGCCGCUCGUUUACUGUGGCACAAUAUUUUGGCAUCACAACACAUGGAUUAGGCGAUACCGAGGCGUAUGGAAGACGUGUUAAAGGCAUGGAGGAAAAAUUUCGCGACAAGGAUUACAAGCUUGCAUGGGACCUUAUUCCGGGUUACAUUGUAUGGUGUAUGUGGGAAGAAAGAAAUAGCCGCUGCUUUGAUAAUCAAACACGGACAGUAGAGCAAAUUAGAGAUGUUUUAUUUCACAUUGUAUACGUGGUUUAAUGCUGCAGCUACUAGGCAUAUAGAUGGGUUGCACAAUUUUAUGUUUUUCCUUUCUGCUUUAAAUUAAUAAUACACUUCCCGUGUAUUAUGCAUUGAUUAAUAAAAUAUUUGAUUACCUUUCAAAAAAAAAAAUUCAUAUUGGAUCUGCAAUUUGGAUGACUAUAACAUUAAUAUGUAGAUUGAAUUUGGAUGAUUAAUAUUUUUUAUUUCGUAUUGUAUAACAUUUUUUGUAACAACCCAGGCCUCGUACCCAAGUUGUUUUCUCAUGUACUUCCACUCCGUGAGAGUCUAAACCUAUCUGACUUCUCACAAAUUUCUAUAACGCCCUCAGGAUUCGAACCCAAGACCUCUGACUUAUGAGAGACUUAAACUAAAUCAAGGCACAAUGCUAGUGACAGGAUUUAGCUAAAGUCUCUCGUAAGGCAGGGGUCUCGGGUUCAAAUCCUUGAAGACAUGACAAAAUGUCUUGAGGAGUAAGAUAGAUUCAGGCUCUCCCAGAGCAAACAAUACGUAUGAUAUAAAGACUUUAUUAAAUUUUUUAUUAUGUAGGUUGAAUUUGCAUGAAUUUAAUAUUUUUCAUUUGUAUCGAGUUUGCAAUAGCAUUUUUCAUAUGUUGAUUGAAUUUGUUUUAGAUAGCGAAAAUGAUCCAACCUCAAAUGCGCCAAUCUUUUCAAAUUUUAUUGAAAUUGCCCCUAUAUUAAAUUAGACCAUCAAAGUUUUUAAUAAUGGCCAAUCAAGUUCAUCAAAAAAAAUGGCCAAAUGUGAAUUAGGCCCCCGACAAAAAAAAAAAAAAUUGUGUUCCUUGUGUGAUUCUGUUUAAAGCCCAAAACCAACCAACCCAACUCAACAACCCCACCCAACCUUCAUCAGUUAGGGUUGAGUUGAGUUUUAGACUUGUGGGUGGGUUGGUUCUGCUCAAUUUCUCAUGAAACUGAACGUGUUGGGUUAGGCCCAUUUUUUGGGCCUAAACCAACCCAUGCUCACCCAAGGUGCACACCACAAAAAUCAAAUAGCAUCGAGAUAUAUAAGCAAUAAUGAGCAUGCAUACAAUAUGCACUGUUAUUGAUGCUAACAGACUUCAUGAUAACUACUUAAUUGGACGUGCAAAUAGUAUUUGCAGUCAGGAGAAUAUACAAAAUCCUAUACUUAAUGAUCAAAUCGAGACAUCGAGGAUGUACAGUCAUAGUCAAGACUUAUGAAAGAUAGCUCUUAUAUUAAUGUAAACUGUUAUAUCUAGGACUUAAGACUAAAUAACAUCAAAGCGCGUCAUCUCAUUACUCUUCUAUUGAUGAAUACAUACAUGUAUAUAUACACGAAGCAUAAAGAUGAAGAAUGUAGCUUUAUAUUUGUGUGCAUACCUGUACUUCACUGUGAUUUUGAGCAUUAUAUUUGUGUUCACGUGUGUAAAGAGAGGGAGAGCGGGUCUAGUACUGUGAAUGGUUGACAAAUGAACAGACUGAAAGGAUUUUGUGAAUAAGAGAGAGAGAGUCUGCAUGACAACUCGAAAGAAAAUAUAAGGAUAAACACAAUCUUCAUAAAGAAUAUCCAAAAAUCAUUACGUGUUAUUCUACUUUUUGAAAAUAAAUUAUACGCAUCUUAAGAAAUUAAUCAGGUGUACAUUUGCAUUUAUCUUCAAAUUUAAUAAAAAGUUGUUUCAAGCGAUAACCAACAUUGUUUUAAUUGAUUUACCAUUAUUAAAACUGAGUAUUAACAAAUUUCCAUAUAAAAUGUGCACCUUGUCAUCCGCGCCACCUUCAAAUUAACCUAUUUGUGCAUGUGCAUUGCACAUCGACUAUACUAGUUGCUGCGUAUUAGGAUUUAUGACAUAAGGUUUUGUGUUACGCUCACUGUUAACCUACCACAACCCUCCUCUUUGCUCAGUUUUGCAACCUACUAUGAAAUACAUAGACACCAUUCUAGUUAUAGUGAUUUUUUUAAAUUUAACAAUUAAAAAAUAAUUAUUGAAUAGGAAAAUUAAACAAAAUGCUAAAAAACCAGCAAAUACAUUUAUGAUGUAGUUGAAAAAAGUGCAUGUAUACACAUUAAUUGCACAGUAGAUGAAUCAAGAUUAAAGCUGAAUAAAGAUCAAUUACCUGUAGACUGCCCAGAAGGUGAUGAUGCCAUCCGCAGGUGGUGGUGACAGAAGAAACAUAGGUUGAAGUGGCUAUGGAGCAGGCACAGAUUGCUGCACAGAUGCAGUCGUAUUGCCCCCAUUUUUAGUGUAAACUUCUUUCCUUCAUUACCAUGCCCAGUUUAUUGGGGAAGAUUUAUGUCUUUGUUAGCUAAUGCUUAAUGGGUUCAUUGCAUAACAUGCAUAAUUAGAACUACAUAAUGAACGGAACAGAAAAUUGUACAAUAGAAAAAUUCUGAGAUCAAUUUUAUUAUUUAGAGAUACAUUCAUAAAUUUAUCAAAUCUAUAUUUUCGGCUCCUCCAUCAGAUUUGAUAAGUUCUUUUUUCCUCCCAAUUCGACUUCCUACAAUGUUCACAAAUAUCUAUAGUAGAGUUUAUUGAUUGACUAGAUUUACACUGUGAGGAAUAUGAUUUAACAGUGACACCACCUAUAAUACUUUCCAUUUUUGUCAGUGAACUAAAGUACUGAACUUCCUGCUAAUUGCCUUCCUGAUAUUUCUCACUUUCCAAUUUCAGAAGUUUCAAGUUUUCGUAGCAGUAUGAUAUGCAUAAAAAUAUUACUAACUAAAAGUACUAUGGCAAGUAAGUCAUAAGCUUGUCUGAGUUCCUCUACACUAAAUAUGGAAAAAUAUUAAACUGAAACAGAAUCUUGAAGCUAAAUUAAUUAAAGACAAUUAAAGUAUUACAUUUAACAUGCAAUUUACAAAAAAAAAAAAAAAGAAAAAAAAAAUGAACCUGUGUAAUUUGUCUUUUUUUCUUUAAAAAGAAUUAAGAGAGCAGUCUACUGCCAUUUUAAGUAAAGAACUAAGCUAAAAUUGGAGUACAAAGAGCAAAUCAAAACACAAUCUAAACAGUUCUUAUUCAAACAAAAUAGUUACUCAUGAAAGUCAAUGUGCAACGGGGUGUGGAGUAAACAACACAAUCAAAACAGCUAUUACUCAUUCAAAACAGUUACUUUUGGAAGUGCAAGUGCAACACAAGUGCAAACUACCAGGAAAAGGAAAUAGAGCAUUAAAUUGAAAUACGUCAUCUAAAAUUUCAAGAUGAUAGAGAGAUUAUAUAGUUAUUUACUUAUAUUUUAUGGAAACAUAUUUAAGUUUUCCACCAAAAUAAAUUUAUGAUCUAGUAAAGGUAAAAUUGCCUCUUAAUAUAGGAGGUUCAUGGACUAAAACAACUAUGGAAGCAAAUAGUUUCAGGAAUUUUUCAUUGCAUCCUUCAAGUUUCAUUUCAGGAAGCAAUGAUAAUUCUAUUAGUAGACUGUGAAGGAGUAAAGCCAAUCAAAGAGUAAUGUUUGAGAUAUAUGGGGCACGUGCAUACCUCGUGCUAUGUCUGUGCUAAAAGUUAUUUUCAGCACUAGGGUUACAUUUGGAACUCUGCUAAGAAGCAUGGAUUGGAAUGGGGGCCGUGAAGCACACUAUUCCCGAGGCAGAUGCCUCAUUGAAUGAGAAGCACACCUCAAGGGGAGUGAGGUGUGUGCGCAGUUUUUCCCAGGAAUGACCUUUUUUUCCUUUUUUAUCCUUCUCUUUUUUAUCUGAACAUAAAUUUUAAGGAAUAUGAUGUUUGUCCAGACUCAAAGACAAGGGAAAAAAAAAAGAAACAAACUGACUUGGCAACAGAUGAUUGGAUGUUUGUAGUUUUUAUUUUUCAAAUAGUUCAAUUAUGUGUUAACAUAUUGUAACCUGUUUUUUAGCCUGUUUGUGUGCAUAAUUCCAUUUUUAAUUUGGCCCAUCAAUUCUUUUACUUGUUUAACCUAAUCAACCCCACACAUCACCAUCCCCGAAACAUUCAAAGCUUACUCAAUAAGAUUUCAAGGCAGCAAACUCCGGCAUUCUGAAAAAAUCCAGCAGGUAUUUAAAUUUUUUUUUUUUACCCGUCCUUUUUUCAACAUUUCAUCUUUAUUUUUUAUAAAAUUAUAUUAUGGGUGGUUUCUUUAUUUUGGCGUUAGCUCUAUAGAAAAUUUUCAAGAUUAUUUAUGGUUUAUUAUACCUUAUUAUACCUUUAUUUUAUAUUAUUGUACAUUAUUUGAUUUAUUUUUUUUUGGUUUGCAGAGAGGCUUAGGCCUCACUUCACAACCUAGUUCCAUCUUUUUAAACAUUCAAGGAAGAGGUAAAAAUUAAUGAUUCCGACACCCAUUCAAGAAUCAUCAUGCCUAACAUGGAGUAAUUGACACCAUAUCACCAUAUUGAAAUUCUGCAGUGUUCCAACAUCAAGUCAUAUCAUAAGCCAAUGUCAUUUACAACUACAUAUCGCAAAUAUGCAAACACUGCAAUUUUCUUAUAUAAUUGUUGGAACAACUAUGCAUUGCUCUUAUGUAAACAAUAUGCAUUACUCCUCGUGUUCCCACUUGCAACUAAUUCAUCAAUUUUUCUCUCCUAUGACAAGUGAAUUGUCAUAAUUGCAUACCCGAAGUUAAUGUCAAUAUCUUCCAAAAAAAUUAAACAAAGCCCAUUACCCAAUUGAGACAAACCAUCAAACACUUCAUACACGAGUGUAACAGAAUCUAGAGUGAUACUUUCAAUUACUAUUGUGAAGAAUCCAGAUUUUUUCUAUGAGCUACCAAGACAAGAGUCUAUGACUAAAUAACAAUUUAAUUGUCUUUGCUACUAUGUAACAAAAGAACACAAGCAAAUCAGUAAAUAGGUUCAUACAGGCUUUUAUCCACCUUGUAAAUUUAACUACUCGCUUCCAUCCUGGGAGCACUUUUGCAUUUAAUCACAUGUAAAGUUCAAAAACAAAUAUGUUUUUGACUUCAAUUUGAAAUAAUCCUUGUCUUCGCAUACAAUUUUAAUUAGAACAACGGAUCCUUAAAAUAAUGGGAUAACUUAAUCAUGUCGAGGAAACGUCUAAUGCAAUUCUUAGAAGGUAAGGGGAGAUAGAAGUCAAAGCAAAUGUUUGCAUAGUAACUCGUCUCUCCAAGAGGAAGUGGUAGAUGUGGUCAUGGAGCGAUGCACUGAACCAUGUUGGUGGCCUAAUGUCAUCCUCCUCUUCUUUCCCUCCUCUUAUUGACCAUUGCUUCUCAUUAUCCCUAUGUAAGAGCAUCUCCAAGAGACCUUUUAAAAGUGAAAUGUGAUAAGCCCCCAAUCCCCAUAUUCUGUUGCUAGGGAAAGUAGUUAGGCAGAUUUAGCUAAGAGGCUAUAAAUAGAGGUAGAAGGAGAGUCUAGAGAGAGGCAUUAAUUUAGUCGUAAAAGAGUCCAGUUAAUUUCUCUUGUUUCUGUUCCGUAAUUCCAUGCACAUCAAUACCAAGUUCUAUAAUAAUUGUUCCAGUUUCCUUUUCUUCCAGUUGAGUCUUAACAAAUUGGUACCAGAGCGAGCAAUUUUGAUGGCCCAAAAGAAGAUAGAAAUCAGAGUGGAAGCUAUGGAGACGGAGAUGAAGCGAUUGAAAUCUGAGAUGCAAUGCUUACCAAAAUUGGAAAGGUCUGUGGAGCACCUCAUACAGAGCAUGGAAAAGUUGCUGCUGUCCAUAGAAGAAACCCAGAAAAAUAUGGUUGCCUUGAUUUUCCGUAAGGCAACAAUGAACCAGGGUACUCAAUGAAGAUAUAUUCAGAAAUUUUAUGGAAGGGGGCUACCUCCUAGUGUCCACUAGGGACUCUUGAUGGAUCAACAGCACAAGACAAAGGAAAAGAGUCGAAAGAAACAAGGAAGGCCAGCGCCGGAGGAAUUACGGUCGCUUCUAAUCAGAUUAGAGAUGGUGGUAAUUGGCAGAGUGUUUGGAAGCUUGAGAUGCUUGAAGUCCUAGCUUCUCCUUCUAAGAACAUCAUCGCAAGACAAGCUGGAAAAGACGAAAACAUCGACUCAUAGAUGGAAGGAGAAAUAUGUCAUGGGCUAACAUAUAAGGCUAAAAUUUAUAUUACAAUUAAAUGCAUUCAAAAUAUUCCAAUUUUCAAUGCUCCAUAUAUUAAUCCAAUUAAAUAGUAAUACAAAAAUGGAGGGAAAAUCAUAUUAUAAUUUGGAGGGAAGCUAGUGAAAAUAUAAGACAGGGAAAAAUAAUAAUUACAUAUUUGGAGUAGUAAAAAUUAAGUGUUAAAGAUAAAGAGAUUAUUAAAGUAUUUAGAAGUUUUUACUCUCUAAAUUUAUAGAUGCUCUUUAAAUUGCAAAAUGUGCUCUUCAAAAUAGAUAAUCUCUUGUAGAUGCUCUAAAUGUACUUCCGUUCACCGGUUUGGGCUGUUGGGCCUCAAUCAUCAUCUUUUUACAGAGUUAAGUAACAAUUGACAAUGGAUAAUUCUCCAUACAGUCUAUGGAUUCUUUCCUAUUUACCUUUUACUUCUAAUUAUACAUUUUUGCAAUGAUACGUCUUUUUCUAAAAGUAGAGAAAGCUACAAUCACCUAGUGAUCAGAAAGAAAGAUGCAAAAACCAUAAUGUCAUCAUUUCAUUAUAUUGCUCCAGUGUAUUCCCCGUUCUGUCCUUUUUUAGGAAUCGAAUGUAAACCAUUAAAUCUGAGCUAAGGUUCACAUUUGGUGGCUGGUGAGUCUAAAUAUUGUGUUCAACUGUCCCAAAGAAAUUAACAUUUGUUAAAUCAAAGAACAUUUUUUAGACUAUAUAACUUCUCUACAACUUUUCAAUGUAAGCUAUGGAAUUGAAUGAUGAAGUGUAUCAAGAUAAACAAAAUGUGCAAAACUGAUCAUCGGCAGUGAGUCUUCAAGGCUAAAGAUGGUGCAUUUUGUAGAAAGUCAUCACGCAUUCUAUGCAGUGGAAAAAUAUUAAGCAUCCAAAUGGCACUGCAUAACUAUUUUAUAGUCUGCUUGCGCUCUUAACACUAAACUAGGGCAAGGUGAUAGAUGAUUACAAUAAAAGAUUAUAGUAAAAUGAAAACGUAGCUAUGGCACUCCAGGUGCUUGGCUAAAUCAUGAUGGUGAUCAGAAUUUGAAAGGAAUAAAUAAGAAUGCUAUAGUAGUCAGGUGUAAGCAGGUAGAAAUAGUGCAGAUUCAUAUGCAUGUUGGAAAGGCAAAGCUAAAAUGUGUGCUUGAACAGUCAUCACCAAUAGAUCACUUUCAUGUGAAAAUGAUUUGGAUUUCAAAUUGGAUACACAUACAAGAAGGAUGCUCCCCAUUAAUUCAACUGGGGAUGAUUUUUACUUCAGUGAAGAAGAUUUGGCAUCAACUUAAAGCACACAGACUUCAUCAUAUUCAAAUUAGAGUUCAUAAAAAUCACAAUAUAUAAAAAUCUUAGGCUGUAAGGUGGGCAAACUUUCAAUUUCCUGAAACAGCAAUGAAAAAACAUUCGGCAGACAGGUUUCAGAUUAGAUUCUCUGGUUAUAAAUCAAAAAAGAUAUGAGCAGUCUAACGACCUCUGUUGGCACGACGCCGUCUCUGAGCCUGCUGAACAGAAAGGGGGGGUCGCCUGUUGUGUGCCUACAUGUUAAAAUGAUAUAAUCACGAUUAGAUUUGCCCCUUUACAAUAAUAAAGUUUCUUUCACUUCAAUUUUGAAGAGAUGGUCAAGUUUAUCUUAGUAUCCAUUUUACAACUUAAAUAAUUUCUGAGCUAUGAUUAUCUUUCAUUUCUUUCUCAUUUACCUUAGACUCCCUUUAGAUUACGGAUGCCAUUGAGAAAGUAAAAUCUUCUCUCUCCAAAUUUGUCAAUAAAUCUUGACAUAAAUUUAGUAGCACGUCAAAAUGGUCCAGGUAAUAGAUCAAAUUAUGUGAGCAAUACACAAUAUUUACUUUAUGAGUAAUGUUAUAGUCUUGAUAGAUUCAACAAUCUCGAGAUAAUUAAAUUAAAGAUUAAAUGUGAAUGUUCAUCUAAAUGUUUAUUCAUAGUAAAAUUACAUUAAGAGCAUGUUUGGUAGAGAUUAUAAUCCAAUUAACAUCAAUUUUUUUACCGUUAUUUCACUAUUCCAGCCGUUAUUUUUGAAUUCUUCUCUCACAAGCAGGACCCACUUUAUCUCUAACGGUCAAAAAAUCAAUUAAAAAAAUCCCUACCCAACAAGCACUAAAUAAAUUUUAAAUGUGAACAUUCAUCUAAUAUUCUUAGUGAAACUACAUUCGAAGAGAGUCAUAUACAUAUCUCCGGCAUCCAUGCAUGAGUUAAUUUCCAUAAUGAUGAUUUUGGUGAGUUCCAAUUGCAUUAAGAGUGCAUUAUCAUGCAUCUUUAGGAACCAUAGUGACGAUUUUGGUGAGUUGAAAUUGUAUUAGGAGAGCAUUAUCAUGCAUCUUUAGGAAAGAAGAGACACUGACUCCAAUUUGUGUCACGAAAUGGCAAGAAGAACAUUGAACCGCUGGUGCUCCAUGUUGGUACAUAAGUAAAACUGCACAACCCCCACAAUUAACUUGUCCAAUUUGAUAGGCUGCAAAAACAAAGAUGAAAUCCUAAAUCACAUGAGACCAAGCCAUCACAAGACCCUAGUUAGCAAUUCAGACACAUCAACCUGAGAUUUAAUGCACGAAUCCAAAAAUUUUUAAGGAAGUCUUCUGUUCUUCUGUUUAUUUUUUUCUAUCGCUCGCGUAAAAGUGAAGCAUUUUAGCACGUCAUGGCAUGGAAAAUUUGGUGGCCCUCAAUUACAAAGACAUGCAAGAAGAUCCCCUUUACUUCAAAAGAGAGGAUCCAACAUUUACUAUUCAACCUAAGGUAGCGGUUUCACACUUAACUGGUUUUAUACUGUAGUUGAACUCGUUAUGCACUAUUCAUCACCAAAAAAAAAAGUUUUCUGGAAAUAAUAAUGAAAUAUGGCAGCAUUAUUGCUGUCUUUAUUGACUUUAUAGAACCAUUUGCUAACGGUUACUGUAGCUUCAAUUAAAAAAUAUCAUUUCACUUCGUUAGAUGCUGUAGCUUCCAGAAAUGAAAUUAAUGAGACCACUUUAUUGCCUCCAUUGUUGACUUACACAAGUGAGUUACUAUAGCUGUCCCUUCCAAAAAAAAAAAUUCUUCUCGUGCAUCAUGAGAGAGUGAGACAAAUUAUGGCAACGAAUUGUAGGAAUUUUUUUAUCAUGCCAGUUACUAUUCGUUCAGAAAGCAUCUCAUUAUUGCCCAUUUGACCCUUACAUGCAUACCGAUAAGUCAUUCACUCCUAACCGGGUAAAGCAUUUUUUUUCCCUUGGAUAAUUGAUCUUGUGUUUUAUAUCAUAUAAUAUUUUUAUUAUAAAAAUUGUCACGAAAAAAUAAUAAAUAUUAAUAAAUAAUUAAUUUUUUUUAAAGAAGAAAAACGAGUUAUACGUAUUUUUUAAAACAUACGUUUGAUGUACGUUUAACUAUUUUCGAUAUUCAUUUAGAUCAUUCAAUGCUUCUAUGACAUAGUUCUCAAAAUGAGUUUCGAGAUAAUAUAGAAGAUAUAUGCAUUCGACUACCGUACAAUCGUCAAUGAAUUUAUAAAAUUAGCAUGUUAUCAAAAUUCUUAAUUUUUUAAAUGAUGUCUAUUUUAACAUUAAAAAAAUUUAAAAGUUUAUUAGGAAAUUUUCUAAAUGACGUCAAAAAUUAUUGUUACGAAAAAAUAAUAAAUAUAAUUAAAUAAUUAAUUUUUUUAAGGAAAAAACUAGUUAUACGCAUUUUUAACACACAUUUGAUGUACGUUUAACUAUUUUCAAUAUUCAUUUAGAUCAUUCGAUAUGUUUAUGAUAUAGUUCUCGAAAUGAGUUUCGAGAGAAUAUAGAAGAUUUAUGGUAGAUUUUUAUAAAAAUAAAUAAAUAAAUCACUUAGUGAAAAAAAAAUUUAACCAAAAAAAAAAAAACAAUAGAGCAACUCCACGCAUCACGAAGCAAAUGCUCCGUGAUGCGCGGAGCAAUUUUGCUCAUGGCAUCCAGGAGAAAUUGCUCCGUGCAUCACGGAGCAUAUCCAUUAGGCAACUUUUUUUUUAUAUAUAUAGAUGACGUUCAGUGUCAAAAUUUAUUUUAUUUUUAUUUUUUAUUAGGUGAUUUAUUUAUUUAUUUUUUUUUAAAUCUAUUAUAAAUCUUUAUAAAUAUUCUAUAUUCUUUCGAAGUUUAUUUCGAUAACUAUAUAAUAGAUACAUCGAAUGAUUUAAAUGAAUAUCGAAAAUAAUUAAACCUACAUCAAGCAUGUAUAAAAAAAUGCGUAUAGCUCGUUCUUUUUUCUUUUAAAAAAUCAAUUAUUUUAUUAAUGUUUAUUAUUUUUUUGUGACAAUUUUAUCAAUAUAAUUUUCUUUUUUCCUUGGUGAUUGAUAUAUUUUUUAUACAAAUCUAUUUUACCCUUAUUUAAUAUGACACGGAGUAUAUUAAAUCAUGUAUAUUGUUUAUUUCCUAAAAGUAGUUGUGAUAAAUCAAAGUAAAACUUAACACAAUAUUGAAAAAAAAAAUACUCAAUCAAAAAAAUAUCGAUUAAUUUAUUUGACGAUACUGAAUAUUUUAGAUGUAUAUAAAUUUUGGAGGAUUAAAUUCAUAUAUAUCAAAAUUGGGUGAUUAAAUAAAAAUCUCAACCCCAUUUAAGUGACAAAACAUUAUAUUGUGGCUCAGCUUGUGUUUGACUCCAUUAAUUUUUUCUCAUUUUUCUCUCUUUUAUUUUCAAUCGCAGAAUCUUCUAUAAAAUAAUAUUAUACAUAAAUAAAAAAAAAUUCAUUAAAUCGAUUGGAUAUUGAACAAUAAAAAAAAGAUUCGACUAAUUACACGAUUUAAUUAUAUUGAAUAGUUAUCAUCAAAUAAGUCCUUUAUAUGUAAAAUAACCACUCAAAUUAAAAUAAUGUUUGAUUUAUGAGCUCCAAUAAUUGUGGUUUUUAAUCUAUGCAUCAAGGAAACAUUUAUCCUAUCCCCAGAAAAUACAUUUCAAUUAUAGCAACACAAAAUUGAUGCCAACUAAUUUUUCAUCUUAAUAUUUUGGGGCCGUUUGAGCCCCAUUAUUUGUAAAUUAUGAGAUAAAUAGUGUUUUUUUUGAAAAAUGAAUGGUUGAAAAUUUUUGAUUUACGUGUAAUAUUAUUUUAUUGAAGAUUGUGUGGUUAUAAGUAGGAAAGAGAAAAUUUUAAUUUAAUUUAAUGAAAAAUAAUGAGGCUCAAACGGGGGCUUUAACAUCUGAAAACUUUUUAUAUAUAAAAGAAAUUCGAUCAUUUUUAGAAAUUUUUUUCUUAUUGGUAAUUUUUCCUCUCGAUCAAUUAAAUUUUUAAAUAAUCUAAUAAAAUUUUUUACGUCAUUUAGAAAGCUUCCUAAUAAACUUUUAAAUUUUUUUAAUGUCAAAAGUGUGUUAUAUAUGAAGAUUACAUUUCUGUUUAUCAUUUUAAAUAAUUAAUCAAAUUUGUAGAUUUAUUGAGAGAACUGAACAGAUAUUUUGACAUGUUAAUAAUUUAAUAUUACCUAAAAAAAUGACAUAGCCCGUGCAUUGCAUAGGCGGAAAACUAGUAAUAAUAAAAUAUCAGAUGUUAAGAGCACAACAUGUCUCAGAUACUCAAAACUUCAAUUUGCCAUAAACUUCAAUACAAGCAGCCUAUGUAUUAGAGGAUGUCGUGAUGUCGUUACCAUGUAUAACUUGAUUAGAAUUAGGGAUUUAUUUUGAUUGUACAGAAAUUUACUUUCCUUGUAUGUUCCUUGUAUAUUCUAUAAAUUGAAUGGAAUACAUACCAAAGAUUUAUUCAGCAAAAUCGGUUUUAGCAUGGUAUCAGAGCCCUAAUAUUUCUCGUGCGUGUCGCUAGCAAUCAGCUCUUAGUUCUUUAUAGUAGAAUCACGAUCAUCGCCUCUUGCAUUUCCGUCGGCAGUCACCAUCAAUUGGUUUCUUCAUAGUCUGCGUCUUUAUCAUCACUUGGUUUCUUCAUAGUCGGCGUCUUCGCGUUAGCUUCUCUCUGCGUUCCAGUGGUCAUCUUCUCAGUGUGUUACAUCUACGUGGUCGUGAUCCAGUGUGUUCUUAAGGUCAAUGUGUUCUUUGAUUUCUCAGAGAAUCGAACUGUGGUUUCUGUGGUCAGAGCAAAUUGUCGUCUUCGUCGCCUCUGUGAGUGAUUUUCUUGCCUUUGGCCAAUAUGUUGGGCCUUAGUAAAAUUAUUGGUUUUAUUAAAUACUUGUGGGCUUGGGCAAUUGAACUAUAUUGUCUUUAAUUGGAUACUGGUAGAUUUGGGCCAGGGCUUGGACCUCUAAUUUAAGUGGAUAUUUAAUUGGACAAAUUUAAAUUAAUUGGGUUGUGAUAAAUUUAUUGGCUAACAACCAAUUCUCCUCCUCCGUCAAAAUCUUAAGGUCUGAUUCCAGGGGUGAAUAUAUGUCUAACGCAUUUCAAGCUUUCUUACAAACUAAAGGCAUUAUUUCUCAGCAAUCUUGUCCUUCUACUCUUCAACAAAACAGGGUGGCAGAAUGCAAGAAUUGCCAUCUGCUUAAUAUGGUUCGAGCUCUUCUGAUUGAAUCUUCUGUCCCUCUCGAUUUUGGUGUGAAACUUUGUCUACCGCUGUACAUCUCAUAAAUCAGUUACCUUCUCCUACUCUUAAUAAUGUCUCUGUUUUAUAAGCUCUUUGGUCAUCAUCCCUCUAACUCUUAUCUGCGUCCUUUUGGCUGUGUGUGUUGCAUUCGUUUACAACCAGAAGAAAGGACAAAACUCACUCCUCAAUCGGUCAAGUGUGCUUUUUUUGGAUAUGGUGGGACUCAAAAAGGGUAUGUUUGUUAUGAUCCUGAGACACAACGAAUUAGGAUUUCUCGCAAUGUUGUUUUCUUUGAAAAACAAUAUUUCUUCACUUCAGAAACUAUUACUUCCCCGCCUAAGUUUUCUGUCCUACCUACUUUUCCUAUAGAAUUCUCUCAAUAUAAGCUCGGUCUUGUUUACACUCGCAGGCAUGAUGUACAGUCUACUAAUCCCACACUUCUCAGACGACUGUCCCCCACAUCUCUGAUCCUCCACCUACGACAUCAGAUCCUUCACCAGAUGAUUCUCCACCUACGACAUUAGAUACUUAACCGGGUAAUCUCCCACCUCCUGUCAGUCUUUGUCGCACCUCUCGUGUCCCUUGACCACCAGAUAGGUAUGGCUUUUCCUCCUAUAGUUCUAUAUCUACUACUCUUAACUCGAUUUCCAUUCCUUCCUCCUAUAGACAGGCUAUAAAACAUUUGGAAAUAGACGAUGAAUGCAAAACUUGAGGCUCUUGAGUCCAACCAAACAUGGGAUGUUGUACCAUGUCCACAGAAUGUAAAGCCUAUUGAGAGUAAAUGGGUACAUUCUAUCAAACUUCAUUCUGAUGAUUUUCUUGAGCGGUAUAAAGCUCGACUGGUUGCAUGGGGUAAUCGUCAAGAGUAUGGAAUAGACUAUAAUGAAACUUUUGCUCCAGUCUCUAAAAUGACAACUAUCCAUCUUUUGUUAUAGCUUGCCGCUUCUCAAUCUUGGUCUUUACAUCAAAUGGAUGUAAAGAACGCAUUCUUACAUGGAGACCUCGAGGAAGACAUUUACAUGAAACUUCCAUCUAGUAUGCCUCUUCCCUUAGCUAAUUUGUUUGUAAGUUAAAAUGAUCUUUUUAUGGUCUUAAACAGGCUCCUCGCGCAUGGUUUGACAAGUUUCGCCGCACUCUUAUGGAUUUUUUAUUUACUCAGAGUCAAUAUAACGCAUCCUUGUUUCUUCACAAGAGUACUGCUAGCAUUGUUUUUCUAUUGGUAUAUGUGGAUGAUAUUAUUAUUUCUGGAUCUUAUCACAUCCUUAUAAACUUCAGCAACAUCUUCAUUCAAUUUUUCACAUGGAGGAUCUUGGUCAUCUCAAUUUCUUGGUAUAUUCUUAAAUCAACAUAAGUACAUUCAAGAUUUAAUUCGAUUGGCUGAUUUAUCUUAAGCCUCCUUAGUUGAUACUCCACUGGAACUUAAUGUUAUAUAUUGAAAAGGCGAAGGUAAUAUCCUUACAGAUCCUACCCUCUGAUGGAGGUUAGUAGAUAGUCUCAUCUAUCUUACUAUAACUCGUCCAGAUAUUUCAUUCGCAGUUCAUACUGUCAACAAAUUCAUAGAUACCCCUCAUUAUCUUCAUUCGGUAGCUAUCUGCCAUAUUAUCCGAUACCUUAUUGGGACCCCUCACCUUGGUCCGUCCUUCCCUGAGGGAACGUCUCUUGAGCUCACGGCUUAUAGUGAUGUUGAUUGGGCAGGUUGCCCUGACUCUUGUCAAUCAACCACUGGGUGGUGUAUCUUUCUAGGUGAUGCUCUCAUUUCUAGGAAAUGUAUGAAACGGGAUAGUGUUUCUAAGUCCUCCACUGAGGCUGAAUAUCGUGCUAAGUCAGCUGUGUGUUCUGAGAUUGUAUGGUUGCAUGAUCUUCUAACAGAGCUUGGUAUUUCACAAACAAAGCCUACCUCGCUUCAUGGUGACAACACUAGUGCCAUUCAGAUUGCAGUCAAUCCUGUGUACCAUUAACGCACCAAACAUAUUGAGGUGGACUGCCAUUACAUUCAGGAUGCAUAUGAUUCUAAGAUAAUCACUCUUCCCCAUAUCUCAACUACCCAACAGGUUGCAGAUAUCUUUACCAAAUCAUGACUCAUCUUCGUCAUGAUUCUCUUGUUCGCAAAUUGAUGCUUGUGGAUUCCCCAACACCAAUUUGAGAGGGGGGUAUUAGAGGAUGUCGUGAUGCCAUUACCAUAUAUAACUUGAUUAGAAUUAGGGAUUUAAUUUGAUUGCACAGAAAUUUACUUUCCUUGUAUAUUCUAUAAAUUGAAUGAAAUACAUGCCAAAGAUUCAUUCAGCAAAAUCAAUUUUGGCACUAUGUACUAUACACACAGAUGAAUUAGGUCAGCUAGUCCCCCCCAAACAAUGUUAUAGUUGUGGACAUCAAUUCAGAAAAAAAAAAAUAAUGAUGCCCAAUCCAAAAAACCACAAGUCCAAUGAGACAAAUGUACUAGAGCUCCAAUUAGGCUGACCAUUAGUAUGACAAAGUCACCAAAGAUUAAAGAAACAAGAUUUGAGUAGUCAUCACUACUGGAAAUUAAGAUACACAAGUAACAUUGGACAUUCUCUUGAGGAGGAGGAGGGAGUAAAUAUGUGAUUGAGCUUACAUGUUAAUAAAUAAAGACCUUGGAAUCAAUGCAAAUUAUAGAUUUCAAAAGAAUGUUCCACUGAAGGAAUUAACUUCAUAACAGAUUGACGAAUAUUUGACUUAAAAACAAACAUAUAAGUAAUAGGAGACAGAAAACCUUCUAGGACGAGAUUGACUUCCUGGCAACCAGGACAUUGGACCCAUUUUGCUCCUCGCGGGUACAAAAGCAAUUUCCGGCAAGUUCCACAAACUAAUUGAGCCUUUUCUGCAUCAGCAUAACAUAGAGGCUAUGUAAGUACAAGUAAUGAAUCCAGAGCCAGAUUUCCAGAGUCAUAGCCAACUAUCGAUUUCAAAUAUUCCAAAUGUGAAAGAAUAAAAUAGAGGAAAACUAGGUGCAGUAGCAACAGGUAACAACAUUAGAUACAUAUAUUUAUAGGAGGCAGCAUCUCACUGUUGUCUUGAAUUAAAUUGGAUUACUAGUUACAUCAGCUCUGCUACAAAUUAAUUUAAAUUAUGAGUAAGAAUAACUUUUCUGUUUGUUGUUCAUGCCUCCAAUAGAAUCAGGAAAUUACAUAAGAUGACAUGUUUAGCAUAUUACAAACUUUUUUAUACUCACAAAUACGAAAUGCGUCAAACAGAAAUAGAAAAAAUAACGAUGGGGUUAGUAGAUUAGAAUUAAAGAUAGUUUAAUUUACAUUAGGCCUAUUUUAGUUUGUUAUAGUUUUCUAGUUUGACUAAAGCUAGGGUUUUGUUUUAUAAAUUUCCUAGUUUGACUUAAAUUAGGUUUUAUUUCCUUUGUAUCCUUCUUAAAUUAGGUUUGCUUAGACUCCAUAUAAAGAGGGUCUAUUCAUUGUCAUAUUCAAUCUUCAAUAUUGAAACUGAUAUUUUCCCUUUCUAGAAUUUAUCUAUUCUCUUCUCCUCCUCCUCCUCCUCCUCUUCCUCUUUCUCCUCUCCUUUCUGUUCUCUUCUUCCCUACUUUCCCCUUCUUGUACAAGUCUCGGUAUUUGUUCGUUGCGAUCUACAUCAAUUUGGCAUAAGAGUUUCGGCAUUUUCCUUUGACUAAAUAAUUUUGAAAAGUUUUGAUCGAUAUUCAAUUUCGAGAGAUCACAUCAAAUAAUAUGCAAGAAAAUUUUCAGUCACCAGGGAAAUUGUUGCUGAUUAAUUACAUAGUACAAAAUUCACUGCAAAUCAGAAAGUAUUUUUUCCUUCACAGUGUUUGUAUUAAUUCUGAUCAUCCAACUUGGAGAAUCCAAUCGCAGGCUUUGCAAAAGCCCAUUUGUGGCGUUCAAUCACCCACCGAACCCACCCAAGCACCAAACUUGGAGCCCAAAUCAUUUACCCACAAUGAUAGAUCAUAACCAUCAGCUAAAUUAGCCCAAUUUAGUCAGGCUCAUUAACCCUGAUCCACUACAAAACCAACAACGAUAACCCCCGACCCAUUUGGCCAAGUCCAAACUACAGAAAUCAAGCCCAACAACCCAACCCACCUUCAUCCACCCAUAGCAAAAACACCCCACCAAACCUUAAUCUCCACCUGCAACCAUUUUACCCCCGUGCACCACCACUCACAAACCUCUAUUAUUUUUCCCCACCUGCCUACUCAUCUACAUCCACUCACGCACAUUCAGAUUACACCAUCACCAACGCAGUAGCUUCACGAUCUGCUAACCAUUUGCUCUCACAAGCCUUCACUAUCAAUCAAUUAGCAUCACUCUUGAGAGUCACAUGUGGUCAAGUGCAGUUGUGUGGCUUAAAUACUGAUCGGACACUAUGUGCUUAUUGAAUAAACUCAUUUUUUCUCCGUCUAUGUUCUCUUUUGAUUUUUUCCCCUUUCUUGUCUCUCUCCCUUUCUUUUUGACUCUCAUUCUUGUUUAUUGAAUCAUGCGUUGAUUUGGUAUGAAAAAGGUAUAUCUCUUUUGUUAUGAUUUUACAUUACUUUUAUUGUAAGUGUCUGGCUUGCCUGACUUAUAAACGGAAAAUGUUUUUUCCCCAACAAAAAAUAAAAAUAAAAAUAAUUGUUCGAUUUAAUCUUAAAAAAUAUUAAAUCACUUUGACUGACCUUUUGGAGUUUUUGCUCUAUUUUAUGCACGUUCUAAGUGAUAAUUUGCAAAUAUUUAAAAUAACUUACAUUUGCCUCGACGCUUCACUCAGCACCAUGCACAAUUCAUAUAGCAACUCUUGUAGCCUAUAAGCCCUAGUCAGAACCAAGAUAGCAUGCAUUCAUCUUUUUCCCUUCACUGAUCGGUUUAGCAACUAAAAAGAAAAAGCGUAAAAACAUCUCCUUCUUAUAUUCACAUUUAACUAUGGAAAUUCUUCUUAAGAGCCAUCCUCAAGCCUCCCAAAAAGAGAAAAUUCUCUGAUAAAUAGUCCUUACGCCGACAUUAGCAGCCCAUUUCCGAAAUGAAAGGGGUGAGCGACACACCUAUUACCAUUACCAUCCCAAACAAUGUCAACACAGUUGAAUUUGGUUUAGAAUGCCUCUCCAAGCGAGAGUUGCUUCCAAUUAAUAGUGUGAGCACUUCUGAUUACAAAGCUAAAUAUCAGCCACUGCAACAAUCAUGCCUAUCAUCCCAAUAAUCAUGUCUAACUAAGAAAAGACAAUGUACAAUAAUUAUACUCAUUACAUAAAUCAUUCCAUAAUUAGACUAUAUUAUAUCUCCUACUCACAUCCCUCUGAAAUUGAUGCUAGUCGAUCAAGAAGCAUCAAUUGGAUUUCUUUGAAAAAAUGUCAGCUAUUGGAAGGGCAGUGAAAAUGUGAGAAAGAGUAACGAUAUGAGUAUCCAAUGCCUCUUGAAUAGAAUAACAGUCCACUUCAAUAUGCUUAGUAAGCUCAUGGUAAACAAGAUUAGUAGCAAUCUGAAUAGCACUUAUAUUAUCAACAUGGAGUAGAAUAGGAACAGAUUGAGAAAAACCAAGGUCAGCUAAAAUCCCACGUAGUCAAAUAAUCUCAAAACAACCAGCAGACAUUGCCCGAUAUUUAGAUUCAGUAGAUGACUUAGAGACACGAUCUUGUUUCUUGCUUUUCCAAGAGAUCAGAUAAUCCCCAAGAAACAUGAACCACCCAUAACAAAUCAUCAGGUAUUUGGACAACCUGCCCAAUCUACAUCACUAAAAGCAAUAAGGCAGAGAGGAGAACCGGUAGGAAAAAACAAUCUGUGACUGUAUGUGCUUUGAAGAUAGCAAACGAUACGACGAACGACAGCUAGAUGGAGAUGACAUGGAGUGUAUAUGAACUAACUAACCUGCUAGACUGCGAAAGAAAUAUUAGGCAUCGUAAUAGUUAAAUAAUUCAGGCUCCCCACCAGUUGGUAAAACACAGUAAGAUCGGAUAAAAGAUCACCUUCCUCACUACGAUACUUUGUAUUUACUUCUAGAGAAGUUUCCACAGUAGAUGAAUCAUGAAGACCUGCUUUAAUCAAAUCUUGCGUAUACUUAUGUUAAUUUAGGAAAAUACCAGAGGAAUCAAUGAAAACCUCCUCUAACCAACCCUAAGAAGUAUGUAAGAGAUCCAAGAUCCUUCAUAUGAAACAAGCCUAAAGAUGUUUCUGUAGACGGGUAAUCAAAGCAAAAUCCAUCUCGAUAAUAACAAUAUCCUCAACAUAGAUAAGAAAAACAACAAUACUAGUAGAGCUCUUGCAAAGGAACAAGGAAGAGUCGUACUAGCUCUGUUGAAAUAAAAAGUGAAGCAAGGUAGAUCAAAAUUUGUCAAACCAUACCCAUAGAGCCUGUUUCCACCCGUAUAAUGAGCGCUUAAACUUAUACUUCUAAAGAAGAGGUGGUGGUCAGACAAGGAGGUAGUGUCAUGUAAACCUCCUCUUUGAUAUCUCCGUCAGCACUGUGGUCGUCUUAGCAACCGGAGCAGAAGUCUCCUCAUAAUCUAUACCAUACUCCUGUUUGUUAUCAAGAGCAGCCAACCGUACCUUAUAUCGAUCCAAAGUCCCAUUAAAGCGUAGUUUGAUCGAGUAAAACCCACUUACAAUCAAUAGCUUUAACAUUCUCAGGACAAGGAACAUCCCAGGUAUCAUUGUCCUUGAGUGCACAAAGUUCACCUGCCAUUGCUCACCGCCAGCAUUCAUGUUUUACUGCCUCAAAGAACCAGGUAGGUAUGGGAACGGAUGACAAAAUAGCAUGAAGAGAAUAUGAAAAAAUCCAUUGUGACGACCCGGGUCUCUGUACCCAAGUCAUUAGCUUACGUACUGUCCGCUUUGGGUGGGCUUUGCGCACACUUACCCCUUACGGCUUUUUGUCGCGUCCCCCAAGAUUCUAACUCAUAACAUUUCCCUUAAGUAAGACUUAAGUUGAAUCCCGGUACCAAUUGGACAUGAGGGCUUUCUGUCACGUCCCCCAAGAUUCGAACUCAUAACAUUUCUCUUAAGUAAGACUUAAGUUGAAUCCUAGUACCAAUUGGGCAAACGCGACAGAAAGCCGUGAGGAGUAAGUGGGCGCAAGGUCCACCCAAAGCGAACAGUACAUAAGCUAAUGGUUUGGGUACAGAGACCCGGAUCGUUACAAAAAAAGAGCUCAAUUGGUACCAAGAUUCAACUUAAGUCUUACUUAAGGGAAAUAUUAUGAAUUCGAAUCCUGGGGGACGCGAUAGAAAUCCGUGAGGGGUAAGUGGGCGCAAGGCUUACCCAAAGCGGACAGUUACGUAAGCUAACGGCUUGGUUACAAAAACCCGAGUCGUUACAAUACCUAUUAGGAGGACGAGAAAUUCUGGUAGAACUGCAAAGAUUAGUGUCCGAAUCCAACUCAUUCGUGGAAGGCAGUGUUAGAGCAGCCUCAAAUGGCAAGUCAGGUUCAUGUGGGGCAAAGUAGAGCAUCGUCAUUCAUAUACGAAUCCAGACUUGAACCGUUUAGGAGAAGAAGACAACACAUCAAAGUGUGGAAGGGCAUAUAUCUUUGGUAAAGGUUCAACAUGAGUCGGAAAAAAGUAUUGAUUUUUUAAGAAGACUACAUGACGAGAGAUACGAAAUCUAUUAGAGCAUGAUCAUAACAAAAAUAGCCUUUAUGAGAGACACUAUAACCCAUAAAUGCACAUCUAACAGAUUGAGCGGAAAGUUUGUUUCGUUCAUGAGAAGGAAAAUAAACAAAACAAACGCAAUCAAAGGCAUGCAUGUCAAGGUAGUUGGAAUGCUGAUGAUGCAAGCGAUAAUAAGGAGUUUCAAAUUUGAGAACACUGGAAGGUAAUCGAUCAAUUAAAGACUGUCGUAGAUAGAGCCUCGACCCAAAUUUAGGUGGAACUGAGGAUUCAAGUAAUAAUGUAUGAACAUCUAACGGAUGACGAUUCUUACAUUCAGCAACACCAUUUUGCUCUAGAGUAUGGACGAAUGCUGGGAGACAAUGCCCUUUUGGUGAAGUGAAUCGUGAAACUUUAGAGACAUUCUUCUACUAAAUCAGAUCUUAACACUUUAAUACUCGAAGAGAAUUGAGUUUCAACAUAAGCGACAAAUUGUUGAAAGACAGAACACCUCAGAUUUAGAAUGAAGAAAAUAAAUCCAGAUAUACCUACUAUAAUCAUCAAUGAAUGUAACAAAGUAUUUAUAAUGGGUAAGAGAUGACCGGAGACAUACCCCAUACAUCAUUGUGAAUCAAAUCAAAACUUCUUUCAGCACGACUAUCAUGAGAAGAAAGCGAAAGAGACUUGCCCUUACCUAAUUUGCAUGUGGAAUAAUCAAGAGAAAUAAGAGAUGAAAAUUGAUCUUUAUUGCCCAUCAAUCCAAAGUUUAUUAAAUGAGAUAAAACUACGGAAUUAGGGUGACCCAAACGUUUGUGUCAUAUUUCACCCUUAUUGUUAACUUUAUUAUAAGCCAUGGAAAUAAAUGGUAGAAUGAAAAAGUGCAGAGGAAACAAUCGACCAACUUUAGGCCCCUUCACGAGUAUCUUCCCCGACACCUGAUAGUGCACAAUACAGCCAUCACGAGAAAAUUGAACAUCACAGUCAUUAUCAACCGACUUUAUAGAUAUAAGACUAGUGGAAAGUGCAGGAGAUAGGAGAACAUCUUUAACAGAAGAAUUAAUGUCUCCAUCAUAAAUAGGUAAUUGACUACCAUUAGUAAUCAGAAUGUAUGAGGAUCCCUUAUAUGUCCAAAUAUUGCUAAGAGCAUUAGAAAAACCAAUCAUAUGAUUAUAUGCACCAGAAUCAACAAGCCAUGAUGAUGAUGGUAAAGAAAUGUUACCUUGAAGCCCAAGGACGAAAAGGAUAAAAUAAUCAUUUGCUGGACCAUCUCAAGAGUUAGGACUGAUGAAUUAUUAGCAGAAGAAGUACCAACUGUAGUAUUUAUAUGCACCAGAAUCAACAAGCCAUGAUGAUGAUGGUAAAGAAAUGUUACCUUGAAGCCCAAGGACGAAAAGGAUAAAAUAAUCAUUUGCUGGACCAUCUCAAGAGUUAGGACUGAUGAAUUAUUAGCAGAAGAAGUACCAACUGUAGUAUGAUAGGCAUUAGUUUGACGAUUCUGAGGGUGAGUGGGGCAUUCUUUAAUUUUAUGCCCUAGUUUCUUGCAAUAGUUGCAAUACUUCUUUGCACAGUGGACAGCUCUAUGUCCAUAUUCCUUGCAACUAAAGCAUUGGACCUUCCGCAUAUCUCUACCCUUCCCUUUCCCUUGAGCCGCAUAGGCAACUACAUUAGUUGGUAGUUUGUUUUGCUGUUAAGUGGCCUAUGCAGCAAUAUGUUGCUCCUCCCGAAGUAACUCCCCAAAGCACACAUCCAAAGGAGUUGGAUCGCGAUUCAUCAACUUAGAUCGAGCUGCCUCAAACUCAGGCCGCAACUUCAUCAAAAACUUAUCUCUCUUGCUUUGCUCAUGUAAUUCUUGAACUAUAGCAAGAAGGGCAUCAGGUACCUUUGCAUAAAUCAUAUCAGUAUAUUCUGCCCACAUAUUUUGAAACCCAUUUGCAUGACUUUAACAUUGAGUUUGUUCCGGUAUUACCUUAAGUCAACGAUACUCCUCGGGCUUCUACAUUUUCACAGGGCUCUUAUCCUGGUGCCACAUGUAUCUAAUUGUUUGAGAAAAAGAUGAUUGCUCGCUAAUUUAUAAUUCCUAUACAUAUUUGAUUGUUGUCUACUGAUUAAAUUCACAUUAUCUCCCGUUCGACCACUUGUGCAUAGUUCCAUGAUGAUAUUUAAAAGAUUGAUUAUUUUAAACAACAGAAAUUAUGAUUACGUACAUGGUAGGCACAUAUCAUAUAAUGGAGAUUUUUUUUUCUUUGGUAAGAUAACUCAAAUUAAGAAAAGGUUUUUAUAUAAUUCACUUGAAAUUAAUUUGUUUGACUAGCCAUCGAACUUGAAUAGAAGUUUUGUUUUCAAUAUAAUAGAUUAUUUCCUUAAUUAUGAUUACGUACAUGGUAGGCACAUAUCAUAUAAUGGAGAUUUUUUUUUCUUUGUUAGGUGUUUCUUUGGUAAGAUAACUCAAAUUAAGAAAAGGUUUUUAUAUAAUUCACUUGAAAUUAAUUUGUUUGACUAGCCAUCGAACUUGAAUAGAAGUUUUGUUUUCAAUAUAAUAGAUUAUUUCCUUAUCAUGGAACAUUCGAGCAACCGGUAUUGCACUUAUUUGUUUCUGCAUGCCAGUCUACCGGGCUAGUGUACUGUGCCGCUCAUUAUGUGGAUUCAGUUGUAGUUUUUGUGGAUAAGUUCCAAAGGUUAUUGUUUGAUGUUCACUGUCAAUAUUUGAUCAAAAAGAAAGAUCAUCCCCUUGGUCAGACAAUGUUAUUGAAGAUGAUUUUUGCUUUCAGUUGUCAUCAUAUGGUCAAUAUAUUCAGGAAGAAUCGCUCCUAUGAUGAGAAGUGAUCUACCUUGUUGGAGUUGAAAUCUCUUGGCUGGAGAGAAAUGAUGAGGAAUGAAGAUAAGAAUAUCAUCAGUAGAUUAGGAAUAAAGAUAGUUUAGUUUACAUUAACUUAUUUUAGUUUAUUAGAAUUUUCUAGAUUGACUAAAUUAGCAUUUUAUUUUGUAGAUUUUCUAUUUUGACUUAAAUUAGGCUUUAUUUCCUUCUUUUCCUUCUCAAAUUAGGUUUGCUUGAGGGUCUACUCAUUGUGAUAAUUAAACUUUUAUAUUAAAAAACUAAUAUUUUCUCCCUCUAAAUUUUUCCUUCCUCCUCCUCUUUCUUUUCUGCUUUCUCCUCUUCCUCCCCUCUUUCCCCUUCUACAAGUCUUGUUCUUUGUUCGUUGCAUUCUCUGUCACAUAAACUACAAUCCCAGAUUGUCAUCAUGAAUUUUCAUAGAGAACAACAUAUUUGCAUAUCUUCCCUGGACAACUUGAGCACAGCUUGCAGAUUUCACAAUGAUUUCCGUAAAAGCAGAGUACAAAUUGAACACCAACAGCUAUUUAAAUUUGGAGUAGAGAGGUUGUACUUCUUGUGUGCUUUUCCAUUUUCAUUUCUAUAUGUGUGUCAUGGAGUGAUACGUGGGAUUACCGUGUCUCUAACUAAAGAAAAAGUGAGAUUAUUACGACGACACAAUUUAGGAAAGAUUAAUAAAAAAGUCAGAUAAUAAAAGUCGACAUUAAUUUGAAAUGUGCCAAAAGAACAACAUAAGAGGAAAUGAUGUGCGAAAGUUUACUUUAUGGAAUUAAAAGUAGAGUAUGAGAUGGAGGAAAGACAGUUUAGUAUCACCAAUUCAAUGAGGUGUGUAGGCAUUAUUUGCAUAGUAGAUAAGCCAACAUUAAAACAAGGAAGAUCAAUUACCUGUAGACUGACCAGAAGGUAAUGACAUCACAGGUGGUGGUAGUGGUUGUGAUGGAAGAGUCAUAGGUUGUAGUGGCUGUGAAUAAAGCACAGAUGUAGGUCUUUCGCCCCCAAUCUUAAUGUCAACUGUGCCCCCCAAUUCUUUAUCUGAGAUGCCCCCAUUCAUCGGGGGAGAUUUAUUUCUACUGGUAACUCUUGAGCAUACUAUAAAUAGAAGAACACCAUUAAGAACAAAACAGAAGUUACAAGAAGAAGUAUCUGAGAUCAAUUAUCAUAAACACAUUACGUAUUCACGAAAUGAACUCUUGUGAGAAUGUUAGUUUAAGGUGAACAAUGCAUAAAUUUACCAUAUAUAUUUAGCACACUGCUACACUCGGGGAGAAUUUUCAAAAAGAAACAUGAAUAAAUUUACGAUAUCUAUAUUCAAGGAAAUAUUCUACCCAAUAUGCAGUCAUAAUGGUCGGUCAUCUUAAGGUGCAGUUAAGAUGUAGGUGAAAGGACUUACCAGCAGGUGGUGCUGAUGAUGGCAGCAACUGUGGUGGCGGGAUAGGUGGUGACAACUGUUCUGGCACAGAUUCAGGUCGAGACCCUGAUGGAUGUCCUUCAACAUCAUUUUUUAUUUCUUUUUUGCUCCCCAUUUCACGUCCUACAAUGUUCACAAUUCUUUGGUUAUUCUUCCUAUUCAAUAUCCAAUUUCUAAAUUGUCAUAUCAUUUCACAAUGCCAAAUGGACAAUCGAUAAUUUGCAUGAAGGGGGGAGAAAAUUGCGUGAGGAAGAAAAUUGAGUCAGCCAGAUCUCACCUUUAAAAUUAUUAAAAUGUAUUCUUUUCACUGUCCAAAACCCUAAGUUCAGCAAAUACAUCUACCUCACUCAGCAAAUAAACCCUCAAAAUCUUGCACGUUCGCUCUAACUUGAUAUGCGCAGCAUUUAAAAAAGCAAAAUAAGGUAUUGAGGUGUUUCUCUUUCGAGGCAAGGCACAAGCCUCACCACAAAUCAAAAGAACAAGUAAAAUAUAAAAAAAUGCAAAAUUUAACCAUGUAUCAAACCAUAAACAAACUUUAAAAUUCAUAAACACAAAAUAAAUCAAUGAAGUAGCAAAAUUAAUUUAUUCCCUACUCUUGGUGAGCCUCUUUUGGUUAGAACAUGCAUGCAUGUAUCAUAGGUACAUGACUGUAGUAUUAGUUAAUUGGUGGAAUGUAUUUCUUCAAUACACAUCAAACAUAAAUUCAAGUUUGAUCUUAUCGUAGAAGGGAAGUUAUCUCCUAUUACUAUAUUACUUCCUACCUAACCAAGGAAAUACAAGCAGCAUAACAAUCUCUAAUUCUAUACAUUCCAAAUCCCCGCUCAAGUUGGUACAUAGAUAUCACACAGGCCUAACUUGGAUAGCGAUUUAUGGAAUGAUCCACUAACAACAUUAUGGGUCAUUAUAUCAGCCAGUUGACAUAUGAGCAAUUGGCGCCAACCCAACCUUUUUUAAAUUUUACGUUACACUGCAUCCCUUCGAACUCUACACUCUUAACGUAUAGGACCUAUAUACUCUGGAAGUCGAGGUUACCCUUGACGUAAUUUCUGCUAAGUUCAACAUGCAUGGUUCAAACAUACUGUACCAAGUUAUUAGCUGUCUCAAUAGCUAUAGUGUUAUAACAGAAAAGCACCAUGGGUUUCUUUGGAGAAUCACAGGCUCACUAAGAAGAAUUUUCAACCAUUUAACUUUAGUAGAUGCAUGAUGAAGAGCAAGGUAUUCAGCUUCAGUACUCAAGGGUGAUACCACUUUUUGUUUCUACUCUCUGAGUCCUCAAAUUGCCUCCAAUAAAUGAUACAUGCCAUAAUGUAGACUUCCUAUCAAAUCUUUACCCAACAAAAUCAGAAUGUGUAUAACCCAUAAUAUCUACAUGCCCAUGCUUAGAAAAAUGAUAACCAUGUCUCGAAAAUGUUUUAAAUUUACCAAUAUACGAUUUACUACAUUCUUGUAACAAUCAUUCGGAUAAUGCAUUAAUUAGCUCACAACAUACUACAUAUUACAAGGUGUUCUAUGUAAUAUACAUCAACUUCCAUACAAAUCUUCUAUAUAUCUCUUUCUUCUUUGGAGUUUGAUCGAGAUAAAUAGAAAGUCCAUGAUUUACCUUAAUAGGAGUGUAUUCAGGCUAAGUUUUUGGUUUCUGUUAAGAUUUUUAGUGUAUAUUUUUGUUGGGAGAAGAAACCCUUGCUUGGAAUGAGAUAUUUCAAUGCCUAAGUAGUGUUUUAGAGUCCCCAGAUCCUUUAUUUCAAAUUCGCAACGUCUCUUAUCUCACUGGAGUUACUACUGUAACAAUCAUGUAGUCAACAUAUCCAAUAAUCUGCGUGAUAUCAUCACCAUCUCCAGAGCCUGCUUAAAUUUGUACUCUUUCAUUAAGCAGCUCAGUAUCCCAAACCAAGCCCUUAGUGACUACUUGCAACCGUACAGGGGUUCUCCAGCAUAUCUACGUUACCUCCUGGAGGUGUUGUCUAUCGAAUCAUCAUGAAAGAAAGCUAUCGAAUCAUCAUGAAAGAAAGCAUUAUUAACAUCAAAUCAUCUUAAUGGCCGGUCUAGAUUAACAGUUACCAAUAGUAUGACUAAAAAUGUUAAUAUUGGCCACCAAAGCAAAGCUUUUUAAUAAUCAACCCAUAAGUCCACCUGCAACCUUUGGUUCUACUAUAAUAGACUUCCACUUUCCAUCUUUAAGGGCUCCCUAAAAAUGACUAGGAAUAAGCACAUAAUACAAGUGAAAGGCAGAUGUCAGGUAAGUCUUAAUAAGAGAUUUUGAGAAACCCAACCAAUCGAGUUCUUUCCAAUUGCAAAGAGGGAAUCUUCAACCUUGACUGCCAGCUAAUCGAUUCAAAGUGGUAGUUUCUGAAGUUCCAGGGUUAGAAUCAGAAGAUAGUGUUAAGAAAAAGGGGGGAACAUGUAACUCAUGAUUAUUUUCGAAGAGUCAUUAAAUGGAACAGUAUUAUUAUCAAGGGAAAGGUUGGAAUUGUUUCAGUAUGGCAAUGGUUCCACAAUAGAAUUUUCUCCUUGUAUAACUUUUUUUAAACAACCUAGGUGAUCUUUGACUCCAAACAUCAGUUUCAUCUUGUGGAGUGAACGGUUCAUCUACGGACUCUUACCUUUACCUGAAAUCCACCAUCUCUUCUUUCCCAAACACACCCAUUCCUCUUGUUUACUACUUUUAUCUCCCCUAAAAAGGAACCAACUAAACAACCUCAGAGUAGGACUCCAGUAAACUAAACAACUACAGACAUGCAAAAUUGACCUGUAGGAAAAUGGACUUAUAGUUUUUUUGGGAGUAAGAAUAUCCAAGAAAAACAUGUAAGAGCAUCAGGAUCAAGCUUAUCUUAAGUUGAGAUUGCACAAGAAUAUAACACAAAGAGCCAAAUGCUUUAGAACUAAGAUUUCAGGCAAAGGAAUUGGUGUAAAAUCAUGACACCUUUAAAGGGGUUAGUUAGAUAGUCAAUGAUAGGAUCUAUAAGAAAGAUAGCUGUACUGCGGUAAUGACAGCUCAGCCCAAAAAUAUUUAGGAACACACAUAGUAAAGCAUAAGGUUAUACUGGCCAAUUCUACGAUAUGCGAGUUCUUACGCUCUACUAUACCAUUCUGUUGUGGUGUGUAGGAACACAUUGUGAUGAGGACAUAUAUUUUAGACUAUUUAGUUUAGUAUUUUAUUUGGGUUUAUAUUAUGUUUUGGGCCUUUUUAUUUUUCUUUGGGCUUGUAUAGUGUUUUGGGCUGGCCCAAGCCCAAUCUUUUGUUUGUAUAUUAUAUAGAGGCAUGCAGCCUGUUGCAUGCAGAGGAGAUUUGAUGGAAAUGAAUAUGAAUUGAAAGCCACAGGCUUUUCCACCGCCCCUCUUCUUCCCCUUCUCCUUCUCCUUCUCUCCUCCUCCUCUUCUCUUUUCUUACUAUAUGUAUUCUGCUUCUUCUUCUGCUGGUUUCUUCAACCCUCACAGGUUCUAAGUUAUCAAGCUAUGCUACAUCACAUUGGCUGUUGAAGUAUGCCAUAUGCGAAGAUUUGUUUAGAGAUUGAUUCACAAAUUCUUGAUUUAUAACCUUCUUUCUAACAAAUAAACCCAACUCAUCCUAGUGCAGUCAUCCAUAAAAGGCACAAUGGCCUAAACGGUAAUGCCAUGGAAGAAUUUUCUCCCUAGCGGAUGUUUCUCUCACCACUUGGAAACCCCUGCUAUAUUGUAACUGCAACUCACUUGCCCCCUCUUAAGUAGUAAAGACCUCCCCUUUAUCUACAACUGCCAUCAUCAUCUUCAUUACAUAGCCCUAAAACACAUAAUGGCAGAAUAAAUCACACAAAGAUUAAGAUGCUUGAUGAUUUUGCUCAUCUCUAGAAAGUUAUUAGAGUGUUGGUGCAUAUAAAACAGAAGUCAUAGAGAGUGGGAGAGACGUUCCAUGCCCCUAAAAUUGGCAUAGGACCAACAUGAGCACACGUAAAAGAUGAGCAUAUGAGUGACCCAAGUAGGAAGAGUUACUAGUCAUAUGGAUAUUGGCCCCUGAAUCAAUAACCCAAGCAUUAGCGACAGCAAAAAUAAAAGCUUAUUUAGAAUUACCUCCAUGGGAGAAUACUCGAGAUACGUGAGAAGCAAAGGAUGGAGAGAUGCCAAUUGUUUCGGUCAAUCUUUUAUAUAAAUUAUUGAAAAAAAAAUGAGAUUGAGAAGAAAAAAAUAACCAAAUCUAAAUAAAGCCCAAAACAACCUCAUUCGAAUAGCAAGCUCAAUUCGCUAAAUACUACUAUUACCCAAUAACAAGCCAGUAUACAAACAAAAAGACUUGUCGAUUCAACAGUAAGAAGUGUCAGCGUAGAAACCUAGGGCAAUGAAUCGCUGGGUCAACCAAGAAGAAGCGCUGCCCAACAGUUCGGAGGUCGCCGAAAAGUUACCACAACAAGGUCGCAAACACCACAGAAAAUUUUGUGCAACAGCCACACCCCAAAAACCGUUUGCCCAGCAACGAUCAAAUUUGUUGAUAGAAAACAAUCAAAUAUUACUACUUCCCAAUAGCGAGCCCAAUUAGCUCAGUUGUCUAAAAACAAGCAAAGGCAGUAGAUGAUUAAAAAAACUUUUCAACAGUAAGAAGAGCAAUCAGC